UUUUUUUUUCGUGUGUCCAAUAAGCCGGACCAAAGGGUAAUGAUAACUUCACUUUAUAAAGCGGAAAACCCAAGAACUCAUUGAAGAGAAAAUGACAGAGGCCCUGCUUUAGCGGGCAUGCCGGUUUAUUAUAUUGAUCAUAAUAUAUACAUUGUCAAAAUAUGUACAUCAGAAGAGCCUAUGGCUCAAGUGUAGUAAGGCCGAAGAUGAGCAAUAUUCCACGGCCGACGGGUCUCCUCCUCCAAUUUGCGUGAGUCUUUGUGCUCUCGAACAUCGAUAAGAUAGUAUGACCCGUUGUUCAGAUUCUUGCUGACCACAAAGGGCCCUUCCCAAGGUGGGGAUAACUUGUGCAUAUCAGUCUGAUCCUGGAUAAGCCGGAGCACUAAGUCACCUUCUUGAAAAGCUCUGGUUUUAACCCGGCGGAUGUGAUAAUGCCGUAGAUCUUGCUGAUAAAUCGCCGAACGAGCCGCUGCUAUGUCCCGUUUUUCAUCUAACAGGUCCAAUGCAUCUUGGCAUGCUUGCUCGUUGUCCACUUCAACAUAAGCUGCUACUCGAGGCGAGUCAUGGCGAAUAUCACUGGGGAGAACUGCUUCUGCCCCGUACACCAUGAAGAAAGGUGUAUAACCCAUAGAUCUAUUGGGGGUAGUAUUAAUGAUCCACAAUACGGAAGGCAACUCUUCCAUCCAACAACCCGGCGUUCUAUGCAAAGGAACCAUAAGCCGGGGCUUGAUGCCUAUUUCUUGAUUAGCUCUCUCAGCUUGACCAUUAGACUGGGGGUGAGCCACUGAUGACACAUCAAGCCGGAUGUGCUCACGUUGACAAAAGUCCUCCAUAGAACCCUUGGAUAGGUUCAUGCCAUUAUUUUUUAUGAUGCUAUGUGGAUAACCAAAGCGGAAAAUCACCUUCUUCAUGAAUUGAACCAUCGUAGCUGCAUCACACUUGCUGACUGGCUUCGCCUCUAUCCAUUUAGUGAACUUAUCAACUGCCACCAAAAGGUGGGUCUUCUUAACCUUGGACCUCCUAAAAGGCCCUACCAUAUCAAGCCCCCAAGUUGCAAACGUCCAAAUGAUUGGAAUCAUCCUCAACUCCUGAGCCGGAACAUCGGCUCGUCGUGAAAACUUUUGACAACCGUCACAUUUCCUGACCAAGUCCUCAGCAUCAGCAUGAGCCGUUAGCCAAUAGAAACUGUGUCGGAAAGCCUUAGCCACAAGGGAUUUUGAACCGACGUGAUGACCACAAUCCCCUUCAUGGAUUUCACGCAGAAUAUCACAGCCUUCUUCAGGAGAAACGCAGCACUGAAACGCCCCCAAGACACUGCAGUGAUGUAACUCGCCGUUGACAAUAGUCAUGGACUUGGACCGUCGGAUUAUCUGCCUGGCCAAAAUUUCAUCCUCUGGUAACUCUCCCCUGGUCAUAUACGCCAAAUAUGGCACCGUACAAUCAGGGGUAACAUGAAGAAUCGCCACCAAUUGAGCCUCCGGAUCAGGAACAGCCAGAUCCUCCUCUGUAGGCAACUUGGCCGACAGGUUAUGCAAAAUGUCAAGGAAGACAUUGGGCGGCACCGGUUUACGCUGAGACCCCAGCCAGCUUAAAGCGUCUGUCGCUUCAUUUUUGUGUCGAUCAAUGUGCUGAACCUGAUAACCCUUGAGGUGACCAGCAAUAACAUCCACCUCACAUCGAUAAGUUGCCAUGAGUGGAUCCUAAGAAUCCCAAGUACCAGAGACUUGCUGUGGCACUAAAUCAGAGUCGGCAAAGCAUCGUACCCGGCUUAAGUUCAUUUUCUUAGCCACCUGAAGACCGUGGAGCAAGGCCCCAUACUCAGCUGCAUUGUUAGUACAAGGAAACAUCAAGUGAAGAACAUAACAAAAUUUGUCACCUCGAGGGGAAGUAAGAACAACUCCAGCGCCCGAGCCCUCCAAUUGUCUGGACCCAUUGAAGUGAAUAGUCCAGUAUGUAUUAUCCAGCUUAUCCUCGGGCGCCUGCAACUCUGUCCAGUCAUUGAUGAAGUCCACGAGCGCUUGGGACUUGAUGCCCGUACGAGGCAUAUAUUUUGACCCGUGAGGUCCAAGCUCGAUAGCCCACUUAGCAACUCGGCCAGUCGCCUCCCUGUUCUGGAUGAUAUCCCCCAAAGGAGCAGAACUGACCACAAUGAUGGGAUGGCCCUGAAAGUAUUGCUUAAGCUUCUGGCUCGCCAUAAAAACUCCAUACACAAGCUUCUGCCAAUGUGGAUAUCUCUGCUUCGACUCAAUAAGCACCUCAUUGAUGUAAUAAACCGGCCGUUGAACUGGAUACUCCUUACUUGCAUCCUUGCGCUCCACCACAAUAGCCACGCUGACAGCCCGGGCGUUAGCAGCCACAUAUAACAGCAAAGGCUCCUUAUCAAUGGGGGCUGCGAGAACAGGUGGCUCGGCUAACUGCUUCUUCAAGUCCUCCAACGCUGCAUUAGCAGCAUCACUCCAACAAAGUUGUUUGUCGUUUUCAUCAUCUGGUAUAAAGGGAUAGCUUUUUCUCCCAACCGGCUGAUAAACCGGCUCAGCGCCACAAUACGACCCGCCAGACGUUGUACAUUGUUGAUACACGCCGGUUUAGCCAGAGAAAUGAUGGCCUUGAUCUUCUCCGGAUUAGCUUCAAUGCCCCUGUUAGGCACCAAGAAACCCAAGAGUUUGCCUGCCGGUACACCGAAGACGCACUUGGCCGGAUUAAGCAUCAUUUUAUAAACUCGGAGGUUAUCAAAGGUCUCCUUCAAGUCAUCUAUCAAUGUCUCCUUCUUCCUGGAUUUCACCACAAUAUCAUCCACAUAACCAUGAACAUUGCGCCCAAUCUGCUUGUGAAGGCAAUUCUGCACACAUCGCUGAUAAGUCGCCUGGGCACUCUUGAGCCCGAAGGGCAUAGACACAUAACAGAAGGCUCCAAAGGGAGUUAUAAAAGUUGUUUUCUCCUGAUCCUUAAUUGCCAUCUUGAUCUGAUGAUAACCGAAUAAGCAUCCAAAAAACUCAAGUGCUCACAACCUGCCAUAGCAUCAAUAAUCUGAUCAAUACGAGGGAGAGGAAAAGGAUCAGCUGGACAAGCCUUUUUUAGAUCCGUGUAAUCCACACACAUGCGCCAAGUGCCAUUCUUCUUAAGCACCAGCACCGGGUUAGCCAGCCACUCAGGAUGAAAAACCUCAACGAUAAACCCAGCCGCCAAAAGCCAGGCUACCUCCUCACCAAUAGCCUUGCGCCUUUCUUCAUUGAAGCGGCGUAGAAACUACUUGACCGGUUUAAACUUGGGAUCAAUAUUGAGAGUGUGCUCAGCGAGUUCCCUUGGUACACCUGACAUGUCAGAAGGUUUCCACGCAAAGAUGUCCCGAUUUUCACGGAUGAACUCGAUGAGCGCGCUUUCCUAUUUUGGAUCCAGGUUAGUACUGACACUGAACUGCUUGGAUGAAUCGCCAGGAACAAAAUCAACCAGUUUAGUCUCAUCAGCCGAUUUAAACUUCAAGGCCGGAUCAUGCUCUGUAGUUGGCUUUUUCAAAGAUGUCAUAUCUGUCGGAUCAACAUUGUCCUUACAAAAUUUUAACUCCUCAGUUGCACAAACGGACUCGGCGUAAGCUGCAUCGCCCUCUUCACACUCCAAAGCUAUCUUCCGACUCCCAUGUACUUUGAUGGUCCCAUGGUGACCCGGCAUCUUGAGCUGCAGAUAAACAUAACAAGGUCGGACCAUGAACUUAGCAUAAGCCGGCCGUCCAAACAGAGCAUGAUAAGGGCUCUUAAUUUUCACCACUUCAAAGGUUAAGGUUUCUGAUCUGGAAUCAUGAUCAUCUCCGAAUGCAACCUCCAGAGCUAUCUUACCAACUGGUUAUGCCGAUUUACCAGGUACCACACCAUGGAAAACAGUGUGUUUGUGUACCGACCAGACCUCAAACAGUCUGAUCUCUGUGCAUCAGUGUCAUCCCUGGAUCAGUAAUGCUGACACACACAGUACUUGAGGAUUUAUAACAGAGUAGCAAUCACACACUUAUUACAUCGAAUGUCUCAAAAGAGAACUUAUUACAAUAAUAUGGCUUAAGUCCAUCUAAAAACACUAACAGCGGAAGGCUUGGAAGAUAAAGUGAGUCCAUCAACUCCAACGGCAUCACUGAGUGAAAGACAACGACCUAUGGCACCUUACUCGUCGUCUGAAAAGUAUGCAACAUGAAUGUUGUAGCCCAAAACGGGUCAGAAUAAUUGCUAUCACUACAUGCAUAUAUGGUUGGUGGAAAGCUCUAUGGUUACAGUUUUGCAUAAAGCUAAUUUGUCCCUACAACAAAGGAAUGAAUUUUAUUUAACUAUCAUGGUGGUUGUUAAACAUUGAGAAGGUUCCUCCAACUCAAUCCCAAUUAAACAUCAUCAUUAACCCAAUCAGAUUAUAUUAAGAGUGAUGAGAUCAACAUGAUAAUCGAAGAACCAGAUACUAAAGAUGUCCAUAACCGGUGACAUGUCUAACCAUGAUUAGUUUGUACACUCUGCAAAGGUUUGCGCACUUUUCCUCACAAGACUCGAAUACAUCCAUGGUCGGAGAUUCGAGACACAGUCUUUCUGAAGCAUUAACUCUCUACUCUGGAUAGACAGUACCACCUACAACCCACUACAUCUGCUAGUCUACCUCUUCAAGAGCUUCACGCAACUUACUCAACUAUGCUAGAGCCCAUAAUGGCUUGUGGCUGCACACGGAAGUUUCUAGCAUGAAUAAUCUUAUGAUCCCUUUGAGCCUGGGUGGCAAACCGUAGGAUGAGCACACGGGUACUUCAGGAUAUCCUAGGACAACACUGGAUUCUCUAGGUGCCUUGACAACCACUGGGUACUCUAGGGUGCCUCAAGCAAUCCACCCAGAUGUGUAUUUAAGUAGCCACCUUAAGUUAACCAUUAAUAACAAUUCUCACAUCUGUCAUGGAUACACUCACCCAAACCACAUACAAUAAGCACUUAACUAGAAGCAUGGGUAAAACUCAAAUAAGAGAUCUAACCAGAAAGUUCAACUUAAGAACUCCGGUUUGCAAAAAGAAUCAAGUCAAACGAAGCAACGAAACUCAAACUGCAAAAGAAACACGAUCCGUUUACUAAUCUGGACUUAAGUCAAAUUUUGCAGUAGCAAAAUCUUGUUCAAGUUAUUUGAAUAGAAAUAGGGCUUCGAGACGAAUAUCUAGGCGCUUGAAUCGCCUGAUUCUGACAAACGAGCGAAAAGAUAAACUAAAACGAAAAACAGGGCAGAAAUCACGAUCGAAAAUAAUCGCGGAAAAACCCUGGAAAAAGAAAAACUGGUGAACAGGCUAACGAACAAACGUUCGCUGUCUGCGGCUAACGGGUGAAAACCGUUCGUUAAAAUGAACGUAUGAAUGAAUGUUCGCUAAAUAACUAAACCGGGAAAAAAAUAAAAACCGAUCUAAAAUAAAAUAACCAAGGGUUUCUAAAAAAACAAACGGUUUUCCGGCGAAAACCGGCGGCUACCUCAGGUUGCGUGACGGCGGUGGCGGCGGUCAACUCCGGUGACGGCGGUGGGUCGGCGGCGUCCAGCGGCGGGCGGCGGGGCGGUGGCUGCGCGGGUGGCGCGGUCGGCGGCGAUGUCCGGCAGCGGCGGUGGCGGGUUAGGGUUAGGGUUUCGGCGGGGUGGGCUGGUGGCUGUGGCGGCUCGGGCCUCGUUGGUUAUAAAGGUCGGCCGGGUCGAGUCCUAGUCGGGCACGGCCCGACUAGGUUGGUUAACUCUUUUUUAAAUAAUUCCACGCAGAAAAACAAAGAAAAGAAAUACUAAACGGCUCCAAAAAUCCUGAAAUAAAUUUUCCCCGUCCUCUAAAAAUAUAGUGGACAAAGUGAACAUUUAUUUGGGCCUAUAAUGCAAUUUUGGAAAACGUAUUUUUCCCCUAAUUCAAAUAAAAUGGCGAUAAAACUCCGAAUAAAAUUCUUAUUUGAUUUUAAUAAUUAACCUCCAAUAUUUCUUUAUUUUGGAAAAUUCAUUUUAUCCCCUCUCUUUUAUUUUCAUAUAAGAAAUAUUCGAAGAGAAAAUAAUUAAAAUCAAACGCUCCUCUUUUCAAAAUUUGAGAAAACUCAAAUAUGAAAAUAAUGAAAUCGCCAACUCUCUCCGUGGGUCCUUGAGUUGCGUAGAAUUUCUAGGAUCAAGCCAAAAUGCAAUAAAAUAUGAUAUGCAAUGAUGAUCUAAUGUAUAACAUUCCAAAUUGAAAAUUUGGGAUGUUACAAACCUACCCCCCCUUAAGAUGAAUCUCGCCCUCGAGAUUCGGGUUGGCUAGAAAAUAGGUGAUGGUGGUCCUUCCGUAGGUCUUCCUCUCGUUCCCAGGUGGCUUCAUCCUCGGUAUGGUGGCUCCACUGAACUUUGCAGAACUUGAUAACCUUGCUGCGUGUGACUCGGCUGGCAAACUUGAGAAUCUUGACUGGUUUCUCCUCGUAGGUCAAAUCGCUAUCCAACUGGAUCGCUUCCAAUGGCACUGUAUCUCUCAGAGGGAUAUCGUCCAUCUCUGCAUGGCACUUCUUCAACUGGGAAACGUGGAAUACAUCGUAAACUCCUGACAAUCCAUCGGGCGAUUCCAACUUGUAAGCAACUUCUCCCAUAUGUUCCAAAACUUUGUAUGGUCCCACAAAACAUGGUGCUAACUUUCCCUUAACUCCAAAUCGCUUAACUCCUUGAAGUGGGGACACACGAAGAUACACUCUGUCUCCGACUUCGUAAAUUGUCUCCUUGCAUUUAGAAUCCGCAUAGCUCUUCUGCCUGGACUCGGCUACCUUGAGUCUAUCAUGAAUCAGCUUAACCUUCUCUUCAGACUCUUUAAUCAAAUCGUGUCCAAACAACUGACGGUCUCCAACUUCAUCCCAUAACAACGGUGUCCUACACCUCCUUACGUACAAAGCUUCGAAAGGGGCCAUCUUCAAACUAGCUUAAUAGUUGUUGUCGUAAGAAAACUCUGCAUAUGGCAAAUUGUCGUCCUAGCUAGACCCAUAGUCUAGCGCACAAGCUCUCAACAUGUCCUCCAGAAUCUGAUUGACUCUCUCGGUUUGUCCAUCUGUCUGUGGCUGAAAGGCUAUACUGAACUCUAGCCUGGUACCCAAAGUCUCAUGCAACUGAUUCCAGAACUUUGGGGUAAACUGGGUUCUUCUAUCUAAUACAAUGGUCCUAGGAACUCCAUGUAGACAUACGAUCCUGGUCAUGUAUAUCUUUGCCAACUUAGCACUGGUGUAAGUGGUCUUCACUAGGAUGAAAUGAGCUACCUUCGUCAACCGAUCGACUACAACCCAUAUCGAGUCAUAGCCUGAAUGAGUCCUGGGCAAUCCCGUGAUAAAAUCCAUGCCUAGCUUAUCCCACUUCCAUUCAGGUAUCGGCAAUGGCUGUAGCAAACCUGCUGGCUUCUGAUGUUCUGCCUUCACUCUCUAACAUACAUCACAAACUGCUACCUACUCCGCAAUAUCCUUCUUCAUUCCGGUCCACCAGAAAUUGUCCUUCAAAUCUAGAUACAUCUUGGUAUUUCCUGCAUGAAUCGAAUAUGGUGAAUCAUGGGCCUCCUGCAGAAUCAACUUCCUGAUCUCGGGGUCAUUAGGCACAUAUACGCGAUCCUCAAACCAUAAGGUAUCGUGCUCAUCCUCAUGAAAUCCUUUAGCCCUUUCCAUUGCUCAUCCUUUCCUUUAUAUCGGCAAUCUCCUUGCCAGUCUUCUGAGCUUCUCUGAUCUUAUCCAUCAAGGUAGACUGAAUUUCCAAUGCUGCUACAUAGCCUCUCGGAACUAUUUCCAAACAUAGCUCACGAAGAUCCUCUGCUAACUCCUUGGGUAACUCUCCGGUCAUGAGUGUAUUGACAUGACUCUUGUGACUCAACGCAUCCGCUACUACGUUAGCCUUUUCGGGAUGAUAGUGCAACCUCAUAUCAUAAUCCUUAAUGAGCUCCAACCAUCUCCUAUGCAUGAGAUUCAACUCCUUCUGCGUGAAGAUAUACUUCAAACUCUUGUGAUCCCUGUACACCUCACAAUGGUUUCCGAUGAGAAAAUGUCUCCAUGUCUUCAACGCAUGCACUACGGCUGCUAACUCCAAAUCGUGUGUAGCAUAAUUCAACUCAUGGGGUUUAAGCUGUUGUGAGGCAUAUGAAACAACUCUUUCCUCCUGCAUAAGCACUGCUCCAAGUCCUCGACGAGAAGCGUCGCAAUACACUUGAUAAUCCUUGCGUUGAUCUGGAAAAAUUAACACUGGUACUGUAACCAAAUGUUUCUUCAACUCCUGAAAACUGGCCUCACAUUCCUCAGUCCAUUUGAACUUGGUGUCCUUCUUCAACAACUCCAUCAUGGGUUUCGUAAUCUCAGAGAAAUUCUUAAUGAACCUCCUGUAAUAUCCUGCGAGUCCAAGAAAACUACGGAUCUCUCUAACAGACGUGGGUGCUUCCCAAUUUGUCACAGUGACAACCUUGGUGGGGUCUACUGCUAUCCCUUCUCCGGAUAUAACAUGUCCGAGGAAUCCAACUUCCUUCAACCAAAACUCACACUUGCUGAACUUGGUGAAAGGAUCGAUAUAGUUGACUAGAGAGGGGUGAGGGAGUCCUGGAUUAGGGGGUGUCCGGAUAGCCGGACUACCAUCAUCAGCCGAACUAUCAUCGGCCGGACUAUCAUCAUCGACCGGACUCCAAGACUAUGAAGAUACAAGAUUGAAGACUUCGUCCCGUGUCCGGAUGGGACUUUCCUUGGCGUGGAAGGCAAGCUUGGCGAUACGGAUACGUAGAUCUCCUACCAUUGUAACCGACUCUAUGUAACCCUAGCCCUCUCCGGUGUCUAUAUAAACCGGAUGGCUCUAGUCCGUAGGACAACAACAACAACAACAACAACAACAACAACAACCCUUACAAUCAUACCAUAGGCUAGCUUCUAGGGUUUAGCCUCCUUGAUCUCGUGGUAGAUCCACUCUUGUAAACAUCCACAAUAUCAAUAUCAAUCAAGCAGGACAUAGGGUUUUACCUCCAUCAAGAGGGCCCGAACCUGGGUAAAACAUCGUGUCCCUUGUCUCAUGUUACCAUCCGCCUAGACGCACAGUUCGGGACCCCCUACCCGAGAUCCGCCGGUUUUGACACCGACAUUGGUGCUUUCAUUGAGAGUUCCUCUGUGUCGUCACCGAUAGGCUUGAUGGCCUCUUCAAUCGACAACGACGCAGUCCUGGGUGAGACUUUUCUCCCCGGACAGAUCUUCGUAUUCGGCGGCUUCGCACUGCGGACCAACUCACUUGGACAUCUGGAGCAGAUCGAAAGCUACGCCCCUAGCCGUCAGGUCAGGUUUAGAAGCCUAAACUUCACGGCCGAUGUCCGCGGGGACUUGAUCUUCGAUGGAUCUGAGCCACAGCCGAGCAUGCUGCGCUGUCACGAUGGGCACGACCUAACUCUGCCGUCGGACAGCACCUUGGAGGCCGCACACGAAUCCGCUCCGACCCAUAGUCCGGAGCCGAUCGCUCAGAUCGAGGACAGAUGGCUGGACACCGCCUCGGGAGCUGCAACUUCUACGGCGAUGGAGCUGAACACUUACCUUGUCCCGCGUAAAGCCCAUGACUCCGAGGUGCCGGACUCUCUGCCGGACUCUGAACCUCCUGCGCUCCUGCCAGUCGAAUCCGAUUGGGCGCCGAUCAUGGAAUUCACCGCUGCGGACAUCCUUCAGCACUCACCCUUCGGCGAUAUCUUAAAUUCGCUGAAGCAUCUCUCGCUAUCCGGAGAGCCCUGGCUGAACUACGGCCAGGAUGGUUGGGACGCGGACGACAAAGAAAUUCAGAGCCCACCCACCACCCACUUCGUAGCCACCGUCGACGAUCUAACCGACGUACUCGACUACGACUCCAAAGACAUCGACGGUAUGGACGACGAUGCCGGAGACUAUCAAGAACCAGUGCCUACAGGACACUGGAAGACCACCUCGUCAUAUGACAUAUGCAUGGUGGACACCCCAAAAGAUGGGGACGGCGAAGAAGCAAUGGAGGCCGGUUCCUUAAAGAAACAGCCCAAGCGCCGACGUCAGCGGCGCCGCUCUAAAUCCUGCCACAGCAAGAAUGGACAUUCCGGCACAGGAGAUAAUAACACCCCAAAAAGUGCCGAAGACAACCCCCUCCAGCACGAUCCAGCGCAGGAGGAGGCAGAAGCAAGCCCUCACGAGAGGGCGGCAGACGAAGAGGUCGAGGAUGGUAAUUACUUACCUCCCUCCGGAGACGAGGCAAGCCUCGACGACGACGAAUUCGUCGUGCCUGAGGAUCCCGCCGAACAAGAGCGUUUCAGACGCAGGCUAAUGGCCACGGCAAACAGCCUAAAGAAAAAGCAGCAACAGCUUCAAGCUGAUCAAGACCUACUGGCCGACAGAUGGACCGAGGUCCUCGUGACCGGAGAGUAUGAACUCAAAUGCCCCUCCAAAAAUUACCCAAAACGCAAGUUGCUCCCCCGACUAGAGGAGGAAGCGUACAAACCUGCAUCACCAGCGCACAAUACGGCAGACCGACCACCUCGUGGCCGCGACAGAGAGGCGUGCAAGCCCUCCACCAAAACCGUACCCCGGCAUCGCUCAAAAAGCAUGAAGCCACAGGGGAAUAGGCCGGACUUGCGGGAUAUAUUGGAGGACAAGGCAAGACAAUCCAGAUCUAUCUAUGGAUCACGUGGGCGCCCCAAGACCCACGACGAAUAUCGUCGCGCCGGAUACAACUACUCCGGCCGGGCCGAACACAGCAGACAAUGCUCUCUCGAGCUACGUCGCGAUAUUGCUCAAUACAGAGGCGCCGCGCACCCACUAUGCUUCACUGACGAAGUAAUGGAUCAUCAAAUCCUUGAAGGGUUUAAACCCGUUAAUAUCGAAUCCUACGAUGGCACAACAGACCCCACGGUUUGGAUUGAGGAUUAUCUCCUCCAUAUACAUAUGGCCUGCGGCGACGAUCUUCACGCCAUCAAAUAUCUCCCGCUCAAGCUUAAAGGACCAGCUCGGCAUUAGCUUAACAGCCUGCCCGCAGAGUCAAUUGGAUGCUGGGAAGACCUGGAAGCCGCAUUCCUCGACAACUUCCAGGGCACGUAUGUGCGACCACCGGAUGCAGACGACCUAAGCCACAUAAUCCAGCAGCCAGAUGAACCGGCCAGGCAAUUCUGGACACGAUUCUUAACAAAGAAAAAUCAAAUCGUCGACUGUCCGGAUGCAGAGGCCCUCACUGCCUUCUAACAUAACAUCCGCGAUGAGUGGCUGGCCCGGCACCUAGGACAGGAAAAGCCGAAAUCCAUGGCAGCCCUCACAUCACUCAUGACCCGCUUCUGUGCGGGAGAGGAUAGCUGGCUAGCUCGCAGCAACAACCUCAGCAGAAACGCUGGCAGUCCAGAUACCAAGGACCGCAAUGGCAGGGCGUGUCAAAACAAAAACAAACGCCGCAUUAACGGCGACAGCAAUGAGGAUAGGGCAGUCAAUGCUGGAUUCCGAGGCUCCGAGCCCGGUCAACGGAAGAAGCCAUUCAAAAGAACCACUCCGGGCCCGUCCAAUUUGGACCGAAUACUCGACCGCUCCUGUCAAAUACAUGGAACCCCCGAAAAGCCAGCUAACCACAUCAACAGAGAUUGUUGGGUAUUCAAGCAGGCAGGCAAAUUAAUCACCGAAAACAAUGACAAGGGGCUACACAGCGAUGACGAGGAAGAGACUCGGCCGCCGAACAACAGAGGACAAAAGGGAUUCCCCCCUCAAGUUCGGACGGUAAACAUGAUAUACGCAACGCAUAUACCCAAGAGGGAGCGGAAGCGUGCACUAAGGGACGUAUACGCGAUGGAGCCAGUCGCCCCAAAAUUCAACCCAUGUUCCUCUUGCCCGAUCACUUUUAAUCGAAGAGACCAUCCGACCAGUAUCCGCCAUGGCGGAUUCGCCGCAUUGCAUUUAGACCCAAUCGUCGAUGGAUUUCACCUCACGAGAGUCCUGAUAGAUGGCGGCAGUAGCCUGAACCUGCUUUAUCAGGAUACAAGUGCGCAAGAUGGGCAUAGACCCUUCAAGGAUUAAACCUACGAAGACAACCUUCAAAGGCGUCAUACCAGGUGUCGAGGCCAGUUGUACAGGCUCAGUUACACUGGAAGUGGUCUUCGGAUCCCCGGAUAAUUUCCGAAGUGAGGAGUUAAUCUUCGACAUAGUCCCGUUCCGUAGCGGCUAUCACGCUCUACUCGGAGGAACCGCGUUCGCAAAAUUCAACGCGGUGUCGCAUUAUGCAUACCUUAAGCUCAAGAUGCCAGGCCCUCGUGGAGUCAUCACGGUCAACGGAAACACGGAACGCUCCCUCCGAACGGAGGAACAUACAGCGGCUCUCGCGGCAGAAGUACAGAGCAGCCUUUUAAGGCAAUUUCCAAGUCCGGCCGUUAAAUGACCGGACAUGGCCAAACGCGCCCGGAGCAACAUCAACCAAGACCACCUGGCACGUUCCGAGCACGCGUAGCAAUGCGGCCUCAACCCCAGCCCUCGCACAAUUGUAAGACAAACUCUCCGUGUACAUAAUUACGCCCUGGAGAUACCAUGGGCAUAGGGGGAGAGGCACAACCACAAUAGACCCAGAGUGCGGUUCGACCACACCAAGGGCUCCCAGGCGUGUCGCUCUUUUUAUCUUUUAUUUCUCUCUUUUUUAUACAGAACUCUGUCCGGCGGCGAACCUGCCGAACUCAUGAUGCAACAGCCAGGGAGGGACAAAGGCUGCGACGAACACUCGGGUGGUCUCCAUUACGAGCAUUAAAUUUGUUAAAUACACCAUUCCGCGGCCUACCCCUGGAGGGAGACGCCUUUAAUUCGUCCAAUCCCUUGCUUUCCGCACUAUUUGUAUCAUUCCGCACUCAUAGCAGAUCUUCUCGAAUAAAAUGCAGCACUUUUUGCCCAUAAUUGCAUUACCUUAUAUAUAUAUAUGUUCAUUUACGACAUGUUGCAUCCGUACAUUUUGGUACGGCCAAAUACACCAGGGGCUUAUGCUCCCCGCAUUAUGGUGUGAUAAAGUCUGAACACUUUCACAAGUGCGGCACCCCGAACUUAUAGCAUUAUAUGAAUUGGCUCCGAAUCAAGUCUUGGGUCAAUAGUUGGGUUUGCCCGGCUCCCAUGUUUGGCACCUUACGUUCCGUUCUAUCGGCUAAGGUAGCACUGGGAGAACCACUGCGAUUGCGCCCUUGUUGAGCCGGGUUAACGCCUCAGUGGAGAAAGCUAAAACUGACUGUCAUGAUAAGGCGAGAGACUGAUCGCUGUUCGAGAGGUCUUUUCGGGUCCUUAAAGACCUACGCCGCUUCGAGCGAAGUACCGGAUAAUGUCCGACGAAGGCAUGGAUAGCGCCCCGAAUUCGGUCUUCCGAAUACUAGGGGCUUCGCCAAAAUUUAAAAUUAUAGAAUUCUAUGGCUAAGUGAGAGUGUUCAAGCACUAUAAGUCUGGUUGCCUUGUUUGUUGUGUUGAGCGCCUCCCUAGAUGGACCCAAAACUGGGAACAAGAGUGCUCAAGUUUAUCCCGAACACCCUAGCACUCGUGGCAUGGGGGCUGAAGUCGACGACUUGCCAUCUCUCAGAUUUAAUAAACGGCCGCACAGAAGGUAAUAUUUUAAAUUAACAAGCGUUGCUUAGCGCAUAUGAACAAAGUUUUCAACGCACAGGAUAACACAUUGCGAAUUUACUCAAUAAUUACAUCCGUGGGGCACUCAUCCGCAAUCUUGCGGGCACCCUUCAGGACAGUCUUAUAGUACAUCUCGGGCGUACGAUAUUCCUUGCCCACUGGUGGCGCGUCAGUGAUUAGCUUCUCCGCAUCCAGCUUGCCCCAAUGCACCUUUGCGCGGGCAAGGGCCCGACGAGCACCUUCAAUAUAGGCGGAGCGCUUGAUAACCUCCACCCAGGGGCACGCAUCCACCAACCGUCGCACGAGGCCGAAGUAGCUCCCAGGCAUGGCCUCUCCAGGCCACAGCCGGACUAUGAGGCCCUUCAUGGCCUGCUCGGCCACCUUGUGGAGCUCGACCAGCUGCUUCAGCUGGUCGCUAGGGGGCACCGGAUGGCCGGCCUCAGCAUACUGAGACCAGAAGACCUUCUCCGUUGAGAUCCCCUCCUCGGCUCGGUAGAAUGCGGCGGCAUCAGAGAGCUGCGAGGCAGAUCUGCAAACGCCCCUGGAGAGCUCCGAAUUCGGGUAAGUAACACGUAAUUUACAUUCACAUGCUUGCUUUGCAUGAAAAAUACCUUACCCGCCGCUAUCUUCCUCACCAACUCAAUCUCCUGAAGGGACUUAUGGGCAUUGGCCUUGGCAGUUUUGGCACUUUCGAGAGCCGAGGCAAGCUCGGACUCUCAAGUCUUUGAGUCACGCUCCAAACUCUCAUGCUUUUCCAUGAGAGCCUGGAGCUCUUGCCGAACCACCGCCACCCGCACCUCCUUCUUUUCUCGCUCUGCCCGUUCCGCGGCCGCAUUGCGUUCGGCCGCGGACACGGCCUCCUUCAGGGUCGCCACCUUGUUCGUGGCCCCUGCAGUACCCAUGUUAUCCUUGUUAUUUUUUGUUCCAACCUAAAUCCUUUUCUGUAAGGUACAAGUUCAAAGUGGUGUUACUCACCUUCUUUGUCCUGGAGCUGCUUCUUGGCGCGGCCGAGCUCUUGCUCGGACCGCUCGAGCUCCUGCUUCAAAGCACCGACCUCCGCAGUCAGUGCGGCAGAGGUCAGCAGCGCAGCCUGCAACCCAUAUUGACAUAAUGUUUUAGCAACCCUGCGUAUAUCUUCUUUUUUUUCAGAUCCUCAGUCCGGCUUUUCUUUCCGAACAACGAACCGAGCAUCAGGGGCUACUAUCUAUGCGGUAUUACAUUGCAUAUUUUUAACUUCUUACCUCAAAGCCUGAUAGAAGGCUACUGCAGGCUUCGGUCAGCCCGCUCUUGGCAAGCUGUACCUUCUGAAUCACCGCACUCAUAAUAGUGCGGUGUUCUUCCUCGAUGGAAGCGCUCUGGAGCGCCUCCAACAAAUUGUCCGGCGCCUCCGGUUGGACGGAAGCCGCCGGCGUCACGGUCUUGCCCUUCGUGCGAAGGGGCCGCCGGCCGGACUCCGGAACCACUGUGGGUUCUGAUGUGGAGUCCAGCGCAAAGUCCGGGAGGCCGCCUUGUGGCGCCUCCGGAGCCUCCCCCUGAUGGGUCCCUUCUUGGGAUCCCACCUCGGUGUCCUCGGUGUCGCGAGGGGUGGAGGCGGUUGGGAUGGAGUCUACAUCCGACGGAGCCAACGACCCGCUCGAUGAAGUCAGGAGAUCAUCAUUGGCCGGACUACAGGCAGCAUGCGGCAUCAGAAUGACACUAUGUGACGCAGAAAAAGAAAUUAUAAAUCAUUCAGGAAUCCAGAUACUUACGAUCUCGCCGGAGGCUUGGCCCUUGAAGGCCAUUCUUCCUCGCCAACGUUGAUGUUGGCGGAGCUGUCCGGGGGAAUAGUCCUUCCCCUCUUGGACCCUUCGGCCUCCCCUGUUGGGGAAGCCUUCCUCUUCCUCUCUCCCUCCUCUGGGAGAGAGUCCUCUUUCUCCUCCUCGUUUUUGGGGAAGGAGUCUGCCCCGGAGUCGUCGGACACCCGAAGACGGGAACUCUUUCGAGCACCCAUGGCCUCCUUCUUGGCCUUCUUCUCCGGCACCACGUGCGGUGCCGGAACCAGCAGCCUCGCUAGACGGGCGUCUACUGGGUUUUCUGGCAUAGGAGCCGGGAAUCUGCUCCGCCUUCCUCAUCCAGUCCUGUCAAAGGAAAAGGGGAAAUUAAAACCCGCAUAGAGUCAAACUAUGAAAAGCAAGUGUCCCGUAAAGGGGUAGAAUCACUUACCUCGUCGGCUUGGCGCUGUGAGCGAAAUCCGCGAUCUUCAGUCGCGGAUGCGGGGGCUUCGGCGCCCUUAAACAGCACCCUCCAGGCGCCUUCGUACGUCGUGUCGAAGAGCCCGCUCAGCGCCUGGUGCUGUUCUGGAUUGAACUCCCACAGAUUGAACGCCCGCUCUUGGCAUGGGAGAAUCCGGCGGACGAGCAUGACUUGGACCAUGUUAACCAGCCUGAUCUUCUUCACCAGCUUCUGGAUACAGGCUUGGAGUCCCGUCAGCUCCUCCGAACUACCCCAUAGCAAGCCCUUCUCUUUCCAGGAGGUGAGCUGCGUGGGGAUACCAGAUCUGAACUCGGGGGCUGCCGCCCACGUAGGGUCACGCGGCUCGGUGAUAUAGAACCACCUCGAUUGCCACCCCUUGACGGAUUUCACGAAGGCCCCUUCGAACCAAAGGACGUUGGGCAUCUUACCCAACAUGGCGCCUCCGCACUCCGCUUGAGUGCCCUUCACUACCUUCGGCUUGACAUUGAAGGUCUUGAGCCACAAGCCGAAGUGGGGCUGGAUGCAGAGGAAGGCCUCGCACACGACGAUAAACGCCGAGAUGUUGAGGAUGAAGUUCGGCGCCAAAUCAUGGAAAUCCAGGCCGUAGUAGAACAUGAGCCCCCGGACAAAGGGGUGAAGUGGAAAGCCCAGUCCGCGGAGGAAGUGGGGAAGAAAAACGACCCUCUCAUGGGGCCUGGGGCUGGGGAUGAGCUUCCCCUCGUCGGGCAGCUGGUGCGCGAUGUCGCCGGACAGGUAGCCGGCGCUGUGCAGUCUUUCGAUGUGCUCCUCUGUAACGGAGGAGGUCAUCCACUUGCCUCCCGCUCCGGACAUAACUGGGGAAGGUUGAGACGAGAUGUGCGGGCUUGGGCGCUGGAGCUCGAGUGCGCGGAGAUGGAUAAGCAAAGGAGGAAGAAGGCGUAGGUGAAAAGGUGAAUCCUUAUCCCUUAUAUGGGCGGGCGAAGUCUAUGCAUCCCCCACCGGCCUGGUAAAACUCGCUUAUCCCCCAAGCGUCACCAUCAAUGGCGUGGUUGGGUUACCCACGUCCGUAUUGAUGAGAAUCCCGGAUUAAGGGGCAACACGAUCUCUGCUUCGACAAGACGUGCCAAGGAAACCGCUUCGCUAAAUGCGCUGAGGUGGUAGAGUAAAAAACGAUUCAAGUAAUGGCUUGGUAGUGGCGUGACAUCAUGCCACAAAAAACGUCAGCAGAUUGAACUUGUGUAUAUAUUAUUCUCUCUACGGUGAAAUGUGGAAUUUAUUUUGCAGAGCCGGACACUAUCCUGGUGUUCACAAUCUUCUAUCAUUCGGAGGAGGAACCCGCCUUGCAAUGCCAAGCAAUAUACACGCCGGACUUAUCGUCAUUGAAGCCUGGUUCAGGGGCUACUGAGGGAGUCUUGGAUUAGGGGGUGUCCGGAUAGCCGGACUACCAUCAUCAGCCGAACUAUCAUCGACCGGACUAUCAUCAUCGACCGGACUCCAAGACUAUGAAGAUACAAGAUUGAAGACUUCGUCCCAUGUCCGGAUGGGACUUUCCUUGGCGUGGAAGGCAAGCUUGGCGAUACGGAUACGUAGAUCUCCUACCAUUGUAACCGACUCUAUGUAACCCUAGCCCUCUCCGGUGUCUAUAUAAACCGGAUGGCUCUAGUCCAUAGGACAACAACAACAACAACAACAACCCUUACAAUCAUACCAUAGGCUAGCUUCUAGGGUUUAGCCUCCUUGAUCUCGUGGUAGAUCCACUCUUGUAAACAUCCACAAUAUCAAUAUCAAUCAAGCAGGACGUAGGGUUUUACCUCCAUCAAGAGGGCCUGAACCUGGGUAAAACAUCAUGUCCCUUGUCUCCUGUUACCAUCCGCCUAGACGCACAGUUCGGGAUCCCCUACCCGAGAUCCGCCGGUUUUGACACCGACAGGGGGUGAAUAGGCAACUAAAAAUUUUUAGCUUUUCUUUACCAAAUUAAACUUUGCAUCAAAGUAGGUUGUCUAGAUAUGCAACUAGGUGAACAACCUAUAUGAUGCAACAACAACAAUCACACAAGCAAUCAAGGGAUAUAACACAAGUAAGCUUGCAAAAGUAAAGGAGCGAGAUAACCAAGAGUGGAGCCGGUGGAGACGAGGAUGUGUUACCGAAGUUCCUUCCUUUUGAGGGGAAGUGUGUCUCCGUUAGAGCGGUGUGGAGGCACAAUGCUCCCCAAGAAGCCACUAGGGCCACCGUAUUCUCCUCACGCCCUCACACAAUGCGAGAUGUCGUGAUUCCACUAUUGGUGCCCUUGAAGGCGGUGACCGAACCUUUACAAACAAGCUUGGGGCAAUCUCCACAACUUAAUUGGAGGCUCCCAACGACACCGCGAAGCUUCACCACAAUGGACUAUGGCUCUGAGGUGACCUCAAUCGUCUAGGGUGCUCAAACACCCAAGAGUAACAAGAUCCGCUAGGGAUUAGUGGGGGGAAUCAAAUUUCUCUUGGUGGAAGUGUAGAUCGGGGCCUUCUCAACCAAUCCCGAGCAAAUCAACAAGUUUGAUUGGCUAGGGAGAGAGAUCGGGCGAAAAUGGAGCUUGGAGCAACAAUGGAGCUUACGGAUGGAAGAGGUGGGUCUUCUUGGAGAAGAAGACCCCCUUAUAUAGUGGGGGGACAAUUCCAACCGUUACCCACCACUCAGCCCGCGACCCGCGGUACUACCGCAUCACAGGAGCGGUACUACCGCACGGGUCUGCGGUACUACCACGGUGGACCGCGGUACUACCGUGGGCGCGGUAGAGCCUGGACCUGAACAGAAGAGCAUAGACAGGGCGCGGUAGAAUCGCAGGCGCGGUACUACUGCGACCCUUUGCGGUACAACCGCAGGACAGCCACGGUCCAGGCACGGUAGGCACAGAUGUAAAAAAUUACAUACGUGACUACCUCCGCUGAGAUAUUAUCGAUGUCAAAAUCCGACACGGUACUACCGCGAACCAGGGGUGCGGUACUACCGUGAAGGGUACGGAUGUAAAAAAUUACAUCCGCCCCUACCUCUGCUCCUACUGCUGCACCUAGCCAGGCGACACGGUACUACCGCGCCGCAGCACGGUACUACCGCGUAGGGCGCGGAUGUAAAAAAUUACAUCCGCCCCUACUACCGCUUGAGCAGCGGUGCCAGGCCAAAACUCAUGGUACUACCGCUUGGGAGGAGCGGUACUACCGUGGAAGCCCAUGGUACUACCGUGGAAGCCCACGGUACUACCGUGCUGGAGCCCGGUACUACCAGUGGCUCCUGCGCUAGUACCGCUCAGUGGAGCAGUACUACCGCCAGCCUGAGAUGAGCAACUCGGAGUCCUUCAUUUCGCAGAGACAAGGUGAGAUGGAGGAGAACUCCAAAGAGCCAAAGGAAAGGCGGUGCAAAAGGGACGUGUACGUGAGAUUCCUCCCAAACCUUUCCAAAGCGGACCCCCUCUUAAUAGUACGGCUUUGCUACGACUCAACUCCACCAAAAAGGACCGUAGAGAAACGUCGUCUUCAAUAAUCUUCGAGGGGAAUCAAAUCGUCUGGUGUUUAGUUACGAUAUAUCUGAAAAGCUCAGUACACACGAUUAGUCCGCAAAAGCAUUGUCAUCAAUCACCAAAACUACUAAGGGACAAGAAUGCCCUUACAAUCUCCCCCUUUUUGGAGGAUUGAUGACAAUACGGGAUUUGCACAAAGGGAAAGAAUAUAGCACAAGCAAACCCCACAUCUCUAGAAUAUAGACGAGCUCUCCCUAGAUUCAUGCUAGAGAGUAAAGUGCUUUGGACUGCACGGCACGAAUACUAGGAUCACCACUCCCCCUAUAUUUUAGAGAUAAAGCAUAUCUUGCAAAGAUAAGGCUAACACUAAACAAGAUAGUAAAUAUGACCAUAACAUAAAUAGCACGAUAUAGCAUAAGCUCAAUAAGGUAAUAAGGUACGAUAGAGUGCAUAUGUCUUACACCAUAUGAUAAACUUAGUCUCACGAGCACAACCAAACCAAAUCAACCAAGUUCAACAGACGGAAAGCAAAGCAAACGGUGAAGCACACAACACACGACACGCGGCGAAGCACACAACACACGACACGCAAAUCCUACACUCUCUCCCCCUUUGGCAUCGAGACACCAAAAAGGCAGAGAGGGCACCUACAACAAAGGUGGUAGCUCAGGUGGAAAACGACUCCUCGUCUCCAGAAUCCGCAGCAGGAAUGUAAUCCUCCUCAGAAUUGGUCCACUUGUAGCCCUUCUUAGCCAUCCAGGCAGCCUCGGGGGUGAUGUGCCUCUCAGAGCCGCUGGACACAUCCUCGCCGCACGCCCUCAAAAUCCUGUUGUCACGACGACGACCGUCCUUCUGAGAAACAUGGGCCUUGUACUGACUCUGGACCUGCAUGUAGAAAAGCCUCUUCAUCUUGAUCUUCAGCUUCUUCGCCCAAGAGGGCUCGAUAGAGGGAGAAGUGAUAGCAGAACGGUCCUCAACAGCUUCUUCCUCCUCAAUCUCAUCCUCAUCCACAACCAUCCUGGCAGCCUCAACAUAAGUGGUGGUGUUAUCCCAUUGGGGCUUGAUGCGAAACCUGAUGGUCUCAUGAUGAAUCCAACCGGGAGCUUCAAACUCAUCAUUGGGAAAGUGCUUCUCCCAAGUCUUGGAGAUCAGGUGAAACAAGUAAGGCCCAUAGAUGGGGACCUUAAGGUUGAACACGGCGAACUAAAGCUUACACCACAUGAUAUGUUAGACAUCAAGUGGCUGAGUCUGAGCCUGACGGGCCUCCUCGCAAAGGAGCAUCAUGUCAACGAGGUAAGCAUGCACCUGACCCAUGUCACCAAUGCGUGGGAAGAGGGUGUUCCGGAAGAGACGAUGCAUGAUGUAAAGGAAGGGGUUAAGCACCCACACCUUCUUCUUGCUAGGAAGAGUCUUCUAAACAAGGAAUGGCAUGAGCUUGUUCUUGUUGGCAGACUCAGAGUUGGCAUGAGGGCGAACUCCAACUGGCGUGUCGAGCCCUUCAUCUGGAACGUUAAGCAACUCCAUGAACUCCUUCCAUGUAGCAGACAUCCGGCGACCAUUGGUCAUCCAAGUCAUGGUCCUUGCAUCAUCAACGCCGAAGUAGACUGAAGCAAAGAACUGUGCUAUGAUCUCUGGAUCAAAAUCCUUGUGGAAGGUGAGCAUGUGCUCAAUGCCGAACUGCUCCACUAGAUCCAAGGCCUCUCCAAAGUACCCACGGUGCUUGUCCUGCCUCAUAUGGUGCAUGUCAAUAUAGUGAACUUCCAUGUAGAGGUUCUGCUUGGCCUUGAUCACAUCCAGAUAGAUCAGAUUCUGCUGCUUGGUCUAGAAGAGAUCAUUGCCUCGCAAGUUAGCCUGGGGAUUCCCAUAGGGAUUGAGCUUCCUUCGAAUGAUAAACUCAUCCUGGGGCAUCUCAUCCAUUCCCAUGACGGGCUCUUUCUACUUGUUGGCGGUGUGCUUGGUCCUGCAUUGGGAAGCAGAUGACCCCUCUGGAGCUUCAUCUUGGUUGUGCAGACGCUUUGACCCUAUGUCACGGCUGGGAUUUGAGCGACGAGCAAGAGAACCGGAGCCACCACCUAGACACAAAGCACAAGAACACGCACGGGAAACAAGACGGAUCAAUGCAAAAGAUACAGACCAAAGCUGAAGGAAACAAAUAAGCACGAGAUCCAGACAGAAAAAGAGUACUGGAUGAAUCUAUGGUAGUACCAGGCCGGUGUACGGAUGUAAAACAUUACAUCCGCUCCAGCCGCGGCAGUACCGUGUCGGGGUGGCACGAUAGUACCGUGCUUGGGGCGGAAGUAAUUUUUUACUUCCAGGCGCCAAGCGGUAGUACCGCACUAAGGUACGGAAGUACCGCAUGUGAAAGCACAAAUGCUCCCUAGGUGGUUUUGGUAAUUAAUGUCAACAUAUCUCUUGUUGGACUAACACUUUUAUCUAGUAUGUUUCAGAUAAGUUCAACAAUGGAGUGGCAUGGACUAAAUGAUGUGGAAACCCCUUCAAGAUGCUAAGGACAAAGGAUUGGCUCAAGCUUCAAGCUCAAGAAUCUUCAUUUUAUAUUUUAGUGAUCCAAGAUCACAUUGAGUCUAUAGGAAAAGCCAAUACUAUCAAGAAGGGAUGAGGUGUUGCUUAAUGAGUUUCUUGCUCCACGGUGCUUAGUGAUAUGCUCCAAAAACCCUCAACUACUUUCCCACAUUCACACAUAUGACCUAAACCUAAAGUCCAACUCGUCCCCACCGAUUCUUUCUAUCCGGCGCCACCGAGUUCAGAUAUCAUAGCCACUGCCACAAACCCUAGGCAAAUCAGUCUCACCGAUAGGGAUCUCGGUCUCACCGAGAUGGGAUUGUAAUCUCUUUGUGUAUGUCCAUUAUCAAAAUCGGUCUCACCAAGUUUGAGCAAUUGGUACUACCAAGAUUACAAUGCAAACUCUUUGGUUAACUUAUUACCCAAAUCGGUUUCACCAAGUUUGAGUAAUCGGUCCCACCGAGUUUGCCUGGCCAACUCUCUAGUUAGCUUAUUACCAAAAUCGGUCCCACCGAGUUUGUGUAAUCGGUCUCACCAAGAUUACGUUAUGCCCUAACCCUAACCAUAUCGGUCCUACCGAGUUGCAUUUCGGUCCCACCGAAAAUCCUAACGGUUACAUUGUUCACUGAAUCGGUCUGACCGAGUUUGUUGAUUCGGUCCCACCGAGAUUGGUAAAUUGUGUGUAACAGUUAGAUUUUGUGUGGAGGAUAUAUAUACCCCUCCACCUCUUCUUCAUUCGUGGAGAGAGCCAUCAGAACAAUCCUACACUUCCAGCAUCCUAUUUCUAAGAGAGAACUACCUACUCAUGUGUUGAGGCCAAGAUAUUCCAUUCCUACCAUAUUAAUCUUGAUCUCUAGCCUUCCCAAGUUGCUUUCCACUCAAAUCUUCUUUCCACCAGAUCAAAAUCCUAUGAGAGAGAGUUGAGUGUUGGGGAGACUAUCAUUUGAAGCACAAGAGCAAGGAGUUCAUCAUCAACACACUAUUUGUUACUUCUUGGAGAGUGGUGUCUCCUAGAUUGGCUAGGUGUCACUUGGGAGCCUCCGACAAGAUUGUGGAGUUGAACCAAGGAGUUUGUAAGGGCAAGGAGAUCGCCUACUUCAUGAAGAUCUACCGCUAGUGAGGCAAGUCCUUCGUGGGCGACGGCCAUGGUGGGAUAGACAAGGUUGCUUCUUCGUGGACCCUUCUUGGGUGGAGCCCUCCGUGGACUCGCGCAACCGUUACCCUUUGUGGGUUGAAGUCUCCAUCAACAUGGAUGUACGAUAGCACCACCUAUCGGAACCACGGCUCAAAAAUCACUGUGUCUCCAAAUUGCGUUUGAAAUCUCCAAACCCUUCCCUUUACAUUCUUGCAAGUUGCAUGCUUUACUUUCCGCUUCUCAUAUACUCCUUUGCAUGCUUGCUUGAUAUGUGUGAAGAUUUCUUGACUUGUGCUAAGAUUGCUAAAAUCUGCCAUAGACUAAAAUUGGGAAAAGGCAUAAUUUUUAAUUGGUCAAGUAGUCUAGUCACCCCCCCCCCCCUCUAGACUUACUUACCUCUUCUCAAGGUCCUACAAGUGGUAUCAGAGCAUUGGUCUCCAUUGCUUUGGUUUAAUCACCAUUGAGGAAGAUGGAUGAGUCUACUUUGGGGAGUCUUAGUCAUAGAGUGCCUAUACUUGAUGGAGAGUAUUUUCAUGAGUGAAAAAAUGAGAUGCUUGUAAUUUUCAAUCAAUAUCAUUUGAACAAGUACAUUGCUAGUCCUUGUGCACCAUAUGUUGAUCCUAUGCAUCCUACCCUUGAUGAGCCUAUUGACAUGAUUAGGAAUGUUAGAACUGUUAAUCUUAUCACUAGAGGCUUGCCUAGAAACUUGAUUGGAAAACUGCCUACUCUUGAGUGUGCCUACACUAUAUGGAAAUUUCUUGAGGAACGAUUUCCUAAUUAUUCCUUGAAAAAUCUGGAUGAAAUUCUUCAUAAGUCUAUUGCCUUGAGUAAGAUGAAUUCCAAUGAUCCUAUGUUUGGUAAUUGUCUAUUUGAACUUACAAAUCUUAUGUGUGCCAAAGGAAAUGUUAGAAUUAUUAGCGAUAUUAUUUCCGAAGCUACUAGACUUCAUAGAGGAGAUUAUUGUCAAACUCAUACUAAUGGAUCACCCUCACUAGGAAUUGAUCCACCACAUGACGAUGUUGAACAUGGAUACUAUGAUGAGGAUGAUGAUGAUGAUGACUUUGAUCUUGAUGAUGCAAUGAGACACUUUGGUCUUAUGGCAAAUCUUCGAGGAUAUAUGGCAGGAGGAAAGGAAUGGGUUCUUGAGAGUGGAUGUACCGAUCACAUGACCGGAGAUAAAGACAUGUUUCAUGAGCUUGCUGAAAAUGAUAGUCCUCGAAAAUAUGUCACUUUCGGUGACAACUCAAAGGGUAAGGUGGUUGGCCUCGGUAAGGUGGCCAUCUCACAUGACAGCUCAAUUCAGAAUGUUAUGCUCGUUGAAUCUCUUGGCUACAACUUACUUUCAGUAUCUAGACUUGUUGAUUUUGGUUUCAAUGUCCUAUUUACUGAAGUAGAUUGCCAAGUGUUUCGUUGAGACAAUCAUAAAAUGGUCUUUACUAGUAUACAUAGAGGUGAUCUUUACAUUGUUGAUUUCUCUAAAAAGGCUCAACCUAGAACUUGCUUCAUUGCUAAAUCCUCAAAAGGUUGGUUAUGGCAUAGACAACUAGGUCACGUUGGCAUGAGAAACCUUGACAAGCUUAUUAAAGGGAAUCAUAUCCUUGGUGUUAACGAUGUCAUAUUUGAUAAGGAUAGACUUUGCAGUGCUUGUCAAGCAGGUAAACAGGUUGGAGGAAGGCAUCCCGUGAAGAACAUCAUGACCACAAGGAGGCCACUUGAGUUACUUCACAUGGAUCUUUUUGGUCCCAACGCUUACAAAAGUCUCGGUGGAAAUUCUUUUGGUCUAGUUAUAGUUGAUGAUUUUUCAAGAUUUACGUGGGUGUUCUUUCUCGAUGAUAAAUCACAGGUCCAAAAGAUCUUCAAAAACUUCGCCAGGAAGGCUCAAAAUCAGUUUGAAGUGAAGAUCAAGAAGGUUCGCAGCGACAACGGAACGGAGUUCAAGAACGCAAAUGUGGACACCUUUCUUGACGAAGAAGAGAUUUCACACGAGUUCUCGGCUAUGUACACACCUCAACAAAAUGGAGUUGUUGAGAGGAAGAACCGGACGCUCAUCAAAAUGGCGAGAACGAUGCUUGAUGAGUACAAGACGCCGAAGCACUUUUGGGCAGAAGCGGUUGAGACAACUUGUCAUGCAACAAAUCGCUUGUAUCUUCACAAGAUACUCGGCAAGAUGGCAUACGAGCUCCUCACCGGUAACAAACCCCAAGUUGGAUACUUUCUAGUAUUCGGGUCAAAAUGCUACAUUCUUGAUAAGCAUCGUCAUUCUAAAUUUGCUCCUAAGUCCCAUGAAGGUUUCCUACUAGGUUAUGGCUCAAACUCUCACACUUACCAUGUCUACAACAAUUUCACCCGAAAGGUUGAAGAAACGGUAGAUGUGAAGUUUGAUGAAUCUAACGGCUCGCAAGUAGAGCAAUUGCCAAUUGAUGUAGGAGACAAAGACCCCUCGGAAGAAAUCCAAGACUUGUCUAUUGGCAAGAUCCGUCCAACGGAAGUGAAGGAGAGUACCUCGUCCGUCCAAGUGGAAGCUUCUACUUCACGACAAGGUGAACCAAGAGUUGAUAUGGAAGCAUCCACAAGUGGGACACACCAAGAUGAAGAAAACGAGGAAGUACAUCAAGAACGUCAACAAGCUCCUUCUCCACCACGACAAGGAACGACAACGCCAAUAAUGAAGAGGGCCAAGAAGAAGAAGAACAAGAUGAAGAAGAUGUUCAACCAAGACCCAAGCAAAAGCUUUCACGAGUUCGAGCAAGAAUUGCUAAAGACCAUCCCGUCGAGCAAAUCUACAAUGAUAUUCAAACCGGGAGAAUCACUCGCUCUAAAACUCGUUUAGCUAACUUUUGUGAAAACUAUUCAUUCCUCUCUAGCAUUGAACCUAUGAAGGUCGAAGAAGCAUUGGAAGAUCCGGAUUGGAUAAAUGCUAUGCACGAAGAGCUACACAACUUUGAGAGAAACCAAGUUUGGACAUUGGUUGAGAAGCCCGACAACAACCACAACAUCAUCGGUACCAAAUGGGUGUUUUGCAACAAGCAAGAUGAAGAUGGACAAGUAGUUCGCAACAAAGCACGUCUCGUCACCCAAGGCUACACACAAGUCGAAGGUAUGGACUAUGGUGAGACUUAUGCUCCCGUUGCUAGACUUGAGUCCAUUCGCAUCUUACUUGCCUAUGCUAAUCACCAUGAUAUCACCUUGUACCAAAUGGACAUUAAAAGUUCUUUUCUAAAUGGUGAAAUAGAGGAGGAAUUUUAUGUCAAACAACCUCCCGGCUUUAUCAAUCCUAAGAAACCCAAUCAUGUCUACAAGCUUCGCAAAUCUCUUUAUGGUCUUAAACAAGCUCCUAGAGCUUGGUAUAAAUGCUUAACCAAGUUCCUCAUUCAAAAAGGCUUUGAAAUUGGAAAAAUGAUUCUACACUUUUUACUAAAAGGGUUAAUGGAGAAUUAUUUGUAUGCCAAAUUUAUGUUGAUGAUAUUAUAUUUGGAUCGACUAACCCUCAUUUUAGCAAGAAGUUUGGAAAGCUAAUGUCGGAGAAGUUUGAGAUGUCAAUGAUGAGUGAACUCAAAUUCCUUCUUGGGUUGCAAAUCAAGCAAACUAAGGAAGGUACUUUUGUCUCUCAAACGAAGUACACUAAGGACUUAUUCAAGAAGUUCAAUAUGCAAGAAUGCAAAGGUAUGUCUACACCCAUGCCUACUAGUGGACAUCUUGAUUUGACCAAAGAUGGUGAACCGGUUGAUCAAAAGGUUUAUCGCUCUAUGAUUGGUUCAUUGUUAUAUCUAUGUGCUUCACGUCCCGAUAUUAUGCUAAGUGUGUGCAUGUGUGCAAGAUAUCAAGCUGCACCUAAAGAAUGUCAUCUUAAGGCCAUGAAAAGGAUAGUGAGAUAUUUAAUUCAUACGCCAAAUUUUGGCAUUUGGUAUCCUAAGAGGGCCUCUUUCGAUCUUGCUGGCUACUCCAACUCGGACUAUGCCGGAGACAAGGUUGAUAGAAAGUCCACUUCGGGUACUUGUCAAUUUCUUGGUAGAUCUCUUGUGUCUUGGUCUUCCAAGAAACAAAACUCGGUAUCCUUAUCCACCGCCGAAGCGGAAUACGUUGUCGCUGGUUCAUAUUGUGCUCAAUUACUUUGGAUGACCCAAACUCUGAAAGAUUAUGGGAUAUAUGUGAAACAUGUUCCAUUGCUUUGUGACAAUGAAAGUGCUAAUCAAAAUUGGUCAUAAUCUCGUGCAACAUUCUCAAACUAAGCAUAUUUAAGUUCGUCAUCAUUUCAUUCGAGAUCAUGUUGCUAAGGGUGACAUUGAUCUUAAGCAUGUUCGCACCGAAAAGCAAUUAGCAGAUAUUUUCACCAAACCUCUUGAUGAGAAAGUUUGCAGGUUGAGAGGAGAAUUGAACAUCAUUGAUGCUUCAAACUUGGAGUAGAAACUCCAUUGUAUACAUGCAAGACAAGAGCUUAUGACUAAUCCUUGAUAUUUCUCUUAUGAUGAUAAUCUUAUGUCUUGGACAUAUUUGCAUCUUGCAUGUUAUCUAACCCAUGUAGGUACUUGGUUGAAUCAUAUUCCAUGAGAUUAUAACCUACUCACAUCUUGAGCAAUCCCUACAUCACCAAGUCUCUACACUAUGGUGGUUGAAGACAGGAAGCUCGGAACCAUUCGAACAUAUCCUUUGACAAAUUCUAUGUUGAAAUUCAUAAUUGUUAUUUUGGGUACACAAGUGCUCUUCCUUGCAAGAACUAACCCAUGUAGGUAGAUGAACUCAAAUUCUAGGUGGCGCUCCCAACUCUUGCUGAGCUACAUCAACCUUGAGCAACCCACACAAGUUCAACUACAUGAUCAACACCACCACCCAAGAUAUGUUUUUCCAUCUUAGAGAAGCUUUACUCCAAGACAUGAGAUAAAGCAACUCGACAAGAUGUGAAUACAUCAAGAUGCUUAAACGAAAAAUGGAAACCCCAUUUUGAGCUUAAACAAUGAGUAUGACCUAUGAUCAAGUGAUCUCACUUGACUCCUAAGUCAAUAUACUCUAACAUAGGUGACUUUGUUGCUGACCAAUUCUACAUGAAGUUCUCUCGUGUUCUUUUCUAUGCUCUUGCAUUUGUCUCAUGCAUGUUUGUUUCCCCUUUCAAAAAAACUUCAUCUAGAUUUCUUUCUUUUCUUUUCUGUUUGCUCUGCAUUUCCUGCACCCAAUUCAUUGCAUAUCAUUCAGUUAAUUCCUUGCAAAUCUUUGUGAGAUCUUACUAGUCUAGUGAGCUAAGGUGACAAGUGUUCUCUUUGUGAUGAACUCGGUCUCACUGUUUUGUUGAUUUUGGUCCAACCGAAACCUUUCGGUGCAACCGAAUCAUAUCACUCGGUGCCACUGACUUCACAACAGGAAAAACAUUUUGCCACUUAUUCCUCUUUUCUUUUGAUCCAGCUCCACUCAAUGAAUCUUGUCCUCUACAAGCAUCACAUUGUUAUCAGUGCUUUGUACUGUGACUCAAGGAUCAAACCCAUUCACGACAAAUUCUAGAAGGCCCUUCUUGGAAAUUGAUGUCAAAGGGGGAGAGAGAGAUCACAUCAAAGCUUAUCACUUCCAAAGAGAGAGAGAGAUUAUCACUUCCACAGGGGGAGAGAGAGAUCUCUAGGGGGAGAGGAUACUCAAGAAGAGAGUAAUCCUCAAGGAUCCCAGAUGCUUAGUGUUCAAGAGGAGAGAUGCCACAUGUCUUCUUGAGGGGAAAGGCAUGUUCUUAUGUGCUUAUUUGCAUUAGCUCUGUUCAUUUGUUCCUUUCAGCUCUGAUUUUCUGUUCACUAUCUUCUCCCAGUAUCCCAUGCUAGAUUCAAGGGGAGCAAGACAUCUAAAGGAAAGAAAUCAUUUAAAUUCAUUGCAUAUCUUUACCUUUGGGGACAUGUCUAAUCCAAUGUGGUACUUAGUACUCACUCUCUACAUGUCAUCCUAGUCUUGGUAUUCUUGUGGUUCCUUCUGUUUGCUCUGGCUAGUAGGUGUAUCUGUGUUGUCUAACCUUGUUUAGGCAGGUUCAUUCCAUCCUAAGCCAACUCAAGACCACAAGGUAAGUAUAUGCAUCACAAUCAUGUGUAUGAGGAAUUCUUGCUGAUGUACAUACUGUUUCCAAGAAGGACUCAUGAGCAUGAAGCUAUUUUCUUUAAUAUUCCUUGCUCUGAUGCAUAUGGCCAAGAUACAUGUAACACAUUGCUUACUCUGUCAUGUUCAUGCAUUCACAUGCUUCUACAUUCCAUAUUCACAUGAUUGCAUACAUGUAGGGGGAGCCUAUGCUUGUUACAUGUCUUUCCAAAGCUUUACUUGCUAUACUCUAUAUCUUUAUCUAAAGCUUUGAUGUAUGUUGUCAUCAAUUACCAAAAAGGGGGAGAUUGAAAGAACAAGUGCUCCCUAGGUGGUUUUGGUAAUUAAUGUCAACAUAUCUCUUGUUGGACUAACACUUUUAUCUAGUAUGUUUCAGAUAAGUUCAACAAUGGAGUGGCAUGGACUAAAGGAUGUGGAAACCCCUUCAAGAUGCUAAGGACAAAGGAUUGGUUCAAGCUUCAAGAUCAAGACUCUUCAUUUUAUAUUUAAGUGAUCCAAGAUCACAUUGAGUCUAUAGGAAAAGCCAAUACUAUCAAGAAGGGAUGAGGUGUUGCUUAAUGAGUUUCUUGCUCCACAGUGCUUAGUGAUAUGCUCCAAAAUCCCUCAACUACUUUCCCACAUUCACACAUAUGACUUAAACCUAAAGUCCAACUCGGCCCCACCGAUUCUUUCUAUCCGGCGCCACCGAGUUCAGAUAUCAUAGCCACUGCCACAAACCCUAGGCAAAUCGGUCUCACCGAUAGGGAUCUCGGUCUCACCGAGAUGGGAUUGUAAUAUCUCUGUGUAUGUCCAUUAUCAAAAUCGGUCUCACCGAGUUUGAGCAAUUGGUACUACCGAGAUUACAAUGCAAACUCUCUGGUUAACUUAUUACCCAAAUCGGUUUCACCGAGUUUGAGUAAUUGGUCCCACCGAGUUUGCCUCACCAACUCUCUGGUUAGCUUAUUACCAAAAUCGGUCCCACUGAGUUUGUGUAAUCGGUCUCACCGAGAUUACGUUAUGCCCUAACCCUAACCAUAUCGGUCCUACCGAGUUGCAUUUCGGUCCCACCGAAAAUCCUAACGGUCACAUUGUUUACUGAAUCGGUCCGACCAAGUUUGUUGAUUCGGUCCCACCGAGAUUGGUAAAUUGUGUGUAACAGUUAGAUUUUGUGUGGAGGCUAUAUAUACCCCUCCACCUCCUCUUCAUUCGUGGAGAGAGCCAUCAGAACAAUCAUACACUUCCAGCAUCCUAUUUCUGAGAGAGAACUACCUACUCAUGUGUUGAGGCCAAGAUAUUCCAUUCCUACCAUAUGAAUCUUGAUCUCUAGCCUUCCCAAGUUGCUUUCCACUCAAAUCUUCUUUCCACCAGAUCCAAAUCCUAUGAGAGAGAGUUGAGUGUUGGGGAGACUAUCAUUUGAAGCACAAGAGCAAGGAGUUCAUCAUCAACACACCAUUUGUUACUUCUUGGAGAGUGGUGUCUCCUAGAUUGGCUAGGUGUCACUUGGGAGCCUCCGACAAGAUUGUGGAGUUGAUCCAAGGAGUUUGUAAGGGCAAGGAGAUUGCCUACUUCGUGAAGAUCUACCGCUAGCGAGGCAAGUCCUUCGUGGGCGAUGGCCAUGGUGGGAUAGACAAGGUUGCUUCUUCGUGGACCCUUCUUGGGUGGAGCCCUCCGUGGACUCGCGCAACCGUUACCCUUCAUGGGUUGAAGUCUCCAUCAACGUGGAUGUAUGAUAGCACCACCUAUCGGAACCACGGCUCAAAAAUCACCGUGUCUCCAAAUUGCGUUCGAAAUCUCCAAACCCUUCCCUUUACAUUCUUGCAAGUUCAUGCUUUACUUUCCGCUGCUCAUAUACUCCUUUGCGUGCUUGCUUGAAUUGUGUGAAGAUUGCUUGACUUGUGCUAAGAUUGCUAAAAUCUGCCAUAGACUAAAAUUGGGAAAAGGCAUAAUUUUUAAUUGGUCAAGUAGUCUAAUCACCCCCCUCUAGACUUAAUUACUUACCUCUUCUCAAGGUCCUACAGCAUGGUGCCAGAUACAGGCGAGGCCGCGGUAGUACUGCUCCAGGAGGAGCGGUAGUACUGCGCGGAUCGAAAACUGCGACAGAGAGUUACGGAUCUGGAUCUAGUACCUCUGCACGACAACAUCGGUACUACCGUUGAUCAAUCGGAACUAUUUUGACUAUCCAAAGAGCAUGCUUACUACACUACCAUGCUCCUACGAAUCCCUCUUGCACAGAUUUAGCCAAAAAUCUCAAGACCACCACAUGCAUCUCCCAAAAACCUAGAAGCAAAGGAACAAACCAAAAGGAGAGGGAUUUGGGGAAAAACCUUGGUCCAUGGCAAGAGGAAGUGGUGUGGAACGAUCCCACCAGUCAGAAUCCGAGGAGAGCGGCCGGAGACGAAGAUCCGGCGAAGGCCUCCGGCGCCGUUCUUAGGUAGGAGAGAGAGACGGGUGGGGAAUAGAGAUGAAUGGGUAUGGGGGAGUUAGAACUCCCCCUAUCCCACUCUUAACCCCCACCUGCUUGCGUGGGUGCGGAAGUACCGCCGGUCAUCGCAGUAGUACCGCCCGGGCGUAAGUACCGCGCGCUGGGCGGUAGUACCGCUCUUCCAGCGGCAGUAAAAAAAGUACUGCCGCGAUGGUAGCGGUAGUACCAUGCCCCUGGGAGGCAACUGAGCAAACGCAAAGCUACCAACUCCUGCGGUAGUACCGUGGCCUGCCACGGUAGUACCGUAACCCAAGAAAGUGCAAGUUUCACACAAGAGCAAAAGCAAAACAACCUUCGGGAACACCGAACAAAAAAGAGGCGAAAACAAACGAUGACACAAACUCGCACAUGGAAGAGGAAAGCACAAGACAAGGAAGACCAACCAAGAGACACAACCUCUCCAAGGAGAGGGCGGUGGCCGGAGCAACCUAUGUUUGAGUCAAUUGGUAUGGCACCGCGAAGAAUUAUCCUUGGGCCCAUGACCAAAACUCGUCUUUGAAGCACAAGUACCAUCAAAAAUGGCUAAUGUGAAAGAGUUGAUCAAUUUAUGCAUAAUGGGGGGAGGGGGAGUUCAUUGAGAGAACAACACUCCCCCUAUGUCCAUGCCUACACCUAAAACUAGACAACAAGUUGAAUGUGGUGGGAUGUGCAAGGGUUCAAGUCACAUUGCUCGAAUCAAUGAUAUUUAGCUCAUGCCUUAACUCGCGAAAUCUUGCUUCAUCCAAGGGCUUCGUGAAAAUAUCUACAAGGUUAUCAUGAGUGUUGACAUACUUGAGCUCGAUCUCCCCUCGCCUAAUAUGAUCCCGGAUGAAGUGAUACCGAAUCUCAAUAUGCUUCGUCUUGAAGUGUUGCACCGGGUUGAGAGAAAUCUUGAUGGCACUUUCAUUGUCACACCAAAGAGGCACUUUGUCAUAAAUGACACUAUACUCCUUUAAAGUUUUCCUCAUCCAUAGCAGUUGUGCACAACAACUACCGGCCGCCACAUACUCCGCUUCGGUGGACGAGAGAGACACACAACUUUGCUUUUUGGAAGACCAACUCACCAAAGAGCAACCAAGAAAUUGGCACCCUCCGGAAGUCGACUUCCUAUCCACUUUGUCUCCCGCCCAGUCGGAAUCCGUAUAUCCUUCAAGCUUGAAGUUUGCUCCUCUUGGUACCACAAGCCAACGUUUGGGGUAUGAGCCAAAUAUCGAAAGAUUCGCUUGACCGCCACAUAGUUGCUUUCCUUUGGUGCGGCUUGAAACCAUGCACACAUUCCCAUACUCAACAUGAUAUCCAGUCUAGAUGCACAAAAAUAAAGCAAGGAGCCAAUCAUGGAGCGAUAUACCUUUUGAUCCACUGCUUUAUCAUUGGGAUCAAUGUCAAGUUGGGACUUGGUGGGCAUUGGAGUAGUAGCCGGCUUGACAUCACUUAGCUUGAAUCUUUUGAGCAUGUCUUGAGUGUAUUUGGCUCGGUUGAUGAAGGUUCCUUCUCUUCUUUGCUUGAUAUCGAACCCGAGGAAGAACUUCAACUCUCCCAUCGAAGACAUCUUGAACUUAGAGGUCAUGAGAGCGGGAAAUUCCUCAUUGAAAGCUUUGUUAGGGGAACCAAAGAUAAUAUCAUCAACAUAUAGUUGGCAUACAAACAACUCCCCUUUGACCUUCUUAGUAAAAAGAGUGGGAUCAAUUUUCCCAACCUCAAACCCACGAUCUUGUAGCAACUCGGUAAGGUGGUCAUACCACGCACGUGGGGCUUGCUUAAGGCCAUAGAGUGCCUUAUCAAGUUGAUACACAUGAUCCGGGAAAUAGGGAUCCUCGAACCCGGGGGGUUGCUUGACAUAAACCAAGUCAUUAAUAGGACCAUUAAGAAAAUCACUCUUCACAUCCAUUUGUUGUAACUUAAAGUUGUGAUGGGAAGCAUAAGCAAUCAACAAACGAAUGGAUUCAAGGCGAGUAACGGGAGCAAAGGUUUCACCGUCGUCGAUACCCUCAACUUGGGAGUAGCCUUGUGCUACCAAUCUUGCCUUGUUGCGAAUGAUGUUCCCAUGAGCAUCUUGCUUGUUCUUGAAUAUCCACUUGGUUCCAAUGACGUUGUGGUUCUCCGACGGCCUUGACACCAAUCUCCACACCUUGUUGUACUCAAAGGUGUUGAGUUCUUCAUGCAUGGCAUUGAGCCAAUCCGAAUCUUCGAGCGCCUCAUAGACCUUUUGGGGUUCAACACAAGAGACAAACGUGUGAUGUUCACAAUAGUUUGCUAAUUGUCUACGAGUGCUUACCCCCUUUCUUAGGCUUCCAACCACAUUUUCCAUGAGAUGACCUUUGGUGGUGAGCUUGGAAGCAAUCUUCGCGGCACGACGCUCUAACUCCUCCUCGGAUGUGGAAGCAGGAGGGGUAACUUGAUCAUCUUGAGCACCGUCUUGAGCUUGUUCUUGGUCUUGAACUUGCUCGAGGGGGAGAACUUGACCUUGGGCAUCAUUUGGUGGUUCACCACCAUCUUGAGGUUGAUCUUGCCCUUGAUUUUGUUCGAGAGGUUGAGGGCCUUCACUUUGUUCUUUGGAAGCGUGUGGGUCUUGGGAAGGUGAUGGCUCCACUUGAGUGGAGCAUUGUCCUUCUCCUUCGGCCACAAGGGGUUCCUCAAUGGGUAGGAUAUGACCAAUACCCAUUCUUCUUAUGGCUUGGGGAGGAAUUUCAUCACCUACAUCACAAGUACCAUUUUUCUCCACUUGGUAGCCGUUAUUCUCGUCAAACUCUAUGUCACACGUCUCCUCAAUGAGUCUGGUGGACUUGUUGAGGACACAGUAAGCAUGAGAGUUUGUAGCAUAACCAAAAAAUAUGCCCUCAUAAGCUCUAGCCUCAAAUUUAGACAAACAAACACCUUUCUUGAGAAUGAAACACUUACACCUGAACACCCGGAAGUACUUGAGGUUGGGCUUGUUACUGGUGAGUAUUUCAUAAGGAGUCUUGUUCAAGCCUUUGCGGAGAUAGAGCUGAUUGGAUGCAUGACAUGUUGUGUUGAUGGCUUCAGCCCAAAAGUUGUAUGGAGACUUGAACUCCUCCAUCAUGGUCCUGUCCGCAUCCAUCAACGUCCGGUUCUUCCUCUCCGCGACACCAUUUUGUUGAGGGGUAUAUUGAUGCUUGAUCCCCUCAUCACUAAGAAACUCAUCUAAGGUCUAGUUCUUGAACUCGAUGCUGUUGUCACUUCUUAUUGUCAAGAUCUUUGCAUCAUGUUGAUGUUGAGCUUCAUUUGCAAAGUCGAUGACAAUCUGUUGAGUCUCACUCUUCCUCUUGAAGAAGUAUACCCAAGUGUAUCUUGAAUAAUCAUCCACAAUCACCAAGAAAUACUUUCUACCUCCAAGACUAUCAAAGGAUGGAGGCCCAAAGAGAUCCAUGUGAAGGAGCUCUGAGGGUCUCUUCGAGUAGAUGAUGGUCGUGGGAGGGUGAGCCUUCUCAUGAAGCUUUCCUUCAAUACAAGAACUGCAAGCAUGAUCUUUGGCAAAACUAACAUUUGUUAGUCCACGGACAUGGUCCCCCUUGAGAAGACUUUGCAAAGAUCUCAUAUUGACGUGGGCUAAAUGGCGAUGCCAAAGCCAUCCCACAUCAACUUUAGCCAUUAGGCAUGUCGCGGUCUUAGUGGAUUGCUCCGAAAAGUUAAUCACGUAAAGACCAUUCUCGACAUGCCCAAUAAAGGCUACUUUAAGAGUCUUGCUCCACAAGAGGGCCAGGGUAUCAAUAUCAAAGAAAGUAGCAAAGCCCAUGAGUGCAAGUUGACGAACGGAAAGAAGAUUGAAUGCAAGGGACUCAACAAGCAUGACUUUCUCGAUCGUUAGAUCAUGAGAAAUGACAACCUUGCCAAGACCCAAUACCUUAGAAGACGAUGCAUCCCCCCACUCGACAUUUGUGGGCAUAGAAGGAAUCUUUUGCACGUCCACCACCAAGUCCUUGCUUCCGGUCAUAUGAUUUGUUGCUCCACUAUCGAGCAACCAUGAUCCCCCACCGGAAGCAAACACCUACACGAGAUCAAUGCUUGGUUUUAGGUACCCAUCUCAAUGGGUCCUUUGAUGUUAGUAACAAGGGUCUUAGGAACCCAAAUAGACCAUUCAAUGUACUCAUAAGGAGAACCAACAAAUUUAGCAUAAACAUGCCCAUCACUAGCAUGGCACAACAAAUAAGAGGGGUUAAAGUCGUCGGCUUUGUUGGAGGAGGUGGUUUUGCCCUUUUUGACAUCAACACCCUUCACAUUAUUCUUCUUCUCCUUAGGAGCACCCUCUCCCUCUUUCACAAAAGUUUUCUUGAGAGCAGGAGGUCGUUUGGUCUUGUCGUUCUUCUUCUUGUUCUUGGACUUGGGUGCGAACCCAACUCCCUCCUUGGCCACACCUUCCUUUUGAUUGCUCAAAAGGUCAUUGAGGUUCUUCUCACCUUGAAUGCAUGUCACAAGGCCUUUCUCAAGUUGAUCCUUCAACUUGGCAUUCUCCUCCACAAGAUGCACAUGCUCACAACAUGGGUUAGUGGCAUUUGCAUUAUCAAUUAACACCAUAUGAGGAAAGGUGGCUUUUUCUUUGGUUAACUUAACUUGGAGUUGAUCAUGAGACUCCUUGAGGCUAGCAUGAGCACCCUUCAAGACCUUGUGAGCCUUGUCGAGUAAAUCAAACUCCUCCUUGAGUCUAGCAUGGUCAACGCCAAGUUUAGCCUUCUCGGAAGUUAGCACACAAGACACAACAAGAGCAUGAUCAAGAUCUUUCUUUAACUUAGCAUGGUCAUCGUUGUGUGACUCCUCAAGAGCCAAACGAUGUCCACGCUCUUCCUCAAGAGCAUUAGAGAGAUCCGAUAUCUCAUCAGCAUAGUCAUGACUAUGGCCUUCCAUCUUAGAGAUGGUUUCUUCAUGAGCCUCGAUCAUGUCAUUGGCUUCACCAAGUUGUUCCAAGAGAGCAACGAAGUGCUUCUUGGAUUUGCCCUUUAGCUUACUCAUAAAAGACUCAAAUUCAUUUACUUCCUCACUAGACCCCUCAUGUUCAUCAAUGCAAUCCGUCAAGGAGGGAUUAGUAAUGAUGGUGGUUUUGAUGUUGGGAGUUACCUUGUUAGAGGCUUUGGCCAUGAGGCACUUGGCGAUGAUGUUCUCAUUGGGUGAAUCAAAGAGAGACAUCCGGGGAGUUGUGGCAAUGGCAACGGAUGCCAUGGCCAUUGCUUCACUAUCUUCAUCAUCAUUGUCAUCCUCAUGGUAUUCUUCUUGAACCACCAACCCUCGAGUAGGAGUCUUUUUAGUGAAGUUGUUCUUGUUGGGGAAGGACUUGGCUUUGUCUUUUAGGAUGAGCUUGCCACCAUUGUCUUCCCGCUUCUCGUAUGGACAAUCUGCAACGAAAUGGAUCACAUUGCCACCGUUGUAACAAGUUCUUACUCAUUGCUUUCCCUUAAAGCCACUUGAGUUGUUCUUGUUGAAAUUGGGACUUGAUUUCUUCUUGCUCCAAAAUUUCCUUGAAGCAAGAGCCAUGUGCUCAUGAUAAUCAUACUUCGUAUCUUCGGGGUUGCUCUCCUCAUCUUCCUCUUCUUCCUCUUCUUCCACAAUAACCUUGGCCUUCAAGGCAAGGUUGGGCUUCUUUGCCCUUUGAGAGCGGAGCACCAUGUUGUCGGUGGUCUUGUCCAAGAUGCUCAUUGCAAUGAACUCAUCCAACACUUCACUUGAGGUCAUGGAGUGGAAGUCCGGUCUUUAACGAAUGACGGAAGACAUGGCCUUGUUGUAGGGCAUCAUGGCCUUGAGGAACUUGCGCUUGAUCCAAUUGUCAUCCGUGUCCUUGCUCCCAUGAUCUCGGAGUGAGACCGCGAGUUUGGUUACUCUCCGAAAGAGCUCACGAGGUUCUUCAUCUUCUUUCAUUGCAAACUCAUCGGCUUCAUCUUGCACCACUUCAUAGUUGGAGCGUUGAAUGCUUGAACUUCCCCGAUAGAGAGACACAACGCAUUGCCAUGCGUCUUUGUCCAUGGCAUGGGGUCGGAGAUGAGGGAGAUCUUCAGGGAGAAUAGCAUCUUGGAUGAUGAAGAGAGCAUUAUCAUUGAAUUGAUUAUCCACGGCUUCUCUAGGGGUGAAGUUGCUUCGGUCAUGUGGAUAGAAACCUUCUUCAAUGAUUCUCCAAAGAUUAGUAUUCACAUGAUUUAAAUGACGCUUGAAGCGAUACGCCCAAGAAUCAAAAUCCUCAUUUUUCACAAUCUUAGGAGGAGGGCCGGCAUGAUUUAAAUGAGUAGAGGGAAUCAGUCCUCCAUAAGUUGGAGGUUCCACAUGGGCAAAGAUGCCGGUGCCAUUUCUACCACUGGUAGAAGGACCCUUUUCACUAUUAGCUUCCCCCUUGUCGGAGUUAGCAUCCGUCACCUUGUUAGUGGGAUCACCCACUUUCAACGGCACGGUAGAUAGUUUAAGUCCUUCUAAGAAUUUAUUAAACAUGCUUUCAACCUCGGUGGUCAAAGAGGUUUUUAAUGUGUCCAAAGCCACAUUGAAUUCCUCACGAGACACCGCGGUUUCCCCAUCACCCGUAGACGAGCUCGGAUUCACACCGGAGUGCUCCUCCCUAUCGUCUAUGGUGUCAACCAUACUCUUCGGACGGCAAAGUCCUUAAUAAAGAAACGAGGCUCUGAUACCAAUUGAAAGGAUCGAUAUAAUUGACUAGAGGGAGGUGAAUAGGCAACUAACAAUUUUUAGCUUUUCUUUACCAAAUUAAACUUUGCAUCAUAGUAGGUUGUCUAGAUAUGCAACUAGGUGAACAACCUAUAUGAUGCAACAACAACAAUCACACAAGCAAGCAUGGGAUAUAACACAAGUAAGCUUGCAAAAGUAAAGGAGCAAGAUAACCACGAGUGGAGCCGGUGGAGACGAGGAUGUGUUACCGAAGUUCCUUCCUUUUGAGGGGAAGUACGUCUCCAUUAGAGAGGUGUGGAGGCACAAUGCUCCCCAAGAAGCCACUAGAUCCACCGUAUUCUCCUCACGCCCUCACACAAUGCGAGAUGCCGUGAUUCCACUAUUGGUGCCCUUGAAGGCAGCGACCGAACCUUUACAAACAAGGUUGGGGCAAUCUCCACAACUUAACUGGAGGCUCCCAACGACACCACAAAGCUUCACCACAAUGGACUAUGGCUCCGAGGUGACCUCAACCGUCUAGGGUGCUCAAACACCUAAGAGUAACAAGAUCCGCUAGGGAUUAGUGGGGGGAAUCAAAUUUCUCUUGGUGGAAGUGUAGAUCAGGGCCUUCUCAACCAAUCCCGAGCAAAUCAACAAGUUUGAUCGGCUAGGGAGAGAGAUCGGGCGAAAAUGGAGCUUGGAGCAACAAUGGAGCUUAGGGAUGGAAGAGGUGGGUCUUCUUGGAGAAGAAAACCCCCUUAUAUAGUGGGGGGAAAUUCCAACCAUUACCCACCACUCAGCCCGCGACUCGCGGUACUACUGCACCACAGGAGCGGUACUACCGCACAAGUCUGCGGUACUACUGUGGUGGACCGCGGUACUACCGUGGGCGCAGCAGAGCCUGGACCUGAAUAGAAGAACACAGACAGGGUGCGGUAGAACAGCAGGCGCGGUACUACCGCGACCCUUUGCGGUACUACCGCAGGGCAGCCACGGUCCAGGAACGGUAGGCACAGAUGUAAAAAAAUUACAUCCGUGACUACCUCCGCUGAGAUAUUAUCGAUGCGAAAAUCCGACAUGGUACUACCGCGAACCAGGGUGUGGUACUACCGUGAAGGGUACGAGAAUGUAAAAAAUUACCUCCGCUCCUACAGCAGCACCUGGCCACGCGACACGGUACUACUGCGCCGCAUCACGGUACUACCGCGUAGGGCGCGGAUGUAAAAAAUUACAUCCGCCCCUACUACCGCUUGAGCAGCGACGCCGGGCCAGAACUCACGAUACUACCGCUUGGGCGGAGUGGUAAUACUGUGGAAGCCUACGGUACUACCGUGCUGGAGCCCGGUACUACCGCUGGCUCCUGCGGUAGUACCGCUCAGUGGAGCAGUGCUACCGCCAGCCUGAGAUGAGCAACUCGGAGUCCUUCAUUUCACAGAGACAAGGUGAGACGAAGAAGAACUCCAAAGAGCCAAAGGAAAUGCGUUGCAAAAGGGACGUGUACAUGAGAUUCCACCCAAACCUUUCCAAAGCGGACCCCCUCUUAAUAGUACGGCUUUCCUCGACUCAACUCCACCGAAAAGAACCGUAGAGAAACGCCGUAUUCAAUAAUCUUCGAGGGGCAUCAAAUCGUCUUGUGUUUAGUCACGAUAUAUCUGAAAAGCUCAGUACACAUGAUUAGUCCGCAAAAGCAUUGUCAUCAAUCACCAAAACUACUAAGGGACAAGAAUGCCCUUACACUUGGCAUAUAACUGAUGUUCUCUGAGCUUCCCAAGUACCAAACGCAAAUGCUCCUUAUGCUCCUCUUCAUUUUUCGAGUAGACCAGAAUAUCAUCAAUGAACACCACGACGAACUUAUCCAAAAACUCCAUAAACACCUUGUUCAUCAUGUUCAUGAAAUAGGCAGGCGCAUUAGUCAGACCAAAUGACAUAAUGGUAUACUCAUAUAACCCGUACCUUGUGGUAAAAGCUGUCUUGGGUAUAUCCUGCUCUCGAAUCUUCAACUGGUGGUAUCCUGAUCGCAGAUCGAUCUUGGAAAAUACUUUAGCUCCUUGCAACUGAUCAAACAAGUCAUUGAUCAUCGGCAGUGGGUACUUGUUCUUGAUCGUUACUGUCGGUGUCAAAACCGGCGGAUCUCGGGUAGGGGGUCCCGAACUGUGCGUCUAGGCGGAUGGUAACACGAGACAAGGGACACGAUGUUUUACCCAGGUUCGGGCCCUCUUAAUGGAGGUAAAACCCUACGUCCUGCUUGAUUGAUAUUGAUGAUGUGGGUAUUACAAGAGUAGAUCUACCACGAGAUCAAGGAGGCUAAACCCUAGAAGCUAGCCUAUGGUAUGAUUGUUGUUCGUCCUAUGGACUAAAGCCAUCCGGUUUAUAUAGACACCGGAGAGGACUAGGGUUACACAGAGUCGGUUACAAUGGUAGGAGAUCUACAUAUCCGUAUUGCCAAGCUUGCCUUCCACGCCAAGGGAAGUCCCAUCCGGACACGGGAUGAAGUCUUCAAUCUUGUAUCUUCAUAGUCUUGGAGUCCGGAUGAUGAUAGUUCGGCUAUCCGGACACCCCCUAGUUCAGGACUCCCUCAGUAGCCCCUGAACCAGGCUUCAAUGACGACGAGUCUGGCGCGCAUAUUGUCUUCGGCGUUGCAAGGCGGGUUCCUUCUCCGAAUAAUUUAUAGAAGAUUGUGAACACUAGGAUAGUGUCCGGCUCUGCAAAAUAAAUUCCACAUACCACCAUAGAGAGAAUAAUAUUUACACAAGUUCAAUCUGCUGACGUAUUUGGUGGCGUGACGUCACACCACUACCAAGCCUUUACUCGAAUCGUUUUUAUUGUACCACCUUAGCGUGUUUAGCGAAGCGGUUUCCUUGGCACGUCUUGUCGAAGCAGAGAUCGUGUUCCCCUUAUUCCGGGAUUCCCAUCAAUACAGACGUGGGUGACCCAACCGCGCCAUUGAUUGCGGCGCUUGGGAGAUAAGCGAGUUUUAUCAGGCUGGUGGGGACUCAUGUUUUCGUCCGCCCAUAUAAGAGGAUAAAGAUCCAACCCUUUUACCUGCGCCUUCUUCCUCCUUGGCUUAUCCAUCUCCGCGAACUCGAGCUCCAGCGCCCAAGUCCGCACAUCUCACCUCAACCUUCUCCAACUAUGUCCGGAGCGGGAGGCAAGUGGAUGGCCUCCUCCGUUAUGGAGGGGCACAUCCAGAAGCUGUGCAGCGCCGGAUAUCUGUCCAGCGACAUCGUGCACCGGCUCCCCGACGAGGGAGAGCUCAUCCCCACCCCCAGGCCCCAUGAGAGGGUAGUAUUUCUUUCCAAUUUCCUCCGCGGACUGGGCUUCCCACUCCAUCCCUUUGUCCGGGGGCUCAUGUUCUACUACGGCCUGGAUUUACAUGAUCUGGCCCCGAAUUUCAUCCUCAACAUCUCGGUGUUUAUCGUCGUGUGUGAGGCCUUCCUCUGCAUCCAGCCCCACUUCGGCUUGUGGCUCAAGACCCUCAGUAUCAAGCCGAAGGUUGUGAAGGGCAGCCAAGCAGAGUGCGGAGGCGCCAUGGUGGGCAAGAUGCCCAACAUUACUUGGCUUGAGGGCACUUUCGUGGAAACCAUUAAGGGGUGGCAAUCGGGGUGGUUCUACAUCACCGAGCCGCGUGACCCUGAAUGGGCAGCGGCCCCCGAAUUUAGAUCUGGCAUCCCCAUACGGCUCACCUCCUGGAAAGAGAGCGGCCGGACAUGGGGUGAUUCGGAGGAGCUGACCGGACUCCAAGCCUGCAUCCAAAAGCUAGUGAACAAGAAGCUCAAGCUUGUCAACGUAGUCUAGGUCAUGCUCAUCCGCCGGAUUCUCCCGUGCCAACGACGGGGCUUCAAUACGUGGGAGUUCGAUUCGGCGCAGCACCAGACUUUGAGCGGGCUCUCCGUCACUACGUACGAAGAUGCCUGGAGGGUGCUGUUUAAGGGUGCCGAGGCCCCCGCAUCUGCUACCGAAGAUCGCAGAUUUAGCUCGCAGCGUCCGGCUAGCGAGGUAAGCGAUUUUGCCCUUUACGGGACACUUGUUUUCCUUAGUUUGACUCUAUGCGGGAUCUAAACUCCCCCUCCUUUGACAGGACUAGCUGAAGAAGGCUAAACAGACUAUCUGUCCGGCCCCAUUGCCAGAGGACCCAGCGGACGCCCGCUUAACGGGGCUGCUGGCUCCGGCACCCCAUGUGGUGUCGGAGAAGAAGGCCAAGAAGAAGGCCACGGGCACUCGGAAGAGUUCCCGUUUUCAGGUGUCAUCGGACGAUGACUCCGAGGCAGACUCCUCCCACAAAGGCGAGGAGGAGAAGAAGAAGGCCUCUCCCCCAGCGGGGGGAGGGAAGAAAAGGAAGGCUUCCCCAACAAGGGAGGCCGAAGGGUCCAAGAAGGGAAGGACUCUUCCCCCGGACUGCUCUGCCAACGCCGUAGAUGACGACGAGGAUUGGCCUCCAAGGGCCAAGCCCCUGGCGAGAUCGUAAGUAUCCGGACUCCCGAAUAACUUCAUGGUUUUUCUUUUCGCCACAUAGUGUCUUUCUAAUGCCGCAUACAACCCUACAGUCCGCCCAAGGAUGAUCUUCCCGCUUCGUCGAGCGGGUCCUUGGGUGCGUCGGAUAUGGAUUCUCUUCCGACUGCUUCCUCCCCCCGUGAUGCGGACGAUGCCGAGGUGGGAUCCCAGGAAGGGACCCGCUAGGAGGAGGAGGCCCCGGAGGUGCCGCAGGGCAACCUCCCAGACUUUGCACCAAACUCGGCCCCGGAACCCGUAGUGGAUCUGGAGUCCGGCGGGCGGCCCCUUCGUAAGAAGGGCAAGACCGUGACGCCGGCAGCCUCCGUCCAAUCGGAGGCGCCAGAUAGCUUGCUGGAGGCACUCAAUGGCGCCUCCAUCAAAGAGGAACACCGCAUUGUUAUGAGUGCGGUGAUUCAAAAGGUUCAGCUCGCCAAGAGCGGGCUGACCGAAGCCUGCAGCAGCCUUCUAACAGGCUUUGAGGUAAGAAUUUUGAUAUAUGUAAAAUAGUACCGCAUUGACAGUAGCCCCUGAUGCUCGGUUCGGUAUUCGGAAAGAAAAGUCGGACUGAGGAUCUAAGAAGAUAUACGCAGGAGUCAUAUAAAAAAUAUGUCAAUAUGGGAUUGCAGGCUGUGCUGCUGACCUCUGCCGCACUGACUGCGGAGGUCAAUACUUUGAAGCAACGCCUCGAGCGGUCCGAGAGCGAGCUCAGCCGUGCCAAGAAGCGGCUCGAGGACAAGGAAGGUGAGUAACACCUUAUUAAAAUUGUACCUUACAGAAAAGGAUUUGGUUGCAAGAAAAAUGACAAGGAUAACGUGGGUAUUGCAGGGGCCAUAAACGAGGUGGCGAUCCUGAAGGAGGCGGUGUCCGCGGCCGAACGUAAUGCGGUCGCGGAGCGCACCGAGCGAGAGAGGCAAGAGGCGCGGGUGGCGGGGGUACUGCAAGAGCUCCAGGCUCUCGUGGAAAAACAUGAGAGUUUGGAGCGUGACUCAAAGACUCGAGAGUCCGAGCUUGCAACGGCUCUAGAGAGUGCCAAAGCCGCUAAGGCUGAAGCCUAUAAGGCCCUCCAGGAAGUCGAGGCGUUGAAGAAAAUAGCGGCAGGUAAGGCAUUUUUCAUGCAAAGUAAGCAUGUGAGUGUGAAUUACCUAUCACUUACCCGAAUUCGGAGCUCUCCAGGAGCGUUUGCAGAUCUUCCCCGCAGCAUGUCCGAUGCUACCGCUUUCUAUAGGGCCGAGGAGGGGAGCUCGACGGAGAAGGUCUUCUGGUCUCAGUAUGCUAAGGCCGGACAUCCGGUGCCCCUUAGCGACCAGCUAAAGCAGCUGGUCGAGCUCCACAAGGUGGCCGAACAGGCCAUGAAGGGCCUCAUAGUUCGGUUGUGGCCUAAGGAGGCCAUGCCUGGGAGCUACUUCGGCCUGGUGCGGCGGCUGGUGGAUGUGUGUCCAUGGGUUGAAGUCAUCAAGCACUCCGCCUAUAUUGAAGGUGCCCGUCGGGCCCUUGCCCGCGCAAAGGUGCACUGGGGCAAGAUGGAUGCUCAGAAGCUUGUGACGGACGCGCCACCACUGGGCAAGGAGUAUCGCACGCCCGAGAUGUACUAUAAGAGUGUCCUGAAGGGUGCCCGCAUUAUUGCGGGUGAGUGCUCCAAAGAUGUAAUAUUUGAGUAGACUCGCAUUUUGUUAUCAUGUGCGCUGAAAACUUUGUUCAUAUGCGCUAAGCAACGCUUGUUAAUUUAAAAUAUUACCUUCUGUGCGGCUGUUUAUCAAAUCUGAGAGAUGGCAAGUCGUCGGCUUCAGCCCCCAUGCCACGAGUGCUGGGGUGUUCGGGAUAAAUUUGAGCACUCUUGUUCCCAUUUUUGGGUCCAUCUAGGGAGGUGCUCAACACAACGAACAAGGCAACCGGACUUAUAACGCUUGAACACUCUCACUUAGCCAUAGAAUUCUAUAAUUUUAAAUUUUGGCGAAGCCCCUAGUGUUCGGAAGGCCGAAUUUGGGGCGCUAUCCACGCCUGGGCCGGACAAAGCCGGCUCCUCGCUCUAAGUGGCAUAAGUCUUUAGGGACUUGCAAAAACCUCUUGAACAGCGACCGGCUCUCGCCUCAUCAUGAUGGUCAGUUUUAGCUUUCUCCACUGAGGCGCUCGCCCAGCUCAACUGGGGCGCAAUCGCAGUGGUUCUCCCAGUGCUACCUUAGCCGAUACAAUGGAACAUAAGGUACCAAAACAUGGGAGCCGGGCAAACCCAACUAUUGACCCAAGACAUGAUUCGGAGCCGAUGCAUAUAAUGUUAUAAGUUCGGGGUGCCGCACUUGUGAAAGUGUUCGGACUUAUCACACCAUGAUGCGGGAAACAUAAGCCCCUGGUGUAUUUAGCCGUACCAAAGUGUACGGAUGCAACAUGUCAUAAAUGAACAUAUGUAUAAGAAAGAAAUGCAAUUGUAAGCAAAAAGGUGCUGCAUUGUUUAUUCAAGAAAUGCUGUUGUGAAUGCAGAAUGAUACAAAUGGUGCGAUAAGCAAGGGAUGGGACUAUUAAACAUGCCCCCUCCAGGGGUAGGCUGCGGAAUGGUGUAUAAAACAGAUUUAAUGCUCGUAAUGGAGACCACCUGGAUAUUCGUUGUAGCCUUUCUCCUUCCCUGGCUGUUGCAUCGUGAGUUCGGCAGGUCUACUGCCGGACAGGGCCUCUGAUGAACGGAGUCCCAUGGGUAAAAAUAAGAAAAAGAGAGAAAGAAAAAAGAACGACACACUUGAGAGCCCCUGGUGUGGUUAAGCCGCAUUCUGGGCCUAUCGUGGUCGUGCCCCUCCCCCCAUGCCCAUGGUAUCUCCAGAGCGUAAUGAUGUACGCGAAGGACCUGUCUUGAAAUUUUGCAGGGGCUGGGGUUGGGGCCGCACUGCUACGCGUGCUCGGAACGUGCCAGGUGGUCUUGUUGUAGGUUACUCCGGGCGCGUUUAGCCGUGUCCGGUCGCUUUAACGGCCGGACUCGAGAAUUGCCUUAGGAGGCUGCAUUGUACUUCUGCCGCGAGAGCCGCUGUAUGUUCCUCCAUUCGGAGAGAGCGUUCAGUGUUUCUGUUGACCGUGAUGACUCCUCGAGGGCCUGGCAUCUUUAGCUUGAGGUAUGCGUAGUGCGGCACCGCGUUGAACUUUGCAAACGCGGUACGUCCGAGCAAGGCAUGAUAGCCGCUGCGGAACGGAACUAUGUCGAAGAUUAACUCCUUGCUUCGGAAGUUAUCCGGGGAUCCAAAGACCACUUCUAGUGUAACUGAGCCUGUACAAUUGGCUUCUACACCUGGUAUGACGCCUUUAAAGGUCAUUUUGGUAGGUUUAAUCCUUGAGGGGUCUAUGCCCAUUUUGCGCACUGUAUCCUGAUAAAGCAGGUUCAGGCUGCUGCCGCCGUCCAUCAGGACUCUGGUGAGGUGAAAUCCAUCGAUGAUUGGGUCUAAAACCAAUGCGGCGAAUCCGCCGUGGCGGAUGCUGGUGGGGUGGUCCCUUCGGUCAAAAGUGAUCGGGCAGGAGGACCAUGGAUUGAACUUCGGGGCAACUGGCUCCAUCGCGUAUACAUCCCUCAGUGCACGCUUCCGCUCCCUUUUGGGUAUGUGGGUUGCGUAUAUCAUGUUCACCGUGCGCACUUGUGGGGGGAAACCCUUUUGUCCUCUGUUGUUCGGCUGUCGGGUCUCUUCCUCGUCAUCACUAUGCAGCCCCUUGUCGUUGUUUUCGGCAAUUAACUUGCCUGCCUGCUUGAAUACCCAACAGUCCCUGUUGGUGUGGUUAGCUGGCUUUUCGGGGGUGUCGUGUAUCUGACACGAGCGGUCGAGUAUUCUGUCCAAAUUGGACGGACCCGGGGUAGUUCUUUUGAAUGGCUUUUUCCGCUGACCGGGUUUAGAGCCUCUGAAUCCGGCAUUGACUGCCGUAUCCUCGCUAUUGUUGCCGUUAAUGCAGCGUUUGUUUUUUUAUGACACGACCUGCCAGUGCGGUCCUUGAUAUCCGGACUGCCAGAAUUUUUGCUGAGGUUGUUGCUGCGGGCUAGCCAGCUGUCCUCACCCGCGCAGAAGUGGGUCAUGAGUGAUGUGAGGGCUGCCAUGGAUUUCGUCUUUUCCUAUCCCAGGUGCCGGGAAAGCCACUCGUCACGGAUGUUAUGCUUGAAGGCCGCAAGGGCCUCCGCAUCUGGACAGUCGACAAUUUGGUUUUUCUUGGUUAAGAACCGUGUCCAGAAUUGUCUGGCCGAUUCGUCUGGCUGUUGAAUUAUAUGGCUUAGGUCGUCAGCGUCUGGUGGUCGCACAUACGUGCCUUGGAAGUUAUCGAGGAAUGCGGCUUCCAGGUCUUCCCAACUCCCAAUUGACUCUGCUAGCAUGCUGUUAAGACAAUGCCAGGCUGGUCCUUUAAGCUUGAGUGGGAGAUAUUUGAUGGCGUGAAGAUCAUCACCGCGGGCCAUGUGGAUAUGAAGGAGAUAGUCCUCGAUCCAAACCGCAGGGUCUGUUGUGCCAUCGUAAGAUUCAAUGUUUACGGGUUUAAACCCUUCGGGGAUUUGAUGAUCCAUUACUUCAUCUGUGAAGCAUAGCGGGUGUGCGGCGCCUCUGUAUUGGGCGAUAUCACGACGAAGUUCAAGAGAGCUUUGUCUACUGUGUUCGGCCCGGCCGGACUUACUGUGUCCGGCGCGACGGUUGUCGUCACAUAUCUUGGGGCGCCCAUGUGAUCCAUAGAUCGAUCUUGAUUGUCUUGCCUUAUCCUCCAAUAUAUCUCGCAAGUCUAGAGUGUUCCCUUGUGGCCUUGUGCUUUUCGAGCGAUGCCGGGGUACGGUUCUAGUGGAGCCUAGAGGCCUCUCUGUCGUGGCCACGGGGUGGUCGGUCGGCCAUAUUGUCUGCUGGUGAUGCAGGUUCAUAUGCCUCCUCCUCUAAUCGGGGGAGCAGCUUGCGUUUAGGGUAGAUUUUGGAGGGGCGUUCGAGCUCAUGCUCUUCGGCCGCGAGGACUUCAGUCCAUUUGUCGGCUAGCAGAUCUUGAUCAGCUCUAAGCUGCUGCUGCUUUUUCUUGAGGCUGUUUGCCGUGGCCAUAAGCCUGCGUUUAAAACGCUCUUGUUCGACGGGAUCCUCAGGCACGACGAAUUCGUCGUCGUCGAGGCUUGCCUCGUCUCCGGAGGGAGGCAUGUGAUCCUCUACCUCUUCGUCUGUCGUUCUUCUCAUGAGGGCUGGCGUCUUCGUCCUCCUGUGCUGAAUCUUGCUGGAGGGGGUUGUCGUUGGCACUGUCUGGGGUGUUAUUAUCUCCGGUGCCGGAAUCUCCAUUCUUGCUGUGGCGGGAUUUAGAGCGGCGCCGCUGACACCGGCGCUUGGGCUGUUUCUUGGAGGGGUCAUCCUCCGCUGUUCCUUCGCUAUUCCCAUCCUUUGGGGUAUCCACCAUGUAUAUCUCAUAUGAUGAGGUGGCUUUCCAGUGCCCAGUAGGCAUUGGUUCUUGGUCGUCUCCGGCAUCGUCGUCCAUACCGUCGAUGUCUUCGGAGUCAAAGUCUAGCAUGUCGGUUAGAUCGUCGAUAGUGGCUACUAAGUGGGUGGUGGGUGGGCUUUGAAUUUCUUCGUCGUGUGCAUCCCAACCGUCUUGACCGCAGUCCGGCCAGGGCUCUCCUGAUAACGAGAGAUACUUUAGCAAACUCAAGAUGUCGCCGAAGGGUGAGUGUUGAAAGAUGUCCGCAGCGCUGAACUCCAUGAUCGGCGCCCAAUCGGAUUCGAUUGGAAGGGGCGCGGGAGGUUUGGAGUCCGGCACCUCGGAGUCACGAGCUUCAUGAGGGACAAGGUCAGUGUUCGGCUCUAUCACCAUAGAGGUUGCAGCCCCCGAGGCGGUGUCUAGCCACCCAUCCUCGAUCUGCGCAGUCGGCUCCGAAUUGAAGAUCGGAGCGGACUCGUGUGCGGCCUCCAGGGUACUGUCCGGUUGCAGAGCUAAAUCAUGCCCGUCGUGACAGUGCGGCGCGCUCGGCUGUGGCUUGAAUCCAUCGAAGAUCAAGUCCCCGCGGAUGUCAGCCGUGAAGUUCAAACUUCCAAAUCUGACCUGACGGCCAGGGGCGUAGCUUUCGAUCUGCUCCAGAUGGCCAAGCAAAUUGGCCCGCAGUGCAAAGCCGCCGAAUACGAAGAUCUGUCCGGGGAGGAAGGUCUCACCUUGGACUGCGUCGUUGUUGAUGAUCGAAGAAGCCAUCAAGCCUAUCGGUGACGACACAGAGGAACUCUCAAUGAAAGCACCAAUGUUGGUGUCAAAACCGGCGGAUCUCGGGUAGGGGGUCCCGAACUGUGCGUGUAGGCGGAUGGUAACAGGAGACAAGGGACACGAUGUUUUACCCAGGUUCGGGCCCUCUUAAUGGAGGUAAAACCCUACGUCCUGCUUGAUUGAUAUUGAUGAUGUGGGUAUUACAAGAGUAGAUCUACCACGAGAUCAAGGAGGCUAAACCCUAGAAGCUAGCCUAUGGUAUGAUUGUUGUUCGUCCUAUGGACUAAAGCCAUCCGGUUUAUAUAGACAUCGGACAGGGCUAGGAUUACACAGAGUCGGUUACAAUGGUAGGAUAUCUACAUAUCCAUAUUGCCAAGCUUGCCUUCCAUGCCAAGGAAAGUCCCAUCCGGACACGGGCCGAAGUCUUCAAUCUUGUAUCUUCAUAGUCUUGGAGUCCGGCCGAUGAUGAUAGUUCGGCUAUCCGGACACCCCCUAGUCCAGGACUCCCUCAGUUACUUCAUUCAAUCCAUGGUAAUCUACAACCAUCCUCAAUGAUCCAUCCUUCUUCUCCACUAGAAGCACUGGCGAUCCCCAAGGUGUUGAACUUGGGCGAAUAUAGCCUUUAUCCAGUAACUCCUUAAUCUGCUUCUUAAUUUCCUCCAAAUCCUUUGCGGGCAUCCUAUACAGUCUCUUAGAUAUUGGCCCUGUGCCUGGCAAAAGCUCAAUCAAAAACUCAAUGUCUCUAUCCGGUGGAAUGCCUUGCAACUCCUCCGGAAAUACAUCAGGGAAAUCCUUCACCACUGGUACUUCCUCCUGUACAACUCCUGAUAAGGAAUUUACUUGAGUCCUCUUCGGCACAUGCCGAGAUACAUACUUAAUUCUUCUUCCUUCUGGGGUGGUGAGCAAAAUCGACUUACUAGCGCAGUCAAUGUUCCCUCCAUAUUUUGACAACCAAUCCAUGCCUAAUAUUACAUCCAGUCCUUGUGACUCCAAUACUAUUAGGUCUGAGGGAAACACGUAGUUACCAAUCAUUAAUGGUAAUCGAUCACACCAUAGGCUAGCCAUAUACUCUGCUCCUGGCGAGGUUACUAACAUGGGUGGCCUAAGGGCUUGGAUUGGCAGGUUAAAAUUAUCCACAAAUCCCCUUGAUAUGUAUGAAUGUGAUUCACCAGUAUCAAAAAGAAUGAUUGCAGUAAGUGACUUAACCAAAAACUUACCUAUUACUGCAUCUGGCUAUGCUUCAACCUCCUCCACGGUAACGUGGUUCACUUGUCCCCUGUUGAAAGGGUUGGGCUUCUUCCCAGAGUUUCCAUUGCCAUUUCCAUUCUUUGUUUUAGAACACUCCGUGGUGUAAUGUUCAUUCUUCCCGCACUUGAAACAAGUAAUGUGACUUAGAUCCUUCUUGGCGGGCGUUGCUGGGUUGGAACGGUUCUGACCAUUGCUUUCUCCAUUAACAUUCUCAUUCUUGGGGCCACUAUGUUAUGCGAACUCUCUCCAUUGGAAUUAUGGCCUCCAUCGUUAUGGUGACUGUGUCCUCCCGAGUUCAGGGUAAAAUGGGGCCUCUGCUAAGCUCCUGAAUUGUACUUCCCUUGUCCAUACUUCCUCUUGCAAUUGUCAAUAUGUUGUUGCUUCCCUUCAAUCAUAAGAGCUCUAUCUACCAACUCCUGGUAGUUGUUGAAGGUUGCCACCAUCAACUGCAUGCUCAACUCAUCAUUCAGCCCUUCCAGAAACUUCUCCUGCUUAGCUGCAUCUGUAGCGACGUCAUCCGGGGCGUAACGUGCUAAAUUACUAAAAUCAUCCACAUACUAGCCAACUGUGCGUCCUCCUUGGUGCAAGUUGCGAAAUUUGCACUUCUUCAUGGCCAUAGCUCCUACUGAAACAUGGGCAGUGCGAAAAGCUUUUUGAAACUGGUCCCAUGUGACAGUGUCGAUGGGAUAAGUGGCUGUGAAAUUCUCCCACCAAGAUGUUGCGGGUCCAUCAAGCUGAUGUGCGGUAAAUCGCACUUUCUCCGCAUCUGUGCAUCCUGCAGUGGUCAACUCCCUUCCAAUAUUGCGGAGCCAAUCAUCUGCAACAAUCGGCUCGGUGCUACUAGAGAACACCAGCGGAUUCAGCUUUAAGAAACGGGCUAAGUGGUCAACAGGUGGUGGUGGUGGUGGGUUGUUGUUGUUGUUGUUGUUGUUCCCCUGAUUUUGAUUCUGGACUAGUAUCUGCAUCAAUCCAUUCUACUGCUAGAUCAACUGAGUGAGCUCCGGCGGAAAAGCAAAUCCAUUGUCGUGUCUUGGAGGCAUCUGAUGGGUUUAGAAAAGAUGAGAAAACAGAAUAGAAUGAGAUCUAGAGGGAAAACACUACCCAUAUGCACAUGAGACAAACACAAACAUACCACUUCAAUCAAUUCAAACAAGGGCAUACAAUCGGUCUAACUAUCGUUACAAUAGUGCUCGGACUAUACUAUAUACAUGGGGGAAUACUACUACUGAUAUGGUGGUCGACUAGAAAAAUUGAUCGGUGGAAGACUCCAUGAUAUCUGCUCCAGCUUCAUCAACAUAGUCAUCAUCACUAUCAUCAGGGUCUGGGUCAGUGUCGUCAAUGAUGAUGUAGUUCUCUGGACAAGUGGAAUCGUCGUCUUCUCCUCCUAGAGCGGGGUCUCCCAUGAAUACUCCUAGCUUCCUUGUCAAAUCAUCAUUCUUCUCCACGAGUAUUAUCAUUUCCUCCUCAUAUCCAUCGCAUGUAGACUUGAGUUCUUCCUCCAGCUCCGUGAUCUUGAUCAUUGCCUUCUUCAGAUCUAUCAUGCCUGCACACAUCUGGUUCUCCUGGCGACGAAUGUGCUGGUUUAACUCCUGGAUGAAAGCUGCAAUGGACCUAUCCUUCCUGGUGCUGAUCAUCUCCCAUUGCUCAUCUCGGCGCCCACAAAUCUGGUAGAUAGUAUCCUUGAGAUCCUUGUGGUAAAAUUCUCCAAUGCGUCCCAUGGUGAUGUGGGCUGCCAUGCUCUUUCCUAGACUCCAGGUUGGUGCAUCAAAGGAAAACUCUAUGGGCUCAGUGACUGGCAUGAACGUCCUUCUCGAAUCAUCCAACGCUCCUCUUCUGGUAAAGUGGCGAUGUAGGUCCCGGUGAAGCUUGGUAUUCCGAUGUUUAGGUACCUAGUAACUUCCUUCAAGUGUCGUCCAAAAGGUGUAUCUUCAUCCGGUUGGGUGAACUUGUACCUUACAUCCGCCAUCCUAUAGAGUAGAAAUGGGUGAGGAGUCAGAAAUGAGAAGAGAGUAAUGAUCUAGGGCUUACAGUCAGCAUGUGCUUUGGUACCAUCUUGUAGCGACCAGGCCUCAAACAGUCUGAUCUCUGUGCAUCAGUGUCAUCCCAGGAUCGGUAAUGCUGACACGCACAAUACUUGAGGAUUUAUAAUAGAGUAGCAAUCACACACUUAUUACAUCGAAUGUCUCAAAAGAGAACUUAUUACAAUAAUAUGGCUUAAGGCCAUCUAAAAAUGAUAACAACGGAAGGCUUGGAAGAUAAAGUGAGUCCAUCAACUCCAACGGCAUCACUGAGUGAAAGAUAACAACCUAUAGCACCUUACUCGUCGUCUGAAAAGUCUGCAACAUGAACGUUGCAGCCCGAAACGGGUCAGCACAUGGAAUAUGCUGGCAAUGUAACAUAAGAGAGUAAUGAACAGAAUAAUUGCUAUCACUACAUGCAUAUAUGGCUGGUGGUAAGCUCUAUGGUUACAGUUUUGCAUAAAGCUAAUUUUUCCCUACAACAAAGGGAUAAAUUUCAUUUAACUAUCAUGGUGGUUGUUAAACAUUAAGAAGGUUCCUCCAACUCAAUAACAAUUAAACAUCAUCAUUAACCCAAUCAAAUUAUAUUAAGAGUGAUGAGAUCAACAUGAUAAUCCAAGAACCAGAUACUCAAGAUGUCCAUAACCGGGGACAGAUUUAACCGUGAUUAGUUUGUACACUCUGCAGAGGUUUGCACACUUUUCCCCACAAGAAUCGAAUACAUCCAUGGUCGGAGAUUCGAGACACAGUCUUUCUGAAGCUUUAACUCUCUACUCUGGAUAGACAGUACCACCUACAACCCACUACAUCUGCUAGUCUACCUCUUCAAGAGCUUCAUGCAACUUACUCAACUAUGCUAGAGCCCAUAAUGGCUUGUGGCUGCACACGGAAGUUUCUAGCAUGAAUAAUCUUAUGAUCCCUUUGAGCCUGGGUGGCAGACCGUAGGAUGAUCACACGGGUACUUCAGGAUAUCCUAGGACAGCACUGGAUUCUCUAGGUGCCCUGACAACCACUGGGUACUCCAGGGUGCCUCAAGAAAUCCACCCAGAUGUGUAUUUAAGUAGCCACCUUAAGUUAACCAUUAAUAACAAUUCUCACAUCUGUCAUGGAUACACUCACCCAAACCACGUCUACGAGCAUAGCAUAGCAAUAUAAGCAUAACGUAGAAGUAACUCCCAAAGGCUUGAUAAUAAACAGGUCAAUAGGUACUACCUCAUUUACUUCCCAAAACCCACAUGUCAAUCAGAUCCUAACCAUGCAAUUGUUUCAGGAUUGAUCUAAUGCAAUAAAACUGGGUAGUAAAGAGGUAUGAUCAAAGUGUUAUUUGCCUUGCUGAUGAUCCGUGAAACCUAGAGACUCGUAGUUGCACGCUUCGCACUCCGGGUACACUAUCGCAAACAAACAAGCAUACAAUAAGCACUCAACUAGAAGCACGGGUAAAACUCAAAUACGAGAUCUAACCAGAAAGCUCAACUUAAUAACUCCGGGUUGCAAAAAGAAUCAAGUCAAACGAAGCAACGAAACUCAAACUGUGAAACAAACAAAAUCCGUUUACUAAUCUGGACUUAAGUCAAAUUUUACAGUAGCAAAAUCUUGUUCAAGUUGUUUAAACAGAAAGAGGACUUCGAGACGAAGAUCUAGGCGCUUGAAUCGCCUGAUUCCGACAAACGAGCGAAAAGAUAAACUAAAACGAAAAACAGGGCAGAAAUCGCAAUCGAAAAUAAUCGCGGAAAAACCCUGGAAAAAGAAAAACUGACGAACAGGCUAACGAACGAACGUUCGCUGUCUGCGGCUAACGGGUGAAAACCGUUCAUUAAAACGAACGUACGAAAGGGCAUUCUCUAAAUAACUAAACCGGAAAAAAAUAAAAACCAAUCUAAAAUAAAAUAACCGAGGGUUUCUAAAAAAACUGAAUGGUUUUCCGGUGAAAACCGAUGGCUACCUCGGGUUGCGUGACAGCGGCAACGGUGGUCAACUCUAGUGACGGCGGUGUCCGAUGGCGGCNNNNNNNNNNNNNNNNNNNNNNNNNNNNNNNNNNNNNNNNNNNNNNNNNNNNNNNNNNNNNNNNNNNNNNNNNNNNNNNNNNNNNNNNNNNNNNNNNNNNNNNNNNNNNNNNNNNNNNNNNNNNNNNNNNNNNNNNNNNNNNNNNNNNNNNNNNNNNNNNNNNNNNNNNNNNNNNNNNNNNNNNNNNNNNNNNNNNNNNNNNNNNNNNNNNNNNNNNNNNNNNNNNNNNNNNNNNNNNNNNNNNNNNNNNNNNNNNNNNNNNNNNNNNNNNNNNNNNNNNNNNNNNNNNNNNNNNNNNNNNNNNNNNNNNNNNNNNNNNNNNNNNNNNNNNNNNNNNNNNNNNNNNNNNNNNNNNNNNNNNNNNNNNNNNNNNNNNNNNNNNNNNNNNNNNNNNNNNNNNNNNNNNNNNNNNNNNNNNNNNNNNGGCUUGGGCCUCACGGGUUAUAAAGGCCGGAAGGGUCGAGUCCUAGUCGGGCACGGCCCGGCUAGGUCGGUUGACUUUUUUUAAAAUAAUUCCCUGCAGAAAAACAAAGAAAAGAAAUACUAAAUGGACUCCAAAAAUCCUAAAAUAAAUUUUCCCGGUCCUCUAAAAAUAUAGCGGACAAAGUGAACAUUUAUUUGGGACUCUAAUGCAAUUUUGAAAAAAGCAUUUUUUUCCUAAUUCAAAUAAAAUAGCGAUAAAACUCCGAAUAAAAUUCUUAUUUGAUUUUAAUAUUUAACCUCCAAUAUUUCUUUAUUUUGGGAAUUCAUUUUAUCCCCUCUCUUUUAUUUUCAUAUAAAAAAUAUUCGAAGAGAAAGUAAUUUAAAUCAAACGAUCCUCUUUCCAAAAUUUGAGAAAACUCAAAUAUGAAAAUAACGAAAUUCCCAACUCUCUCUGUGGGUCCUUGAGUUGCGUAGAAUUUCUAGGAUCAAGCCAAAAUGCAAUAAAAUAUGAUAUGUAAUGAUGAUUUAAUGUAUAACAUUCCAAAUUGAAAAUUAUGUUACAGUUUGACGGUUUAAGGUUUUUAUCUGUCAGCCCCAUGCGACAUAAGGUCUCAUAAUAGAGGAUAUUGAUGCUGCUCCCUCCGUCCAUGAGUACCUUUGUGAACUUAUACCCUCCAACCUGAGGUGCCACCAGAAACGCCAGGUGACCCAGAUUAUCAACCCGUGGCAGGUGAUCCUCUCGGCUCCAUACGAUGGGUUGUUCAGACCAACGCAAAUAACAUGGGACUGCCGGUUCAACCGAAUUUACUGCCCUCUUUUGAAGCUUCUGGUCGCGCUUGUAUAAGCUAGUGGUGCAGACAUGAUACUGCCCGCUGUUCAACUGCUUCGGGUGGCUCUGAUAACCCGAUUGUUGCUAAUUUCCCUGAUUAUUCUGCUGGUUGUAACCACCCUGGUUGUUUUGAUUGCCCGGAUUACCUUGGAAUCCCGAGCUUGGACCGCCUCCACCAUAACCCGGUCCAUGGAAACUGGAUCCUGAACAACCGCCCGGUCCCUGGACAUCUUGGUAAAAAUUCGAAUUUUUGAACUCCUUCAUGAUGAAGCAAUCUUUCCAGAGGUGUCCAGACGACCUUUCCUUUGUCCCGUGUCUUGGGCAGGGCUGGUUUAAUAGAUGCCCAAGAUUGAUGCCUGAUUGUCCGGUUUGUGGGGGCGGUUUACCCUUACGGUGCUGACUAUUGUUCUGCGCAUUGGUGUUAGCCACAAAAUCAGAAUUAUUCUCAGCCUUGCGCUUACCAUUGCCUCCAUGGUUUGCCGGAUUAAGCUGCUGCCCCUUGGUGUUGCUGCUCUUCUUUCCCUUCCCCGACUUUCCAUCAUCAGACUCGGUCUCCUUGGUACUAUCAGAGUCAGUGCACUUAAUUAAGGCUGCCAUGAGUGUCCCCGUGUCAUUACAAUGACGUUUAAGCCGCCCCAGUUUCAGCUUCAGGGGCUUGAAACGACAAUUGCCUUCAAACGUCAAGACCGCUGAGUCGACAUUGAUCCGAUCCGACGAGUGCAGAAUCGUCGAGACCCGGCGCACCCAAUGAGUCGUCGAUUCACCUUCUUCUUGGACACAGGCGGAUAAGUCCACAAUUGACAUGGGCUGCUUGCAUGUGUCCUUAAAAUUCUGGACAAACCGGGCCUUUAACUCGGCCCAUGAUCCGAUGGAGUUAGCUGGGAGCCCCUUUAACCAAGUCCGGGCCGUCCCUUCCAUCAUUAGGGGGAAAUACUUAGCACACGCAGCUUCACUAACAUUCAGCAAUUCCAUGGCCAUCUCAUAACUCUCAAUCCAUGCCUCCGGAGAUAAAUCGGCUGUAUAGUUAGGCACCUUGCGAGGACCCUUGAAAUCCUUGGGCAAAUGCUCAUUGCGCAAGGUCGGCACUAAACAUGGUGCACCCAAGUUUCUAAAGGUCACGCCUGGCUCCACUGAAGUCGUUGCACGAACCGUAGUAGGCUGGUGUGCCGCAUACUGUGCAGCUAACUCGGCUUCUCAACAUGCUCUGCCCUGGUCCACUAUGUUCUGAGCCUCAGCUCCCCCUCCUGUCGGGUUAGGCCCACGGGGCGGAUUAUGGUUCCGCCAACUGCUUGACACGGCUGGCUCUUCAAUAUGCCUGUUGUAACUCCGGCUCGGACGAGGGGUGGAAUGAAUCAUGUCUUGACUAUACGAGUAAGCGUGCUACUGAACCAUUGUUGCUUGAAGGAGAUCUCUGGCCCACUGUGUCUCAACCGCUGCAGGGGAGUCGCCUUCCACUGGAAUAGCUGCCAAUCGCGACGCCGUGAUGUCUACUACACAACCUUCUUCUUGUAGACGUUGUUGGGCCUGCAAGUGCACAGGUUUGUAGGACAGUAGGAAAUUUCCCUCAAGUGGAUGGCCUAAGGUUUAUCAAUCCAUGGGAGGCGUAGGAUGAAGAUGGUCUCUCUCAAGCAACCCUACAACCAAAUAACAAAGAGUCUCUUGUGUCCUCAACACACCCAAUACAAUGGUAAAUUGUAUAGGUGCACUAGUUCGGUGAAGAGAUGGUGAUACAAGUGCAAUAUGGAUAGUAGAUAUAGGUUUUUGUAAUCUGAAAAUAUAAAAACAGCAAGGUAACUAAUGAUAAAAGUGAGCAUAAACGGUAUUGAAAUGAUAUGAAACCAGGCCUAGGGUUCAUACUUCCACUAGUGCAAGUUCUCUCAGCAAUAAUAACAUAGAUAGAUCAUGCAACAAAGAGUCACUCCAAAGCCACUAAUAGCGGAGAACAAAUGAAGAGAUUAUGGUAGGGUACGAAACCACCUCAAAGUUAUCCUUUCUGUUCUAUCUAUUCAAGAGUCCGUAGUAAAAUAACAUGAAGCUAUUAUUUCCGUUCAAUCUAUCAUAGAGUUCAUACUAGAAUAACACCUUAAGACACAAAUCAACCAAAACCCUAAUGUCACCUAGAUACUCCAUUGUCACCUCAAGUAUCCGUGGGCAUGAUUAUACGAUAUGCAUCACACAAUCUUAGAUUCAUCUAUUCAACCAACACAAAGUACUUCAAAGAGUGCCCCAAAGUUUCUGCCGGAGAGUCAAGACGAAAACGUGUGCCAACCCCCUAUGCAUAGGUUCAUGGGCGGAACCCGCAAGUUGGUCACCAAAACAUACAUCAAGUGGCACAUGAUAUCCCAUUGUCACCAUAGAUAAACAUGGCAAGACAUACAUCAAGUGUUCUUAAAUCAUUAAAGACUCAAUCCGAUAAGAUAACUUCAAGAGGAAAACUCAAUUCAUCACAAGAGAGUAGAUGGGGAGAAACAUCAUAAGAUCCAACUAUAAUAGCAAAGCUCGCGAUACAUCAAGAUCGUGUCAUAGAGAGAACACGAGAGAGAGAGAUCAAACACAUAGCUACUGGUACAUACCCUCAGCCCCGAGGGUGAACUACUCCCUCCUCGUCAUGGAGAGCGUCGGGAUGAUGAAGAUGGCCACUGGUGAUGGGUUCCCCCUCCGGCAGGGUGCCGGAACGGGCUCCCGUGAGAUUUUUGGUGGCUACAGAGGCUUGCGGCGGCGGAACUCCUGAUCUAUCUUCUUAUUUAAUGUUUUUAGGGUACGUAGGCUUAUAUAGGCGAAAGAAGUCGGUCGGGGGAGCCUCGAGGGGCCCAUGAGAGGGUAGGGCGCGCCUAGGGGGGUGGGCGCACCCCCCCCUAUCUCGUGGCUUCCUCGAUGCUCUUCUGACGUGAACUCCAAGUCUGCCGGAUCAUAUUCUUCCUAAAAAUCACGCUCCCGAAGGUUUCAUUCCGUUUGGACUCCGUUUGAUAUUCCUUUUCUUCAAAAUACUGAAACAGGCAAUAAAACAGCAAUAUGGGCUGGGCCCUCCAGUUAAUAGGUUAGUCCCAAAAGUAAUAUAGAAGUGUAUAAUAAAGCCCAUAAUCAUUCAAAAUAGAUAAUAAAAUAGCAUGAAUGCUUCAUAAAUUAUAGAUACGUUGGAGACGUAUCAGCAUCCCCAAGCUUAAUUCCUACUCGUCCUCGAGUAGGUAAAUGAUAAAGAAAGAAUUUAUGAAGUGUGAAUGCUAGAAGGUGCACAAGUUUGAUCAAUGAUAAUAUCAAUCACCUUUUCUAGCAUGAUUAUAUGUCAUAAUAGUAGUUCAUCUCAUAAAACUUCUCAAGAUCAAGUAACAAGCAAUUCACAUGUUAAAGCAUAGACCAUAAACUUUCUUGAAAACUAGCAAACUUCAUUCUCAGUCAUCAAACAAUUGCAAUUCAUCUUAUUUUCGGGAAGGGUCUAUGUCAGAGCUUUGAUUUAGCAAACUUCACAUACUCAACUAUCAUAUAGUCUUCUACAAUUGCUAACACUCACACAAUACUGAUGGUUAUGGAGUUUCAAUCGGACACUGAGAUAGGGGCUUAUAGUGUUGCCUCCCAACGUAUUCACCUUUGGGUGAUGUCAACAAUAAUAGUUCAUGCUAACUUACAUCCAAUUGGAUAUAUAUAUCAGGAUCACCCCAACACAAAGUGCUUGCCAAAGGAUAAAAUCAAAAAGGGAAAGGUGAAGAUCACCUUGACUCUUGCAUGAAUUAAAAGACAUAAGGUAAAAGAUAGGCCCUUCGCAGAGGGAAUCAGAGGUUGUCAUGCGCUUUUAGGGUUGGAUACACAAAAUCUUAAUGCAAAAGAACGUCACUUUAUAUUGCCACUUGUAUAUGGACCUUUAUUAUGCAGUCCGUCGCUUUUAUUGCUUCCAUAACAAGAUCGUACAAAGCUUAUUUUCUCCGCACUAAUAAGUCAUGCAUAUUUAGAGAGAAAUUUUUAUUUCUUGCACCGAUGACAACUUACUUGAAGGAUCUUAAUCAAUCCAUAGGUAGGUAUAGUGGACUCUCAUGGCAAAAAGUGGGUUUAAGGAUAUUUGGAAGCACAAGUAGUAUCUCUACUUGGUGCAAGGAAUUUUGGCUAGCAUGAGGGGGAAAGGCAAGCUCAACAUGUUUGAAUGAUCCAUGAAAAUAUACUUUAACUGAGAUGUGAGAAAACAUAACCCAUUACGUUGUCUUCCUUGUCCAACAUCAACUCUUUAGCAUGUCAUACUUAAUGAGUGCUCACAAUUAUAAAAUAUGUCUAGGAUAGUAUAUUUAUAUGUGAAAUCUUUCUUCCUUCAAUAUUCUUUCAUGAAUUGUUCAAAUGACCAAUACAAUGCUUGCUAACCUUCAAUAAAUUUACAACCUCUAGUUCUUAGAUGUGAAGUCAUUACUCCCCAAGGGAUAAGCAAAUGAAACAUAUAUAAUUUCAGAUUUAUGACAAUCAACUCAUUCAACAAUUUACUCAUAGGAUAUAAGUGAAGCACACGAGUAAAUGAAAAACUACUACAAAAAGAUAUAAGUGAAGAUCAAUGAGUAGUUAAAUAAUUGUGUAACUAUGUGAAGACUCUUCUCUCAUUUAAGAAUUUCAGAUCUUGGUAUUGUAUUCAAACAGCAAGCAAAACAAAAUAAAAUGACAUUGCAAAGAUAGCACAACUCAUGUGAAGAAGCAAAAACUUAGGCUCAACCGAUACUAACCGAUAGUUGUUGAAGAAGGAAGCUUGAGACUUCUUGAAAUAUUAUCUUGGAGUGCCUUGGGCAUCCCCAAGAUUGAUCUUUUAUGUCUCCUUAAUUCCUCUCAUAUCAUGGUUUCUGUUUUUAUCAAAAGCUUCAUUCACACCAAACUCAACAAGAACUCGUGAGAUAGGUUAGUAUAAACCAAUGCAAAACCUUAUCAUUUUCUACUCUAACAAAUUACUAAAAUUAUUAUUCAACAUUGCAUACUAAAUGCCUAUGCAUAUUUAAUACUCCUAUCCUCAAAUAGAAUCAUUAAACAAGCAAACAUAUGCAAACAAUGCAACCAUAACAGCAAUCUGCCAAAACAGUACAGUCUGUAAAGAAUGCAAGAGUAUCAAUACUUCCCUAACUCCAAAAGUUAUGAGAUAAAAUUCCCACUAUAAUAAAUUUAUCAGAGCUUAAUCUGCAAAAAGUUUCAACAUUAUACCAUUCUCUGAAUUUUCUAGGGAAUUUUUGCAACAGCGGUAAACUUUCUGUUUUCAAACAGCAACAUGUAUACUAGCAAAAUAAGCAUGGUAAAGGCUAUCCUUGACAUUUUUAUUGAAAAUAAAGAUGCAAAACAUUAUUCUAAAUAACAGCAAGCAAAUACUAACAAAAGAAAAUGACGCUCCAAGCAAAACACAUAUCAUGUGGUGAAUAAAAAUAUAGCUCCAAGUAAAGUUACCGAUGAACGAAGAAGAAAGAGGGGAUGCCUUCCCAGGGGCAUCCCCAAGCUUAGGCUCUUGCCACUCCUUAUUCCAUAGUCCAUUGAAUCUUUACCCAAAACUUGAAAACUUCAACCACACAAAACUCAAAACAAAACUCGUAAGCUCCGUUAGUAUAAGAAAAUAAAACCACCACUUAGGUACUGUAAUGAACUCAUUCUAAAUUCAUAUUGGUGUAAUAUCUACUGUAUUCUAACUUCUCUAUGGUUCAUACCCUCCAAUACUACUCACAGAUUCAUCAAAAUAAGCAAACAACACAAUGAAAACAGAAUCUGUCAAAAACAGAACAGUCUGUAGUAAUAUGUAUCAAACGUAUACUUCUGGAACUCAAACAAUUCUGAAAUAAAUUGGUGGACCUGAGUAAUUUGUCUAUUAGUCAUCUGCAAAAAGAAUCAACCUAAAAGCACUCUCCAGUAAAAAAAUGGCAGCUAAUCUCGUGAGUGCAAAAGUUUCUGUUUUUUACAGCAAGAUCAUAAAGACUUCACCCGUCUUCCCAAAGGUUCUACUUGGCACAAACACUAAUUAAAACAUAAAACCACAUCUAACCAGAGGAUAGAUGAAUUAUUUAUUACUAAACAGUAACAAAAAGCAAGGAACAAAAGUAAAGUUGGGUUGCCUCCCAACAAGCGCUAUCGUUUAACGCCCCUAGCUAGGCAUGAUGAGAUGAUGCUCACAUAAAAGAUAAGAAUUGAAACAUAACGGGAGCAUCAUGAAGCAUAUGACUAGCACAUUUAAGCCUAACCCACUUCCUAUGCAUAGGGAUUUUUUGAGCAAACAACUUAUGGGAACAAUAAUCAAUUAGCAUAGGAAGGUAAAACAAGCAUAGCUUCAAAACUUUAAGCACAUAGAGAGGAAACUUGAUAUUGUUGAAAUUCUUACAAGCAUAUGUUCCUCCCUCAUAAUAAUUUUCAGUAGCAUCAUGAAUGAAUUCAACAAUAUAACCAGCACAUAAAGCAUUCUUUUCAUGAUCUACACGCAUAGAAAAUUUUCUACUCUCCACAUAAGCAAAUUUCUUCUCAUGAAUAAUAGUGGGAGCAAACUCAACAAAAUAAUUAUCAUGUGAGGCAUAAUCCAAUUGAAAACUAAAAUCAUGCUGACAAGUUUCAUGGUUAUCAUUAUUCCUAAUAGCAUACAAGUCAUCACAAUAAUCAUCAUAGACAGCAACUUUGUUCUCAUAAUCAAUUGGAACCUCUUCCGAAAUAGUGGAAUCAUCACUAAAUAAAGUUGACACACUUCCAAACCCACUUUCAUCAAUAUAAUCAUCAUAAAUAGGAGGCAUGAUUUCAUCAUAAUAAAUAUUUUCAUCAAAGCUUGGGGGAUAAAAAAUAUCAUCUUCAUCAAACAUAGCUUCCCCAAGCUUGUGGCUUUGCAUAUCAUUAGCAUCAUGGAUAUUCAAGGAAUUCAUACUAACAAAAUUGCAAUCAUGCUAAUCAUUCAAAAAUUUAGUAUCAUACAUUUUAUAGACUUCUUCUUCUAGCACUUGAGCACAAUUUUCCUUUUCGUCAUACUUACGACAGAUAUUAAAAAGAUGAAUCAUAAGAGGCAAACUCAAUUCCAUUUUUUUAGUUUUCUUUUAUAAACUAAACUAGUGAUAAAACAAGAAACAAAAAGAUUCGAUUGCAAGAUCUAAAGAUAUACCUUCAAGCACUCACCUCCCCGGCAACGGCGCCAGAAAAGAGCUUGAUGUCUACUACACAACCUUCUUCUUGUAGACGUUGUUGGGCAUGCAAGUGCACGGGUUUGUAGGACAGUAGCAAAUUUCCCUCAAGUGGAUGACCUAAGGUUUAUCAAUCCGUGGGAGGCGUAGGAUGAAGGUGGUCUCUCUCAAGCAACCCUGCAACCAAAUAACAAAGAGUCUCUUGUGUCCCCAACACACCCAAUACAAUGGUAAAUUGUAUAGGUGCACUAGUUUGGCAAAGAGAUGGUGAUACAAGUGCAAUAUGGAUAGUAGAUAUAGGUUUUUGUAAUCUGAAAAUAUAAAAACAGCAAGGUAACUAAUGAUAAAAGUGAGCGUAAACGGUAUUGCAAUGAUAGGAAACAAGGCCUAGGGUUCAUACUUUCACUAGUGCAAGUUCUCUCAACAAUAAUAACAUAGAUAGAUCAUAUAACAAUCCCUCAACAUGCAACAAAGAGUCACGCCAAAGCCACUAAUAUCGGGGAACAAACGAAUGGAUUAUGGUAGGGUACAAAACCACCUCAAAGGUAUCCUUUCUGUUCUAUCUAUUCAAGAGUCUGUAGUAAAAUAACAUGAAGCUAUUAUUUCCGUUCAAUCUAUCAUAGAGUUCAUACUAGAAUAACACCUUAAGACACAAAUCAACCAAAACCCUAAUGUCACCUAGAUACUCCAUUGUCACCUCAAGUAUCCGUGGGCAUGAUUAUACGAUAUGCAUCACACAAUCUCAGAUUCAUCUAUUCAACCAACACAAAGUACUUCAAAGAGUGCCCCAAAGUUUCUACCGAAGAGUCAAGACGAAAAUGUGUGCCAACCCCUAUGCAUAGGUUCAUGGGCAGAACCCGCAAGUUGGUCACCAAAACAUACAUCAAGUGGCACAUGAUAUCCCAUUGUCACCAUAGAUAAACACGGCAAGACAUACAUCAAGUGUUCUCAAAUCAUUAAAGACUCGGUCCGAUAAGAUAACUUCAAGAGGAAAACUCAAUUCAUCACAAGAGAGUAGAGGGGGAGAAACAUCAGAAGAUCCAACUAUAAUAGCAAAGCUCGCGAUACAUCAAGAUCGUGCCAUAGAGAGAACAUGAGAGAGAGAGAGAUCAAACACAUAGCUAUUGGUACAUACCCUCAGCCCCGAGGGUGAACUACUCCCUCCUCGUCAUGGAGAGCGACGGGAUGAUGAAGAUGGACACCAGUGAUGGGUUCCCCCUCCAGCAGGGUGCUGGAACAGGGUCCCGAGAGGUUUUUGGUGGCUACAGAGGCUUGCAGCGGCGGAACUUCCGAUCUAUCUUCUUAUUCAAUGUUUUUAGGAUACGUAGGCUUAUAUAGGCGAAAGAAGUCGGUCGGGGGAGCCUUGAGGGGCCCACGAGAGGGUAGGGCGCGCCCAGGGGGGUGGGCGCACCCCCUAUCUUGUGGCUUCCUCGAUGCUCUUCUGAUGUGAAUUCCAAGUCUCCCGGAUCAUAUUCUUCCUAAAAAUCACGCUCCCGAAGGUUUCAUUCCGUUUGGACUCUGUUUGAUAUUCCUUUUCUUUGAAAUACUGAAACACACAAUAAAACAGCAAUAUGGGCUGGGCCCUCCGGUUAAUAGGUUAGUCCCAAAAGUAAUAUAAAAGUGUAUAAUAAAGCCCAUAAUCAUUCAAAACAGAUAAUAAAAUAGCAUGAAUGCUUCGUAAAUUAUAGAUACGUUGGAGACGUAUCACGCCGCAGCGAUCAUGUUAUCCAAAGGGGUAGAAAAAUGACCCGGUGGUGUUGGCACGUACUAAGGUGGGUCAUGGUUCUGUCGAGGCGGGUCCGUCAUCCGUGGAUGAUCCGGAGCUCCUGUCGCAGGUGCUUCAACCCGGUUUACCGCUGCCGGGUUACUGGUUCCCGCUCCUGGCGUGUUAAAGAUAUUCCUUGCUUCAUAAACCGGCGGUAGAUGAGACCGAUGCCUCCUCCUCAUCACGUCGUUUGAAGCAUUCUGAUCCAGCAUGAGCUGGUAAGAUUCUGCAUGAAUCCGCUGUGCCUGAGCAUCCAAAGCGUCCCGCUCCUCAGCCACCCUGGUUUCCUCAGCAGCCAUGUCCUCCUUGGCCUGAGCUAUCUAAUCUCGCAGCUUCGUGACCUCCACAUUAUGCUAAUCUCGAUUAUCCGGGUUAACCUCUAUGGUUAACAAAGUAUUCAAGGCGUCCAAUAAACCGAACAGGACUUGAGCCAGCGGGUGCGCAGGGCCUCCUGCCCCAGCUACCGAUCCGGAAAUCAUUGCCGCCGUAGCUGAGGAGUGUUGCGUGGGUUGCAUACCGGCCAUGAAGAUCGCAACCCGGUUUGGCGGUUCAAGGGGGUCCGGAAUACUGUCGCCAUCGGAAUAGCCCCCAAACCGACCAUCUGGCUACAGUGACUCGGUCUCACCGGUGGAUGAUUCGCCAUCUGAAUAGAUAACCGUCUCACCGUCGGAUCCCGGUUCAGGUUCUACACCAUUGAUGAAUCCUACGAACGCACGCUUCAUGGCGGGAUGAACCCGGGCGGGGCUUGCACGCUGAGCCGUCUUGAUGAGGUCAACGCAGAUGUCCGGCUCAGGGCCCGGUUCACCGAUCUUGCCAAUGAAGACAUGAAUUCCUCCAAAGGGGAUCUGGUACCCGUACUCGAUUGAGCCGGUGUCGGGGCCCCAGCCUGCAUCGUCGAUGUAGAGCAUGUCGCGACGACUCUUGGUCAUCCGGCCCAUUGCGUAUCCCUUAAGUCCUUCUAAAUUGCCCUCUAAGAACUUGAAACCAUCGUGCGAUAGCUCCACGGUGGGCGGCAACUGUCGUGGAAUUGUGACGUCAGAUGUCCUAGUGUGAGGACUUAGUCGUGGAGCCAUCGCAACGAGAUUAGCUUAAAGGGAUUAAACCAGACAAAGGACACGGGGAGUUUAUACUGGUUCGGCCCCUUGCGGUGAAGGUAAAAUCCUACUAUCCAGUUGUGAUGGAAUUGCUAGGGUUUCGAUAACCAGGGAGCGAAUACGCGUAACCUGGCUCUCGAGUUGUUGUUUCUUGUUCCUAAACUGCCGUCGGGUCGUCCCUUUAUAUACAUAGGUUGACGCUCGUCGGUCUACAGAAUCCCGAGGCCGGUUCAUAAACGUGUCCGGCUCGGUAUCUAUUCUUUCCUACCUUACAUUACAAGUUACACGCCUAUGGCGGUUUAUGUCUAUGGGCCCUAACUCGCUUCUGGGCUUUGGGCCUCCUUGUUAAGUUUCCUUCAUAAAUCACCGUCUUCUAUAACUUCAUGGGCUUCAAUAUUGGCAAUCUCUCUGAGGGUAAACCGGCCCCUCCUGGGCGUUUUAUACCCACCAGUUAUAUUCCCAACACUACGGGUUCGAGAACUAUGUAGACAUGACCAAGACAUAUCUCUGGUUAAUAACCAAUAGCGGAACCUGGAUGCUCAUAUUAGCUCCUACAUAUUCUACAAAGAUCUUUAUCGGUCAAACCGCAUAACAACAUACGUUGUUCCCUUUGUCAUCGGUAUGUUACUUUCCCGAGAUUCGAUCGUCGGUAUCAUCAUACCUAGUUCAAUCUCGUUACCGUCAAGUCUCUUUACUCGUUCCAUAAUACUUCAUCUCGCAAGUAACUCAUUAGUCACAUUGCUUGCAAGGCUUAUAGUGAUGAGCAUUACUGAGAGGGCCCAGAGAUACCCCUCCGAAACACGGAGUGACAAAUCCUAAUCUCGAUCUAUGCCAACCCAAAAAAACACCUUCGGAGACACUUGUAGAGCAUCUUUAUAAUCAUCCAUUUACAUUGUGACGUUUGAUAGCACACAAAGUGUUCCUCCGGUAUUCGGGAGUUGCAUAAUGUCAUAGUCUGAGGAACUGUAUAAGUCAUGAAUAAAGCAGUAGCAAUGAAACUGUAACGAUCAAAAUGCUAAGCUAAUGGAUGGGUCAUGUCCAUCACAUCAUUCUCCUAAUGUUGUGAUCCCGUUCAUCAAAUGACAACACAUGUCUAUGAUUAGGAAACAUAACCAUCUUUGAUUAACGUGCUAGUCUAGUAGAGGCAUACUAGGGACACUAUGUUUUGUCUAUGUAUUCACACAUGUACUAAGUUUCCGCUUAAUACAAUUCUAGCAUGAAUAAUAAACAUUUAUCAUGAUAUAAGGAAAUAAAUAAUAACUUUAUUAUUACCUCUAGGGCAUAUUUCCUUCAACCCGAGGACAAGAAACCUUCUACCUCAUCACCGCCAUCUUCUUCAUCACCACCAAAAGAAAACUAAGUAUUGGGUAUGGGCACUCCCGUUGGCUUUCACCAAGAUUGGGGGAGGUGCCCCGGUAUCGUAUAAAUCUCCACUAUAUUUUGCCUUUACUUUCUUAGUUUCGAUCAAUGGUUAUCUUUUGCUAGUAGAUGAAUAAAAGUUUAGUUUGAUCCUUUCUUUUUUGUGAGUUUGCUUACUGAUCAAUCAUUGUAAUCGUGUGUGAGAUAUAAUAAAGUUUAGUUUGAGUUUUUCCUUCUUUAGUUUUCUUGUUUCAAUAAAAAGAAAGGAAAUAAAAAGAAAAAUAUCAUAUGCUAAUCUUAUGGUAAGUGAUGACAUUACACAAGGAAAAGUAUAAGUAGAAAAAUUUAUUGUAGAUUGACAAACAUAGCAUUGGUCAAUGAUGCAACUCAUGAAAGAAUUAAUAAGGAAAGAUAAGAUUCACAUAUAAAUAUACUAUCAUGGAAAUCUUUUAUGAUUGUGAGCAUCCAUCAAAAUAUUAUAUGCCAAAAUUGUGGGCGUUGGACAAGGAAGACAACUUAAUGAUUUAUGUUUGUUCAUAUUCACAUAGAAGUUAUAUUCUCAUAGAUCCUUCAACAGGUGGUGCUUGCCGCUAUCUUUCUAGCGAGAACAUUUAGUGUAAGGGAAAAUUGAGCGUUGUACGAACUUGUGAUGGUGAAUAAUAAAAGCGACAGACUGCAUAAUAAAGGUUGCCAUCACAAGGGGCAAUAUAACGUGACAUUCUCUUGCACUAAGGGGUUGAGAAUACAAACAAAAAGCGCAUGGCAACCUCUGCUUCCCUCUGCGAAGGGCCUAUCUUUUACUUUUAUGUAUUUACUUCCAUGCAAGAGUCAAAGUUUUCUCUAUAUUCCCUUUUAUUUUUCUCCUUUGGCAAGCAUCAUGUGGUGAGGAAAGAUCUAGGCACAUAUGUCCAGUUGAAUAUGGGUAGCAUGAUUUAUUAUUGUUGACAUCACCCUUGAGGUGAGUGCAUUGGGACGCAAAACUAUAAGCCCCUAUCUUCCUAUGUGUCCGGUUGAAACGUUUUGCUCAUGUGUACACAGUGAGUGUUAGCAAUUAUAGAAGACUAAGUGAUGGUUGAGUAUGUGGACUUUCCUAAAGGCUCCGAUACGUGACCCUUCCUGAAAAGAUGAUGAAUUGUAGUUGCAAAGUUGACUGAGAACAUAGUUUGUUGGUUUCCAAUAGAGAUUAUGCUUUAUACUUCGAUGUUGUGAUGAAUUGUCACUUGUUCAUGAGAAGUCUAUGAUACGUCUCCAACGUAUCUAUAAUUUAUGAAGUAUUCAUGUCAUGUUUACAAGAGUUUUAUAUGAUUUUGGUAUGAUCUGAUUAGAACUAACCCGGAGUGACGUUGUUUUCAGUAGAACUACCAUGGUGUUGUUUUUGUGCAGAAAUAGAAGUUCUCGGAAUGCGCUGAAAAUCAACGGAGAAUUUUUCUGUAAAAUAUAAAAUAUAAUGGAACAAAGAGUUACUGGAGGGGAGUCUCGUGGGCCCCAUGAGGGUGUAGGGAGCGCCCACCCCCCCCCCCCUGGGCGUGCCAUUGUGCCUCGUGGACUCUACGUGGGGCCCCUGACUUGUUCUCGAUGCCAACCUCUCCUAUAAAUGCCCAAACCUCCAGAAAAUAACCUAGAUUGGAAGCUCCGCCGCCGCAAGCCUCUGUAUCCACGAGAAAUCAAUCUAGGCCCUCUCUGGCACCCUACCGGAGGGGGCCAUCAUCACCGGAGGCCAUGGGGAAGGAUCCCGGAGGGGCCAUCAUCACCGGAGGCCAUGGGGAAGGAUCCCGGAGGGUCCAUCAUUGCCAUGGAGACCAAGGACCAGAGUGGGAACCUCUCUCCAUCCAGGGGGAGGCCAUGGAGGAGGAAGUACAAGGGGGAGAAUCUCUCCUCCUCUCUCUCGGUGGCACUGGAGUGCCAUCGGGAGGGGAAUCAUCGUCGCGGUGAUCGUCUUCAUCAACAUCACCAUCAUCAUCACCCUCCUCAUCUCUUUUACGCAGUCCACUCUCCCGCACCCCGCUGUAAUCCCUACUUGAACAUGGUGCUUUAUGCCACAUACUAUGAUCCAAUGAUGUGUUGCCAUCCUAUGAUGUUUUGAGUAGAUAUCCUUUGUCUUUGGGUUGAUUGAUGAUCUAGAUUGGUAUGAGUUGUAAGUUUUAUUUUGGUGUUGUCCUAUUGUACCCUCCGUGUCGUGCAAGCGUGAGCGAUUCCCGCUAUAGGGUGUUGCAAUACGUUCAUGAUUCGCUUAUAGUGGGUUGCUUGAGUGACAGAAGCAUAAACCCGAGUAAGGGGGUUGUUGUGUAUGGGAUAAAGGGGACUUGAUAUGUUAAUGCUAUGGUUGGGUUUUACCUUGAUGAUCUUUAGUAGUUGCAGAUGCUUGCUAGAGUUCCAAUCGUAAGUGCAUAUGAUCCAAGAAGAGAAAGUAUGUUAGCUUAUGCCUCUCCCUCAUAUGAAAUUGCAAUGUCUUGUUAACAAUUGCCUAGGAUAAUUCCGCACACCGACCCAUCAUUAUCCAACACUCGCUAUUUAUAAUAUUUAGUAAUAUAUUCUAACUUUAUGAUAACAGCGCCUACUUUCAUAUCUUAGCUCUCUGAUAUCAUGCAAAGUUAUUCUCUUCAUACCCAAAACAUAGUUUUAUUUCUCGUCUCUAGUUGGAAGAAAACGUUCGGUGUACGUAGAGUCAUAUCGGUGGCAGAUAGGACUUGAGAGAAUAUUGAUCUUGCCUUUACCUCCUUGUGGGUUCGACACUCCAUACUUAUCACUUCCACCUUUGGGAAUUGCUAGGAUGAUUCCCUGCACUUGGGGAUUAUCAAGCUCUUUUCUGGCGCCAUUGCCGGGGAGCAAUAGUGUGGGGUUGAUAUUUUUGUGUAUGCUUGUUUGCUUUCUUUGAAGGAAAUAUGCCCUAGAGGCAAUAAUAAAGUUAUUAUUUAUUUCCUCGUAUCAUGAUAAAUGUUUAUUAUUCAUGCUAGAAUUGUAUUCACCGGAAACAUAAUACAUGUGUGAAUACAUAGACAAACAUAGUGUCACUAGUAUGCCUCUACUUGACUAGCUCAUUGAUCAAAGAUGGUUGAGUUUCCUAACCAUAGAUAUGAGUUAUCAUUUGAUCAAUGGGAUCACAUCAUUAGAAGAAUGAUGUGAUUGACUUGACCCAUUCGUUAGCUUAGCACUUGAUCAUUUAGUAUGUUGCUAUUGCUUUCUUCAUGACUUAUAUAUACAUGUUCCUAUGACUAUGAGAUUAUGUAACUCUCGCUUACCGGAGGAACACUUUGUGUGCUACCAAACGUCACAACAUAACUGGGUGAUUAUAAAGGUGAUCUACAGGUGUCUUUGAAGGUACUUGUUGAGUUGACGUAUUUCGAGAUUAGGAUUUGUCACUCUGAUUGUCGGAGAGGUAUCUCUGGGCCCUCUCAGUAAUGCACGUCACUAUAAGCCUUGCAAGCAAUGUAGAUAAUUAGUUAGUUGCAGGAUGAUGCAUUACAUAAUGAGUAAAGAGACUUCCCGAUAACGAGAUUGAACUAGGUAUUGAGAUACCGAUGAUCGAAUCUCGGGCAAGUAACAUGCCGAUGACAAAGGGAACAACGUAUGUUGUUAUGCGGUUUGACCGAUAAAGAUCUUCGUAGAAUAUGUGGGAACCAAUAUGAGCAUCCAGGUUCCGCUAUUGGUUAUUGACCGGAGACGUGUCUCGAUCAUGUCUACAUAGUUCUCGAACCCGUAGGGUCCGCACGCUUAAAGUUUUGUGACGAUUGGUAUUAUGAGUUUUUGUGUUUUGAUGUACUGAAGGUAGUUCGGAGUCCCAGAUAUGAUUACGGACAUGACAAGGAGUCUCGAAAUGGUCGAGACGUAAAGAUCGAUAUAUUGGAUGACUAUGUUCGGACACCGCAAGUGUUUUGGGAGGUUUCAGACAUUUACCGGAGUACUAGGGGGUUACCGGAACCCCCCGGGGGGUUUAUUGGGCCUCAUGGGCCCUGGUGGAGAAGAGGAGGGGCAGCCACGGCAGGCUGCCCCCCCCCCCUCUAGUCCGAAUUGGACCAGGAGGGGGGCGGUGCCCCCCUUUCCUUCCUCUCCUCUCUCCCUUCCUUCCCUUCUCCUACUCCAACAAGGAAAGGUGGAGUCCUACUUCCGGUGGGAGUAGGACUCCCCCCUUGGCGCGCCCUCCUUGGUCGGCCCCCUCUCCCCCUUGCUCCUUUAUAUACGGGGGCAGGGGGCAUCUCUAGACACACAAGUUGAUCUAUUGAUCUCUCCCAGCCGUGUGCGGUGCCCCCCUCCACCAUAUUCCACUUCAGUAAUAUCAUAGUGGUGCUUAGGCGAAGCCCUGCGUCGGUAGCAUCAUCAACACCGUCGUCACACCGUCGUGCUGACGAAACUCUCCCGCAAAGCUUUGCAGGAUCGGAGUUCGUGGGACGUCAUCGAGCUAAAUGUGUGCUGAACUCGGAGGUGCCGUACAUUCGGUACUUGGAUCGGUCGGAUCGUGAAGACGUGCGACUACAUCAACCGCGUUGUGCUAACGCUUCCGCUUUCGAUCUACGAGGGUACGUGGACAACACUCUCCCCUUUCGUUGCUAUGCAUCACCAUGAUCUUGUGGGUGCGUAGGAAAUUUUUUGAAAUUACUACGUUCCCCAACAUUCUUCACUAAGUAGAUUUUAUUUUGCCUUUUGUUUGUGCUUAGUUGUGGGUGAAAAAUACAAAAAAAUUAAAAGAAUGAAAAUACAAAAAAAUUGGAGAAGUGAGGGUCGACCUUGAACGCUUGUGUUCAUGCUCAUGGAAACAAUGUAAAAAAAUUCAUGGAAGCUUGUCUGAAAAUAAUUAUCCCCUUGUAUAUAUCCAUUGUAUCAUAAAAAUAAUGUGCCAAGCUUUGGUUUUAAGAUGAUUAGAUUGCUUGUUUACUAUGUGCAAUACAAAAACAGAAACUUUGGCUGUAGCACGUGAAUUUACAUUUUUUUUUACCGGAAAGUCAAAUGGGUCUGAAACUUUUUGCACAUUACUUCUGUACAAAUUGUUUAAAUUUUCAUAUUUGUUUUAUAAUUUUUGGGAGUUACAGAAGUUUACUAAAUUUCCAGAUUAGUACAUACUGUCCUGUUUUUCACAGAUUCUGUUUUCUAUAUGUUGUUCGCUUAUUUUGAUGAAUACAUGGGUAGUAUCGAGGGGUAUGAACCAUGGUGAAGUUGGAAUAUAGUAGAUAAAGUGCUAAAAAUUUGAAUGAGUUUACAACAAUACCUAAAGGUAGUGAUUUGCUUUAGUAUACUAAUGGAUCUCACAAAGUUUUUGUUAAGUUUUUGUUAAGUUUUUGUGGAUGAAGUGUUCGAAGAAUGAGGAGUUACCAAUGUGAGAAGAAUAAAGAGAGACAAGAGUUCAAUCUUGGGGAUGCCCAAGGCACCCCAAGUAAAUAUUCCAAGGAUACUCAAGCGUCUAAGCUUGGGGAUGCCCCAGUUGGCAUCCCCUCUUUCGUCUUCAACAAUUAUCGGUAUACCUCGGUUUUGGUUUUGUUCACAUGAUUUGUGUCCUUUGCGUUUUUCUUUUUCUUUAAGAACCAUGCUAGUAUGAGAUAGCCCUUCAUCGAUUUAUAGAAUGCUUCAUGUGCUUCACUUAUAUCUUUUGAGUAUAACCUUAUAGAAUGCUCUUUGUGCUUCACUUAAAUCUUUUGAGUAUGCUUUGUGUGCUUCACUUAUAUAUUUUGAGCUUGGAUGUUGGUUAGUCUAUAUUAAUUAUAGAAUGCCCCAUGAACUUCACUUAUAUCUUUUGGAGUAUAAAUAAUACUAUCAUCUAAAGUGGGUUUGGAAGUGUUAACUUUAGGAAUUAGUGAUCCCACUAUUUUGGAGGGUGUUGAAUCUUAGUAUGAUAUUUAUGAAAGUGGAUUUGGAGAGGUCUUGACUUUAGUUAGUAAUGAUUCCACUAUUUUGGAAGAGGUUCCAAUUGAUUAUGAGAACAAAGUUGCUAUCUAUGAUGUGAUGACAUGUAUUCUAUAAAGAAUAAUGUUAACCAUGAAACUUGUCAUCAUGCCUUUAAUUUUCAAUUGGAGUAUGCCUCACAUGAUAGUUAUUUUGUUGAGUUUGCUACCACUAUUCCGAACAAGAAGAAUUUUGCUCAUGUGGAGAGUAGUAAAAAAUUGUGCUUGUAGAUCAUGAAAAGAAUUCUUUAUGUGAUGGUUAUAUUGUUGAAUUCAUUUAUGAUGCUACUGAAAAUUAUUAUGAGGGAGGAAUAUAUGCUUGUAGGAGUUACAAUAAUAUCAAGUUUCCUCUCUAUGUGCCUGAAGUUUUGAAGUUAUACUUGUUUUGCCUUCCUAUGCUAGUUGAUCCUUGUUACUAUAAAUUGUGUGCUCACAAAUUCCCUAGGCAUAGGAAGCGGGUUAGGUUUAAAUGUGCUAGUCAUAUUCUUCAUGAUGCUCUCUUUAUGUUUCAAUUCUUAUCUUUUAUGUGAGCAUCAUUGAAAUCAUCAUGCCUAGCUAAAAGGAAUUAAAGAAAAGCGCUUGUUGGGAGACAAUCCAAUAUUUACCCUUACUGUUUUUGUGUGUUCACAUGAUUAAGCUACUGUAUUAAUCAUGUUUUAUAGAUUUUGUUUCAAUAAAGUGCCAAGUAAGACCUUUGGGAAGACUUGGGUGAAAAUUAAUGUGAUCUUGCUGUAAAAAACAGAAACUUUGCGCUCACGAGAUUAGCUGUCAUUUUUUACAGAAGAGUGUGAGUUGAUUCUUUCUGCAUAAGAUUAAUAGACAAAUUACUCACGUCCACAAAUUUAUUUCAGAAUUUUUUGAGUAGCAGAAGUAUGGUUGUUGUUCAGAUCAUUACAGGUUGUUCUGUUUCUGGCAGAUUCUGUUUUCAAUGCAUAGGUUGCUUGUUUUCUAGUUUCUAUGGCUUAUAUUGCUCAAUAUAAAUUGUAGAAAUGAUAUGGUACAGUAGGCAUUGUUUGAGAACAAAUAUUAAUCUUGUCUUUGACAGUACCAAAGUGAAUGAUUUACUCUUUAUCAUACUAACCCACCUCACGUAGUUCCGUUAAGUUUUGUGUGAUUGAAGUUUUCAAGUUUUGAGUGAGAUAUCGAUAUGAGGAGAAUAAGGAGUGUAAAGAACCUAACUUUGGGGAUGCCCAAGGCACACCAAGUUAAUAUUCAAGGAAGACUCAAGCGCCUAAGAUUGGGGAUGCCCCGAAAGGGAUCCCCUCUUUCGUCUUCAAAACUAUCAGUAUACCUUACUCGGAGCUAUAUUUUUAUUCGUCACAUGAUAUGUGUUUUUCUUGGAGAGUAUUUUCAAUUUUACUUGCUUUUUGAAUAAAAUCAUUGGAUCUGAAAUCUUGAAUGAAAAAGAAUCCUCCCAUGACUAGUUAAUUAUUUGAAUACUCAGUGUUCUUCACUUAUAUCUUUUUGGAGUAGUUUGCCAUUUACUCACGUCUUCACGUAUAUCCUAUGAGUAAAUGGUUGAAUGGAUUGAAUAUCAUAAAUGUGAAUUUAUAUAUAUGUUUCAUAUGCUUAUAACAUGGGGAGUAAUGACUUCACACAUAAUAAGUAUAGGUAGUAAACUUAUUGAAAGUUAGCAAACGCAGAAUUGUUCACUUGAACAAUUCAUGAAAGAAUAUGAAAGGAAAAGAGAUUUCACAUAUAAAUAUACUAUCUUGGACAUCUUUUGUAAUUGCGAACACUCAUUCAAAUAUGACAUGCUAAAAAGUUGAUGUUGGACAAGGAAGACAACUUAAUGGGUUAUGUUUUCCUGUAUCUGAAACGUUAUAUUGUCUUGGAUCAUCCAACAUGUUGAGCUUGUCUUUCCCUCUCAUGCUAGCCAAAUUCUUUGCACCAAGUAGAGAUACUACCUGUGCGUUCGAACACCCCUUAAACCCAGUUUUGCCAUCAUAGUCCAACAUACCUACCUAUGUAUUGAGUAAAAUCCUUUAAGUAAGUUGUCAUCGGUGCAUGCAAUAAAAAUUGCUCUCUAAAUAUGUAUGAUCUAUUAAUGUGAAGAAAAAAAGCUUUAUAUGAACUUGUGAUAGGGAAGAAAUAAAAGCGAUGAACUGCAUAAUAAAGGUCUUUAUCACAAGCGGCAAUAUAAAGUGACGUUUUUUUUGCAUUAAGAUUUUGUGUAUCCAACCAUAAAAGCGCAUGACAACCUCUGCUUCCCUCUACGAAGGGCCUAUCUUUUACUUUUAUCUUCUACCCUUAUACAAGAGUCAUGGUGAUCAUCACCUUUCCUUUUUACACUUUUUCCUUUGGCAAGCACUUUGUGUUGGAGCGAUCCAUAUAUAUAUAUAUAUAUAUCCACUCGGAUGUAGAUUUUCAUAAAUUAUUAGUGUUGACAUUAUAUAUAUAUCCACUUGGAUGUAGGUUUUCAUAAAUUAUUAUUUUUGACAUUACCCUUGAGGUAAAAGGUUGGGAGGCGAGACCAUAAGCCUCUAUCUUUCUCUGUGUAUGAUUGAAACUUUGAAACCAUAAAUAUCACAUGAGUGUUAGCAAUUAUGAAAGAUUAAAUGAUAGUUGAGUAUGUGGAGUUUGCUGAACCAAAGCUCUUACAUAGACCCUUUCCCGAAAAUAAGAUGAAUUGCAAUUGUUUGAUGACUAAGAUCAUGGUUUGUUAGUUUUCAAGAAAGUUUAUGAUUUAUACUUUAACAUGUGAACAGCUUGUUACUUGAUCAUGAGAAGUUUUAUGAGUUGGGCUACUGUUAUGAUAUAUAAUGAUGCUAGAAAAAGUGAUUGGAACUAUCAUUGAUCAAACUUAUGCACUUACUAGCAUUCACACAUCAUAAAUUAUUUCUUUUAUCAUUUACCUACUCGAGGACGAGCGGGAAUUAAGCUUGGGGAUGUUGAUACGUCUCCAGCGUAUCUAUAAUUUAUGAAGUAUUCAUGUCAUGUUUACAAUAGUUUUAUAUGAUUUUGGUAUGAUUUGAUUAGAACUAACCCGGACUGACGCUAUUUUCAGCAAAACUACCGUGGUGUUGUUUUUGUACAGAAAUAAAAGUUCUCGGAAUGCGCUAAAAAUCAACGGAGAAUUUUUCUAGAAAAUAUAAAAAAUAAUGGAACAAAGAGUUACUGAAGGGGAGUCCCAUGGGCCCCACGAGGGUGGAGGGCGCGCCCACCCCCCUUGGGCGCGCCCUGUGCCUUGUGGACUCUCCGUGGGGCCCCCUGACUUGUUCUCGACGCCAACCUCUCCUAUAAAUGCCCAAACCUCCAGAAAAAUAACCUAGAUCGGAAGUUUCGCCGCCACAAGCCUCUGUAGGCACGAGAAAUCAAUCUAGGCCCUCUCUGGCACCCUGCCGGAGGGGGGCAUAACACCGGAGGCCAUGGGGAAGGAUCCCGGAGGGGCCAUCAUCGCCAUGAAAUCUCUUCCCAUCCAGAGAGAGGCCAUGGAGGAGGAAGCACAAGGGGAAGAACCUCUCCUCCUCUCUCUCGGUGGCGCCGGAGUGCCAUCGGGAGGGGAAUCAUCGCCGCGGUGAUCGUCUUCAUCAACAUCACCAUCGUCAUCACCAUCCUCAUCUCUUUUACGUGGUCCACUCUCCCGCACCCCGUUGUAAUCCCUAUUUGAACAUGGUGCUUUAUGCCACAUAUUAUGAUCCAAUGAUGUGUUGCCAUCCUAUGAUGUUUUGAAUAGAUAUCCUUUGUCUUUAGGUUGAUUGAUGAUCUAGAUUGGUAUGAGUUGUAUGUUUUCUUUUGGUGUUGUCCUAUUGUGCCCUCUGUGUUGCGCAAGCGUGAGGGAUUCCCGCUGUAGGGUGUUGAAAUGCGUUCAUGAUUCGCUUAUAGUGGGUUGCUUGAGUGACAGAAGCAUAAACCCAAGUAAGGGGGUUGUUGCGUAUUGGAUAAAGGGGACUUGAUAUGUUAAUGGGUUUUACCUUAAUGAUCUUUAGUAGUUGCGGAUGCUUGCUAGAGUUCCAAUCAUAAGUGCAUAUGAUCCAGGAAGAGAAAGUAUGUUAGCUUAUGCCUCUCCCUCAUAUGAAAUUGCAAUAGUGAUAACCGGUCUUGUUAACAAUUGCCUAGGAUAAUUCCGCACACCAACCCAUCAUUAUUCCAUACUCGCUAUUUAUAAUAUUUAGUAGCAUAUUCUAACUUUAUGAUAACAGCACCUACUUUUAUAUCUUAGCUCUCCGAUAUCAUGCAAAGUUAUCCUCUUCAUACCCACAACGUAGUUUUAUUUCUCGUCUCUAGUUGAAAGCAAACUUUCGGUGUACGUAGAGUUGUAUCAGUGGCAGAUAGGACUUGAGAUAAUAUUGAUCUUGCCUUUAGCUCCUUGUGGGUUCGACACUCCAUACUUAUCACUUCCACCUUUGGGAAUUUCUACGAUGACUCCCUGCACUUGGGGAUUAUCAGUCUAUGAUAAAAUUUCUAUGAUGAAAGUUUUAUAUUAAAGUUUGUUGUUGUUUUAAUAAGUCACAUGAUGCUGCUAUGUCUAUAUUUUUCUUUUUAUCGACACCUCUCUCUCUAAGAAUGUGGACAUAUUUUUCGAUUUUGGUUUUCGCUUGAGGACAAGCGAGGUCUAAGCUUGGGGGAGUUGAUACAUCCAUUUUGCAUCAUGUUUUCCUACUGUUAUUUAUGUUGUUUUAUUGUAUAAUAAUGCUUUUUGGAGUAAUUCUAAUGCUUUUUCCCUCAUAAUAUGCAAGGUAUGAACCAAGGGGGAGAAUUCUGGCAGUUGGAAAUCUGGACCUGAAAAAGCUACAUCAAGCUACCUAUUCUGCACAACUCCAAAUGAGCUGAAACUCCCCGAGUAAUUUUUAUGAAAUAUUUAAUAAAUAUUGGACCAAAUAAGCACCAAAGGAGGGCCACCAGGUGGGCACAACCCACCUGGGCACGCCAGGAGGCCCAGGCAUGCCCUGGUGGGUGUUGCCCUCCUCGGCCCACCUUCGGUGCCCAUCUUCUGGUAUAUAAGUCAUUUUGACCUAGAAAAAACAGAGGAGGACAUUCGGGGCGAAGCUCCACCGCCUCAAGCCCAAACUUGGGCAGUAGCACUUUUGCCCUCCGGUGGAGCAAUUCCAUUGGGGGAACUUCCCUCCCGGAGGGAGAAAUCAUCAUCAUCAUCUUCACCAACAACUCUCCCAUCUUGGGGAGGGCUAUCUUCAUCAACAUCUUCACAGCACCAACUUCUCUCAAACCCUAGUUCAUCUCUUGUAUUCAAUCUUUGUAUCAAAACUAUAGAUUGGUGCUUGUGGGUGAUGAUACGUCUCCAUCGUAUCUAUAAUUUUUGAUUGUUCCAUGCCAACAUUCUUCAACUUUCAUAUAUUUUUGGCAACUUUUUAUACUAUUUUUUGGGACUAACAUAUUGAUCCAGUGCCCAGUGCCAGUUCCUGUUUCUUGCAUGUUUUAUGUUUCGCAGAAAACCAAUAUCAAACCGAAUCCAAACGGGAUAAAAACGGACGGAGAAUUAUUUUGGAAUAUUUGGGAUUUUCUGGAGGAAGAAUCAACGCGAAACAGUGUCAGAGGUGGCCACGAGACAGGGGGGCGCGCCCCCUACCCCUGGGCACGCCCUGGGCUCUCGUGGGCUACCCGUAAGGCGGUUGAUGCCCUUCUUUUGCCGCAAUAAAGCUAAUUUUACAAGAAAUAUCUGGGCGAAAGAUUCACCCCAAUCGAAGUUAUGGAUCUCCAGAUAUAAAGGAAACGGUGAAGGGGUAGAAUCAGGGAACGCAGAAACAGAGAGAUAGAUCCAAUCUCGGAGGGGCUCUCACCCCUCCCACACCAUGGGAGCCAAGGACCAGAGGGAAGCCCUUCUCCCAUCUAGGGAGGAGGUCAAGGAAGAAGAAGAACAAAGGGGGCUCUCUCCCCCUUGUUUCUGGUGGCGCUGGAACGCCGCCGGGGGCCAUCAUCAUCACCGCGAUCUUCACCAACACCACCGUCAUCUUCACCAACAUCUCCAUCACCUUCCCCCCUCUAUCUACAGCGGUCCACUCUCCCGCAUCCCUCUGUACACUCUACUUGAACAUGGUGCUUUAUCCUUCAUAUUAUUAUCCAAUGAUGUGUUGCCAUCCUAUGAUGUCUGAGUAGAUUUUCGUUUUCCUAUUGGUGGUUGAUGAAUUGCUAUGAUUGAUUUAAUUUGCUUGUGGUUAUGUUGCUGUCCUAUUGUGCCCUCCGUGUCACGCAAGCGUGAGGGAUUCCCGUUGUAGGGUGUUGCAAUACGUUCAUGAUUCGCUUAUAGUGGGUUGCGUGAGUGACUGAAACACAAACCCGAGUAAGGGGAUUGUUGCAUAUGGGAUAAAAGGGGACUUGAUGCUUUAAUGCUAUGGUUGGAUUCUACCUUAAUGAAUCUUUAGUAGUUGUGGAUGCUUGCUAGAGUUCCAAUCAUAAGUGCAUAUGAUCCAAGUAGAGAAAGUAUGUUAGCUUAUGCCUCUCCCACAUAAAACUUGCUAUCGGUCUAGUAACGCAGUCAAUUGCUUAGGGACACUUUCACAACUCCUACCACCACUUUUCCACACUCGCUUUAUUUACUUGCUUGCAUCUUUAUCUAAACAGCCCCUAGUUUAUAUUUACGUGUUCUUUAUUAUCUUGCAAACCUAUCCUAUCACACCUAUAAAGUACUUCUAGUUUCAUACUUGUUCUAGGUAAAGCGAACGUCAAGCGUGCGUAGAGUCAUAUCUGUGGCCGAUAGGGCUUGAGAGAGUAUUUGUUCUACCUUUAGCUCCUCGUUGGGUUCAACACUCUUACUUAUCGAAAGAGGCUACAACUAUCCCGUAUACUUGCGGGUCAUCAAGACCUUUUUCUGGCGCCGUUGCCGGGGAGUCAUAGCGUGGGGUGAAUAUUCUCGUGUGUGCUUGUUUGCUUUAUCACUAAGUAAUUUUUAUUUGCUGUUCUUAGUUGUUUUCUAUCUUUAGUUAUGGGUAGGGAACGCAAAAUACCCAAAAAAAAUAGUUGUACCUACUUCACCAAUGGUUGAAGAACCACUCAAAAUCUAUCACACUAUUGAAGCUUUUUACUUGGAUCAUCUUCGAUCCCUUUGUGCUUGUGCUGAAACACUAACUAGCUUAGUUGAGGGCAAAUCUUUAGAUGAGCAUGCUUGUUAUGUGCGACACCUUAUAUCGGAAAAAGGGAAACUAUUAUGGGAUCAAAUUCAACGUUUGCAAUCCUAUGCUUGGACUUUAUGUGAAUUAUAUGAUAUUACUUGUUGUUCUGAAAACCCUAAGAAACACCUUCCCUACCAAUGUGAGUUUGAUAAUGGGAUUGUAUCUUCAUAUGCUAAGGGUGUUUAUAAUUACUAUGAUGUUCAACAAAUUGAAGAAUUUGUUGAUUUUAAGGGUGCUUUUGAAAUUCCUUCUUUGAUUGAAAAGUAUGAUGCUACUCUUUACAAAUCUGAAAGUUUUGCCAUACUUGAAUAUUGUUAUGAUAAUUAUGCUUCUAAUGCCUAUUUUAAACCAUAUAUUGAGAAAUUCUCCGCUGUCCAAGAAGAGAUUAAUAUUUUGCAAGAAGCUAUGGAAGAAGAAAUUGAUGAAACUGUGAGCUCAUUGGAUGAAAAAGAUGAUGAGGAGAGCGAAGAACAAAAGGAGGAAGAGCGGAUUAGCUACCCGUGCCCACCUUCUAAUGGGAGUAACUCUUCAACUCAUACAUUGUUUAAUUCCCCUUCGUGCUUACACAAAGGAUGAUUGUUAUGAUGAUUGCUAUGAUCCCAUUGAUUCUCUUGAAAUAUCUGCUUUUGAUGAUGCUUGCUAUGCUUGUGGCCAAGAUGCCAAUAUGAAUUAUGCUUAUGGAGAUGAACUUGCUAUAGUUCCUUAUGUUAAACAUGAAAUUGUUGCUAUUGCACCCACGCAUGAUAGUCCUAUUAUCUUUUUGAAUUCUCCCUACUACACUAUAUCAGAGAAGUUUGUGCUUAUUAAGGAUUAUAUUGAUGGGUUGCCUUUUACCAUUGCACAUGAUGAUUUUGAUGAAUAUAAUAUGCAUGUGCUUGCUGCUCCUACUUGCAAUUAUUAUGAGAGAGGAACUUUAUCUCCACCUCUCUAUGUUUCCAAUACGAUAGAAUUGCAAGAAACUGUUUAUACUAUGCAUUGGCCUUUACUUUGUGUGCAUGAAUUGUUCUUCUAUGACAUGCCGAUGCAUAGGAAGAGAGUUAGACUUUGUUGUUGCAUGAUAUAUGUUACUUUGUGCUCACUACUAAAUCACAAAUCAUUGUUAAUUAAAAUUGGCUUUGAUAAACCUUGGGAUCCGGGUGGAUUCAUUACUUGAGCACUAAAUGCCUAGCUUAAUGGCUUUAAAGAAAGCGCUGCCAGGGAGACAACCCGGAAGUUUUAGAGAGUAAUUUAUUUCUGUUGAGUGCUUUUAUAUAGUUUAAAAACACAAAAAUAAACAAGGGAACCUAAAAACUUUUCAAAAAGGAAAGUGAAAGUGAGAAAGACAAGCAUUGUUGAAGUGGGAGCUAGCCUUGAACUUUGUUCAUGCUCACGGAAACUUUGUGAAUCUUAAUUACAGAAACAUUUCAACAAAAAUAUUUAUCCCCUUGUACAAUUCCAUUGUAUUAUAAAAAUAAUGUGCCAAGGUUUGCCUUUAGGAUGUUUACAAUGCUUGUUGGUUUGUACGGUGCAGGACAGAAACUUUGGCUGUAGUGCGCGAUUUACAUUUUUAACUGAAACUUCAAUUGGUUCUGAUUCCUUUUGCACUGUCUUGCUAUACAACUUUUUUAUUUUUCCUAAUUUUGGUAGAAUUUUUGGGGUACCAUAAGUAUGGUGGAUGUUCAGAUUGCUACAGACUGUUCUGUUUUUGGCAGAUUCUGUUUUUGAUGCAUAGUUUGCUUGUUUUGAUGAAUCUAUCAAAUUAUAUCAGUGGAUUAAGCCAUGGAAAAGAUAUAUUACAGUAGACACAAUGCAAAAACAAAAUAUGAAUUGGUUUGCAAUAGUACUUAGAGUGGUGAUUUGCUUUAUUAUACUAACGGAUCUUACCGAGUUUUCUGUUGAAGUUUUGUGUGGAUGUAGUGUCUAAUCGAGGAUGUCUCGAUAUGAGGAAAAGGAAGAGAGGCAAGAGCUCAAUCUUGGGGAUGCCUGAGGCACCCCAAGUAAAUAUUCAAGGAGACUCAAGCGUCUAAGCUUGGGGAUGCCCCGGAAGGCAUCCCCUCUUUCUUCAACAAGUAUCGGUAUGUUUUUGUAUUCGUUUCGUUCAUGCAUUAUGUGCAAGUCUUGGAGCAUCUUUUGCAUUUAGUUUUCACUUUUAUUUUAUGCACGAUGCUCGUAUGAGAUAGUCCUUGGUUGAUUUAUAGAAUUCUCAUUGCACUUCACUUAAAUCUUUUGAGUAUGGCUUUAUAGAAUGCUUCACGUGCUUCACUUAUAUAAUUUGAAGUUUGGAUUGCCUGUUUCUCUUCAUAUAGAAAACCGCCAUUUGUAUAAUGCUCUUUUUCUUCACUUAUAAUUGUUAGACCAUGGGCACAUCUUUUGUAGAAAGAACUAUACUCUCUUUCUUCACUUAUAUCAAUUUAGAGAGAUGACAGGAAUUGGUCAUUCACAUGGUUAGUCAUAAAAUCCUACAUAAACUUGUAGAUCACUGAAUAUGAUAUGUUUGAUUCCUUGCAAUAGUUUUGCGAUAUAAAGGUGGUGAUAUUAGAUCAUGCUAGUGGGUGUUUGUGGAUUGUAGAGACACUUGUGUUGAGGUUUGUGAUUCCCGUAGCAUGCACGUAUAGUGAACCGGUUUGUGAUAAAGUUGGAGCACAAUUUUAUUUAUUGAUUGUCUUCCUUAUGAGUGGCGGUCGGGGAUGAGCAAUGGUCUUUUCCUACCAAUCUAUCCCCCUAGGAGCAUGCGCGUAGUACUUUGUUUUCAAUGGCUUGUAGAUUUUUGCAAUAAGUAUAUGAGUUCUUUAUGACUAAGGUUGAGUCCAUGGAUUAUACGCACUCUCACCCUUCCAUCAUUGCUAGCCUCUUCGGUACCGUGCAUUGCCCUUUCUCACCUUGAGAGUUGGUGCAAACUUCGCCGGUGCAUCCAAACCCCGUGAUACGAUACGCUCUAUCACACAUAAGCCUCAUUAUAUCUUCCUCAAAACAGCCACCAUACCUACCUAUCAUGGCAUUUCCAUAGCCAUUCCGAGAUAUAUUGCCAUGCAACUUCCAUCAUCAUCAUAUACAUGACGUGAGCAUUCAUUGUCAUAUUUCUUUGCAUGAUCGUAAGAUAGCUAGCAUGAUGUUUUCAUGGCUUGUCCGUUUUUUGAUGUCAUUGCUACGCUAGAUCAUUGCAUAUCCCGGUACACCGCCGGAAGCAUUCAUAUAGAGUCAUAUCUUUGUUCUAGAUAUUGAGUUGUAAGUAAAUAAAAGUGUGAUGAUCAUCAUUAUUAGAGCAUUGCCCCAGUGAGGAAAGGAUGAUGGAGACUAUGAUUCCCCCACAAGUCGGGAUGAGACUCCCGACUUUAUGAAAAAUAAAAGAGGCCAAAGAAGCCCAAAUAAAAAAAGAGGCCAAAGAAGCCCACCAAAAAGAAAAAAAGAAAAGAAAAGAAAAAAGGGAAAAAAUGAGAGAAAAAGAGAGAAGGGGCAAUGUUACUAUCCUUUUACCACACUUGUGCUUCAGAGUAGCACCAUGUUCUUCAUAUAGAGAGUCUCUUGAGUUAUCACUUUCAUAUACUAGUGGGAAUUUUCAUUAUAGAACUUGGCUUGUAUAUUCCGAUGAUGGGCUUCCUCAAAUGCUCGAGGUCUUCAUGAGCAAGCAAGUUGGAUGCACACCCACUUAGUUUUCAGUUUGAGCUUUCAUACACUUAUAGCUCUAGUGCAUCCGUUGCAUGGCAAUCCCUACUCACUCACAUUGAUAUCUAUUGAUGGGCAUCUCCAUAGCCCGUUGAUACGCCUAGUCGAUGUGAGACUUUCUCCCUUUUUGUCUUCUCCACAUAAGCCCCACCAUCAUAUUCUAUUCCACUUAUAGUGCUAUGUCCAUGGCUCACGCUCAUGUAUUGCGUGAAAGUUGAAAAAGUUUGAGAUUAUUAAAGUAUGAAACAAUUGCUUGGCUUGUCAUCGGGGUUGUGCAUGAUUAAAUACUUUGUGUGAUGAAGAUAGAGCAACAGCCAAACUAUAUGAUUUUGUAGGGAUAACUUUCUUUGGCCAUAUAGUUUUGAAAAGACAUGAUUGCUUUAUUGGUACGCUCGAAGUAUUAUUGUUUUUUAUGUCAAAUGAUAGACUAUUGCUUUGAAUCACUCGUGUCUUAAUAUUCAUGCCAUGAUUAAACAUAUGAUCAAGAUUAUGCUAGGUAGCAUUCCACAUCAAAAAUUAUCUUCUUUAUCAUUUACCUACUCGAGGACGAGCAGGAAUUAAGCUUGGGGAUGCUGAUACGUCUCCGUCGUAUCUAUAAUUUUUGAUUGUUCCAUGCCAAUAUUCUUCAACUUUCAUAUAUUUUUGGCAAGUUUUUAUACUAUUUUUGGGAAUAACAUAUUGAUCCAGUGCCCAGUGUCAGUUCCUGUUUGUUGCAUAUUUUAUGUUUUGCAGAAAACCAAUAUCAAACGGAAUCCAAACGGGAUAAAAACGGACGGAGAAUUAUUCUGGAAUAUUUGGGAUUUUUUGGAGGAAGAAUCAAUGCGAAACAGUCUCCGAGGUGGCCACGAGACAGGGGGGCGCGCCCCCUACUGAUGGGCGCGCCCUGGGCUCUCGUGGGCCACCCGUAAGGCGGUUGAUGCCCUUCUUUUUCCGCAAGAAAGCUAAUUUUACAAGAAAAAUCUGGGCGAAAGAUUCACCCCAAUCAGAGUUACGGAUCUCCAGAUAUAAAGGAAACAGUGAAGGGGUAGAAUCAGGGAACGCAGAAACAGAGAGAUAGAUCCAAUCUCAGAGGGGCUCUCGCCCCUCCCACACCAUGGGAGCCAAGGACCAGAGGGGAAACCCUUCUCCCAUCUAGGGAGGAGGUCAAGGAAUAAGAAGAAGAAAGGGGGCUCUCUCCCCCUUGUUUCCGGUGGCGCCGGAACGCCGCCGGGGGCCAUCAUCAUCACCGCGAUCUUCACCAACACCACCGUCAUCUUCACCAACAUCUCCAUAACCUCCCCCCCCCCCUCUAUCUACAGCGGUCCACUCUCCCGCAUCCCUCUGUACCCUCUACUUGAACAUGAUGCUUUAUCCUUCAUAUUAUUAACCAAUGAUGUGUUGUCAUCCUAUGAUGUCUGAGUAGAUUUUCGUUGUCCUAUUGGUGGUUGAUGAAUUGCUAUGAUUGAUUUAAUUUUCUUGUGGUUAUGUUGUUGUCCUAUUGUGCCCUCCAUGUCGCGCAAGCGUGAGGGAUUCCCGCUGUAGGGUGUUGCAAUACGUUCAUGAUUCGCUUAUAGUGGGUUGCGUGAGUGACUGAAACACAAACCCGAGUAAGGGGAUUGUUGCGUAUGGGAUAAAAGGGGACUUGAUGCUUUAAUUCUAUGGUUGAGUUUUACCUUAAUGAAUCUUUAGUAGUUGCGGAUGCUUGCUAGAGUUCCAAUCAUAAGUGCAUAUGAUCCAAGUAGAGAAAGUAUGUUAACUUAUGCCUCUCCCACAUAAAACUUGCUAUCGGUCUAGUAACGCGGUCAAUUUCUUAGGGACACUUUCACAACUCCUACCACCACUUUUCCACACUCGCUUUAUUUACUUUCUUGCAUCUUUAUCGAAACAGCCCCUAGUUUAUAUUUACGUGUUCUUUAUUAUCUUGCAAACCUAUCCUAUCACACCUACAAAGUACUUCUAGUUUCAUACUUGUUCUAGGUAAAGCGAACGUCAAGCGUGCGUAGAGUCAUAUCUGUGGCCGAUAGGACUUGAGAGAGUAUUUGUUCUACCUUUAGCUCCUCGUUGGGUUUGACACUCUUACUUAUCGAAAAAGGCUACAACUAUCCCGUAUACUUGCGGGUCAUCAGGUGACUAGUAGUGUUGAUUACAUCUUGUAGUUGAUUACUAUAAGAUUUAUUUGGUGGUAGAUUAUAUGUUCAGAAAUACCCCUCUGAUAUUGAGCAUGUUUAUCAUUUGUGAUUAGUUACUUUCGUUCUUGAGGUCACGGGAGAAAUCAUGUUGCAAGUAAUCAUGUGAACUUGAUAUGUGUUUGAUAUUUUGAUGAUAUGUAUGUUGUCAUUCUCUUAGUGGUGUCAUGUGAAUGUCAACUACAUGACACUUCACCAUAUUUGGGCCUAAGGGAAUGCAUUGUGGAGUACUCCCUCCGUCCCAUAAUGUAAGACGUUUUUUGAUACUACACUAAUGUCAAAAAACGUCUUACAUUAUGGGACAGAGGGAGUAGUUAUUAGAUGGUGGGUUGCGAGAGUGACAGAAGCUUAAACCCAGUUUAUGCGCUAUUCCAUAAGGGACCGAUCGGAUCCAAAAGUCUAAUGAUAUGGUUAGAAUUUAUUCUUAAUAUUUUUCUCGUAGUUGCAGAUGCUUGUGAGGGGGUUAAUCAUAAGUAGGAGGUUUGUUCAAGUAAGAAUAGCACCUAAGCACCGGUCCACCCACAUAUCAAAUUAUCAAAGUACCGAACACGAAUUACGCCAACAUGAUGAAAGUGACUAGAUGAAAUUCUCGUGUACCCUCAAGAACACCUUGCUUAUCAUAAGAAACCAUUUUGGCAUGUCAUUUGCCUUGAAAGGAUUGGGCUACCUUGCUGCAUUUUUGUUACUACUAUCGUUACUUGCUCGUUACACUAUCAAACUACUCUGCUACUUACAAUUUUAGCACUUGCAGACAAUACCUUGCUGAAAACCACUUGUCAUUUCCUUCUGCUCCUCGUUGGGUUCGACACUCUUACUUAUCGAAAAGGCUACAAUUGACCACAUAUACUUGUGGGUCAUCAGUUAUUUGGAACUCGAAUAUUUUGGCAAGUGCGGGAAUGACUUACCAUUAUUUCUAUUGUGCCGCUUCAGGCAAUUGGUCAGUGUUGAUAAAUCCAGCAUAUUCUUCAGUCCUAAUACGAGUGCCGAGUUGAGAGAGCAGAUGUGUGUAACUCUGAAUGUCAUGACUGAGGCCCUAAAUGAUAAAUAUUUAGGCUUGUGUGUCUAUGUAGGAAUGGAUAAAUCGGGUUGUUUUAUGUAUUUGAUUGAUCAUAUUAUAAAUAAAAUUAGUGGUUGGAAGGAAAAAUUGUUAUCCGUUGGAGGAAAAAAAUAGAUUUUCCUCAAGUCUGUUGUUCAAGUCAUUCCCACCUAUGCAAUGUUUGUAUUUAAAAUUCCUAAAAAUUUGCAAAUCAAUUAUUGAUGUGAUGUCACAUAUUUGGUAGAGAUGUGGACAUAUUCCCACCUAUGCAUUGGAUGGCUUGAUAAAAAAUGUGUGUCUCAAAGAAUCUGAGGAUGUUGCCUAAGCAGGCCUCGCGUCUUCUUGAGAAUCCCGACUCUUUAUGUGCUACCAUUUUGAGAGCCAAGUAUUUUUCUCAUGGUGACUUAAAAAAAAUUGAGGGGGUGAUGGCGAUUUAAUGAACACAAUGUUAAAACUAUUAUUAGCUAGAUGGCGGACCAUCAUUCACCUCCCGUAGGGAUUCAUGAAUUAGCUUGUGAAGAAAAAAUGGAAACAAUAGAGUAGAAAACAAACUGGCAAAAACAACAAAAACUAUUAAAACGGUUGGAAAACAAAAUAAAAAACCAGGGAAUACUUUUCAAAAUCGAGAAAAAUGGGGGGCCCAACAACACAAACCCUUUUUUUAAGUAAACAACACACACCCUUGAUCCCUUAAAAAUAAAAAGUAACACACACGCCCACAUAUCUAAGGCUAGUCGCAAUGAGAAGUAUCGACAUCAUUUAUUGUCAUGCAUGACGUAUACAAGUACAUCACUUAAUUACCAUAUCAUGGUACUCAAUCUCAUCUCUCCUCAUUUAGUUAUGUGUUACCUCAACAAAAAUGUCUAGUUGGCAUGCAUGAUACUAAUUAUGAUAUUUUUAUUGUGACCAGUCUAUAAGAGCAUCUAUAGCCGUACUUUGCAAAUCUGGCCCCUCAAACGCCCGCGGACGCGCUCAGGGCAUCCACGGACACUGAUCGGUCAUGCCUCAAAUAAUGCAAUCCACAUCUGGAUACCUCAAAUUAGAAACAUCAAAUCCAUAUUAUUACAUGCAAGGUAGCGAUCUUUAAACGGAGCUCGUCCGCUCGUCGUGCCCAUGUUCGACGGCCGAUUGCGCUCCCUAGAGUGUUUGCCCGGUCGCCGGCAAGGUAGAGUAGGGCAUGGGAUACGAGCCAGCUCACGGGACUCAAGCGCCGCCGUCUACCAUGCCUACUCUUCCUCGUCGGAGCCCGUAACCCAUUGGGUGCCGGUGAACGUCAGAUCGAUGAUGGAUCCGUCCUGGGACGAGCCAGCGACGUCCACCACGACGCGGUUGCGGCGCCCGGACUGGUGCACCGUACGGGGAGCCAGAGAAUGUGACUCCGCCUCGCCGACGUCCACCGCGGCAAGCGCUGCCGCCCCCGCUCCCGCUGUCACGCCAUGAUUGCGUCGGACGACGCCCACGAUGUGUCCAUGGCAUCGGCGCACCAGAGAAGGGGUUGCUCGCCCGUCCACCUCGUUCGGAUGCCAGACGGGCCGCAUCGCCUCCGGUGAGGCAGCGACGGCUGCCCUAGCGCUGGAUCCAUGCGCCAUUUGGGCGGACGCAAUGGAUUUUUGAGAAAGGAGUCCGAGCGCUGCCGUGCACGGGCUUCCUCGAGAGUGGCGGAGUGCAAGCCAGACAACCAUCUCCUCUUCAGCUCUUCAGGGCCGCGUGGGAUGAGCUCAGGGUCAACGGAUCUUGAGGUGAAGGACUCAGAUCCAUUGCCCGCCAUACCAGAGACUGCCGGACGGCGCCGGGGACGAGUUUGGGUGCCGGAGAGGAGUGAGUGAAGUGGUUAUGGUUCGGUCCGGCGAGCAGAUGGGAAGAAAUAUACGUGAGGUCGGUGGUCCAUAGUGGGCCAGGUCCGAGCGCAACCGUAUUUGGGCUGAAUAUGAGGAGUGCCGAUCAAUCCGAGCGUUUGAGGCCCACUUAAGACGUUUGUCUGGGUCAAAAAUUUGUGACCGGAUAGUGACUGAGCGGUCCGUCCAGUCAUACAAGACGGGUUUGAGGCGUCGGGCUAUAGAUGCUCGGACUCUGUAUCUUAAUAAAUUUUAGAGGAUACGCGGUCGCUAGUUGCUACACUGAGCCAAGAGACAAGAAGACGCCCCGACCAACCAAAAAACUGUCUAGGCGGUACCAGCUUGUCCAUUCAUUUCUCAUCCCCGCAGGUUAAUCGGGAGCACUCAUUAACCGGCCCUGGUAUUGCACUCUCUCAAGCCUGAACCUCCAUCCUGCCUUCCACCCCAGAAAGAAAAGAACAUGGCAGCUGCGACUGCAAGGCAGCUGUUGGUCCACAGGAUCACUUCCUCCUGCUCCUCAGGGACGCUUCCCAAGCACAGUUCCAGCAGCCAUGGCCGCUCUGCUUACAGCUCCAUGUGCUUCAACAAGGCCGAGAAGCUCCCCAGUUUCAGAGCGAGGGUGUCCGUGAAGCCGCCGCACGCCGUGCCGGGGAAGGGCGGCAUUGUGCCGGCCGACGACGACGGGGUCAGCCUCGGCACCGUGAAGCUGCCCGCCAACAUCGACGUCGCUCGGUUCGAGGGGUUGCUCUUUCAGGUCAGUACAGUACUAAGCAUUCUUUGAGCCGUGUUGGAGUAUGAUGUCUGCUCUUCUCUCUCUCUCUCUCUCUCUCAGCUUAGAAUUCAAUACACCCAAUUAGAACUGAUGUUUGUGUUGAACCUGUUUGUUUGGCAGUGGGGGAACAGUCUCUGCCAAGGCGCCAUGUUGCCACUGCCAGUGCCUAUCAAGGUAUGGCAACCCGAGAACUGACGAUGUGGUUUCAAACUUUCAAUUGAUACUUCAGAUUUCUUCAGCUGAUACUUCAACUUUCCAUGUGCAAACAGGUGGACAAGGUGGAGGGUGGGAUCAGGCUAGGGUUCAUUGGGAUCGACGACGGCGCGACCUCGCUGCUGGCCUACAUCGACUGCUUGGUGUCUCCGGCGACCGAUGGCUCUGGGUUUGUGUUCCGAGCAAUCAGGAACGGUGCUAUGAAGGACAUGGAGCCGCCUGGGGAGCCCAGGAUCAUGAGGAGCCUCCUCAUGGCGCUUCAGAAGUCCAUUCAGAUUGCGCAAGUUUGACAAGCCUGUUCAGAUUGCGCACAUUUGACAAGUCUGUUAAAUUGUGCAAGUCUGCCAGUGAAGAAGGAACAUGAUGCAGCAGGAGUUUCAUUCUCUGUUGAUACAACUUUGUAAUCCCUAGUUUUCAAAGGUCUCCUUUCAUGUUCUCUUCCAAGAUGAAGAUAUAAAUUCCAUUAGAGGAAGUAAAGCUAAACAACUCCACUGUCUUCUCUUUAUUCAUAAUAUUUCCUGAAGGACUUCAACAGUUAGACUAAUUGGUUGAAAUUUUGAGUUACAGAGUACACACGCACACGGUAAAGAAAAUAUGUCAAUAUAACAACUGGAGCAUUGUCAACCGUCACUUUUAAGUAUACAUGAACCACUGUCAAAUUGGGCUGGAAAAAAUCAGCCUAAAACUCAAAGGGCCAACCACUAUCUCAAACACAGACGGGCAAACACAGUUUUGAUUAUGAACUGGAACACGCCUCUAGCUUUGGGAGGACGCUGCGCCAUGCAUCAGCA
RNAcentral lists this long non-coding RNA (89890 nucleotides) under Triticum aestivum (bread wheat). Its description in RNAcentral is "long non-coding RNA (TAES_LNC027751)". The stretch from base 85471 to 85557 matches the Rfam family "MIR1120/MIR1122 microRNA precursor family". The record is from RNAcentral. Lineage: Eukaryota; Viridiplantae; Streptophyta; Magnoliopsida; Poales; Poaceae.